This 133228-nucleotide long non-coding RNA is filed under the name Eucalyptus grandis. RNAcentral's name for it is "long non-coding RNA (EGRA_LNC004621)". The record is from RNAcentral. Lineage: Eukaryota; Viridiplantae; Streptophyta; Magnoliopsida; Myrtales; Myrtaceae.
GGAAAACCCUUCUUCCCCUCUCUAGCUUUCUCCCGGAAAAUUUUCCGAUCCGUUGCAAACCGUUCAUCAUCUUCCGUUCUAUAACAGAUCUCGAUGACCUGCGAGGCUGCGAUGGAGAUUCGCAUUGGAAGAGGCUACGCGUGGGCCAUUGCCGCCGGAUUCAUGGCCGCUCUUGCAGCCAUCUCCGCCAAGUUCUUCUCCUCUCAGGUAACCCAACCUCAUCCACGCACUUGUCCGUGCGAGCUAAUCCAUGAUUGUCCCCCGCCGUUCUGCUUUGUCACUUGAGAUUGUGCGAUCGUUCUAGCUAAUGCAAAUCGAAAUCUGGUGUGUCUGUUGGGCCGUGUCCCUAAUGUAUCUCCGGCUGAAGCACUUGAUGUUGCGUGGCGCAAUGUGAGCCGCAGCCGAUAGCCGGUGUGCGGCGAUACGUCCAAUUUUUGGUUGUUUGAGGAUUAGCGGGAGCUCUAAUUGAGGAAAUCUCCUGCCAAUUCAACUACUUCUGUGGAGAGUAGUUGAAUAGAUUAGCGAGAGGGGAGGAGGGAGGGUGGUGCGUCUGCUCCUCGAUCCCCAGACAUGCCCGGGGAGGAGAGGGAGUUAUGGGCUAGCUUAUAAGGCUUUGGUCCAUCUAACUGUAUAUACGCGUUUUCUUGAGGUAAUAUGGGCUAGUUUGAGAAGAACAAAACCGUAAGGACUUAGUGUUCAAGGCGAAAAAUGUGUACAAUGGAGACCUAGCCAUUACAACAAUGUCAUCCAAUGGCAGGGGAUCGAGGAGCAAGAAAAACACAUUUAGCGAAGCAUGGAACGUGCUCAAGGGGAAUUGGGUAUCGGGACAUCGCCAUGUCACUGGUGAGCUCACUGGCAGAGCCUCAACGGAACUAUCGGGAUGCUGCCACAUCCCCAGUGAGCUGGAGAUCCUCGAGCAUGUCCCAGUCACAAGCGAGUUCUCAGAAAAGCUCUAAGAAGAGCUCAUCGGUGGAGUCUCAGUGGAGAUCCUCCAGCGUCAGCCAAGGCGACGACCAUUAUCACAACUCUGGUGAAGACGAUCCAUGGCGAGCAAGCUACAGGCAUGGCGCUCUUCGCCUAUUCUGGUGAUUACGAUCAAGGGCGAGUGAGAUUGUACCCGCAACCACCCCAGCAGGAAUAUGAUUAUUCUUAUCACACUAUCAGGGGGCAGUAUUAUUCUUGAGGUCUUGACAAUGUCAAUAGUUACGUCCACGACGACGCGUCCGUUCCAUCAUAUCUGCCCCCGCAUACUUCUUAUGGUUAUCACUGUCCAUCCGAGUCUCCCCCGAAUAAUUGUGUGGUGAUGUGAGAUGCCUAAUAUAGUGUGCCUAUAGUUGCUUUUACUAAUAUCUGGUGAAGUACGGGAUGAGCUAGGGGCAUGGUUGAGCCUUUGGUUUGUUAGCUUUCGCUUGUGAAUCUCAGUGAAGUUUCUUGUUUUAGUUAAUGGUUUCGAACGUGAUGGAGAUUGAUUGAAAUGGCUUUGCCAGUUAAUGAAGGUUUAUAUAUUUAUUUUAUGAAGUUUCAUCUAGUUCGUAGAUGCUAAAAAGUUCUAUUAAAAUUUAACUAAAUUUAGGGGCACUUAAUUCCAUCAAUUGUCUACGGUUCUACUUCUAUGGACAGAUGUUCCCUCACCAAUCAUUUAUCACAAAAAUUAAACCAAAUGAAAAACGAUUUAUAAAAAUAGUUUAAAAAAGAAAAAGAAAAUUGGCCGCGCCAUUCUUGAAAAUUCCUCAUUCUUCAAGGAAGACCUUUAAGGAUCCGAGCUUUCUUGUGAUCCUUCGUGUUCAAACUUCAAGUAGCUUUGAAUGUGCAGAUAUACAUUGAAAUUUGUCUUUCCAGAUGCUUAUGGCAUCUCCAUUGAGAUGCAUAUACAUGGAGGAGAAACUUUUCAAGCUCAUCCAUUUAAAAAUUGGGCUCCUUUCUUGAUGAAAUUCAGUGGACGAAGACGAGAGAAAACGUUUCCAGUUAAAAAGAUCAAAACCGAAAAUAAUCUCCACUCAGUCCGUCGGAAGUAAUUGAAUUGUUGAUAUAUCGACAUAAAAAUGAAGCAGGAAAUGUUAGAUUAAAUGUAAACUAAAACCUUAUGAUCCCGAUUAUCAAUCACAGAUAAAUUCGUACAGAAUUUGGGAUCGAUUUGCUGAAACGUAAAAAUCAACAUACCUCCAGUCAUCGAUAAAAAUUUGCAAAAGCGGAAAACUUCAAAACCUUGGACGGAUUCACGCAACACGAUCCGAUCUUCAAUAUGAAGAACACCAGAUCUGUACGUCAUGUUCUACUAGCCAAUACCCCUCAAAUCUGAUGGUGCGUUUUCUGUAAUGAUAGGGUUUGAAUUAGACGACUUGACAUUUUAUUCCGUUUAUUAUGUUAUAGACAUCUUCCAUCAAGACCGUUAUGGUAACAUAUUAACGAGCAAAUAUCAUGUAAUAGAUGUGGGUGAUAAACUGGGCAAUAAAUCGGAACUAAUUGAGAAUAUAAUAUUGGGAUCAUAUUUAGAAUAAUAAAUAUAUUACAACAUUCUCCCACUUGAUCCCAAUAUUCCAUUAAAUGAAAUAUUAACUCAAACCCACAUAAACUUCGUACUAAAAUAAAACACAUGAAUCAUGAUAAUGAGUCCUCUUAGAGUAAGUAUUAUCUUUCAUGUAUCACAAUGCAUUUCAUUAGCUCAUAUGCGAUCAAAUAACUUAAUGAAUAAAUCUUCUGUUUACUCUAGGUCAAAUGUAAUUGUUUCUCUCAGAAUAAUUGAAUGUAUACAAGUGUAUUGAGAAAAACAUUAUAAAUGAAUAAAAGUCUCACAAUUCUUUCAUAUAAUUUUUUUUUUACCUAAUUGGGCCAAUACCCAUUCUAAAUACAUGAUUCUUAUAACUCAUUGGUGGCAUGCCUUUAGUUAAAGAAUCAGCUAUCACCAGUCCAGUGCUUAAGUGUUCUAUGAUCACUUUCUUCUCUUUAACACGUUCUCUGAUGACUAAAUACUUGAUGUCGAUGUGCUUGCUUCAACUACCACUUUUGCGGUUCUUAGCCACAAAAACUGUAGCUGAAUUGUCGCAAAAUAUUCUUAAUGGCCUAGCAAUGGAAUCCACAACUCUAAGCUCCGAUAUGAAACUUUUCAAUCACACACCAUGUGAGGUGGUCUCAAAAUAGAAAACAAACUCUGCCUCCAUAGUGGAAGUGGCAACCAAGGUCUGUUUUGCACUCCUCUAGGAUACAGCUCCACCAACAAAGUUUGAAUUCGAGUAACCAACUACCUCCAAGGUGUUCGUCCGUCUAUACAUAAGUAUGUAUCCCUUUGUUCCUUGAAGGUACCUCAUUACCUUCUUUGCAGCUCUCCAACGGUCCAUACCUAGAUUACUUUAUAUAUACUCAACAUUCCCAUAGCAAAGGCUAUGUCAAAUCGAGUGCAAACUUAAGCAUAUAUCAAGCUUCUGACAGCAGAAGCAUAUGGAAUGUUCUUCAUUCGUUCCCUUUCAAAAUCGUCCUUUGGGCAUUGGUUUAAAUUAAACCUAUCACCUUUCACAAUCGGUGCUAUAUCUGGUGAACAAUCUUUCAUCCGAAACCUCUCUAAGACCUUAUUGAUAUAGGUUUCUUGAGAUAGUCCUAAUAUAUCUCGAGAUCUAUCUCUAUGGAUCUUAAUGCCAAUGACAUAAGACGCUUUAUCAAUAUCCUUUAUAUCAAAACUCUUAGAGAGAAAUUGUUUCCCUUCAUAUAACAACCCCUUAUCAUUGGUUGUAAGUAAAAUGUUAUCUACAUAUAGCAUAGGGAAACAAAUUUUGCUCCCAUUAACCUUUUGGUAUAUACAUUGAUCAAUGAUAUUCUCUAUAAAACCGAAUGAAGAGAUAACCUCAUGGAAUCUUAAGUACUAUUGGCGGGAUGCUUGUUUUAAGCCAUAUAGAGACAUUUUAAGCUUGCAUACCAAAUGUUCACCAAUAUUAGAAAAUAAUCAUUCUAGUUAUUUCAUGUAAACCACUUCUUUCAAUUUUCUAUUGAAGAACGCCAUUUUCGCAUCUAUUUGAUGUAACUUCAUAUCAAAAUGAGCAACUAAUGCCAAAAUAAUACGAAGAGAAUCUUUCUUGAAUACAGGAGAAAACGUCUCCGUGUAAUUGAUCCAUUCCUUUUUAGUGAAUUCCUUGGCAACGAAUUUGGCUUUGUAUCUCUCAAUAUUGCCUAAUGAAUCAUUCUUAGUUUUGAAGACUCAUUUACAACUAAUAGCCUUCACACCAUCGAGCAAUUCAACUAUAUCCCAGACUUCAUUUGAUGCCAUAGAAUUCAUCUCUUCCUUCAUGGCCUUGUACCAUAAAUUGGAUUUAUCACAACUCAUGACUUGUGAAAACGUCUCGGGAUCACUUUCAGCUCCAACAUUAUAGUCAAUUUUUUGUAGAUACACAAUGUAAUCAUUAGGGAUUGCUGAUUUCUUCAUUCUAGUAGACCUUCUUAAUGUUGCAUCAACAUCCUCCUGAGGAGUUUGUUGUUCAACUGAAAGUUCAAUAGUAUCUGGUAAUUGCUGAAUAGUUGGGUCUAUCGAAUCAACAUUAGUAAGUUAUGGAUCUUCAAUGAUUGAUUGCUCAACGAUCGGUUGAAUUGAAGGUGUAUUGUAAACAUUAACCAAUCAAGUACCUGAGGUAGAAGGUUGAGUAUCUAAAUGAUCUUCUUCGGGAACAAAGUCCCUGAAUUGAUCGUUCCCAUUAACCAGGGCAUUCUCAAGAAAUUUAACAUUUCUUGAUUCCACAAACCUAAUGGUGUGAGAUGGACAAUAAAAUCUGUAUUAUUUGGACUUUUCGGCAUAUCCAAAGAAAUACUCAUUUAUAGUCUUUGGAUCUAACUUUUUUUUUUCCUGUGGAUUGUAGACUUUUACUUCAGAUGAGCAUCCCCAAACACGUACAUGUCACAAACUCGGUUUUCAACAUUUGAAUAACUCAAAAGGCGUCUUUGGAACAGCCUUGGUUGGAACUCGGUUUAAUAUGUACACAACCGUUUUAAGAGCCUUAGUCCACAAAAAUUUAGGAAGUUUGGAGCUGCUGAGCAUACUCCGCACCAUGUCCAAUAAUGUUCAUUUUUUUUUCUGCGACACCAUUUUGGUCUAGUGAACUAGACAUAGUGUAUUGAGCAAUAAUCUCAUGCUCUUCAAAAAACUUCGCAAAUGAACCAGGUGCUUAUCCAUCUUCAAUGUAUCUACCAUAAUAUUCCCCACCUCUAUCUGAUCUUACGAUGCCGCAUUGUUUUUCUACUUCGGUUUUAAAUACUUUAAAGGCAUUUAACGCUUUGUGCUUAUUACAAAGCAUAUAAAUACAUGAAUCGUGAACAAUCGUCUAUGAAAGAAAUGAAGUAUCUGACCAUUUGAGUCCAUAUCCGGACUACAAAUAUCUGUAUAUAUGAUUUUUAAUAUUUUUGUAUUCCUCUUAGCACCUUUCUUUGACUUGUUGGUACAUUUUCCCUUUAUACAAUCCACACAAGUGUCAUAAUUAGUAAAAUCCAGAGUAUUAAGUACUUUAUCAUUUACUAGUCGCUUAAUUAUAUCAAUAGAGAUAUGUCCCAACCUCCGGUGCCACAACAUAGAUGAAUCCUCAUUUACAGCACAUCGUUUUAUACUAGCAUUAUCGUGAACAUGCAUCGCAUUAUUAAUUACAUUGUCUAGUAAAUUAAUUCGAAAGAGACCGUUAAACAAAAUACCACUCUCAACAAUUUCAGAUUUAUACGAUAAAUUGAAUGUUGAAUAUAAAAAUUCAAAGGAGUAUCCCUAAGGCACAAGUCUUGAAACUGAAAUUAAAUUCCUAGAAAAACUAGGAAUAUAAAAGGUCAUUUCUAAAAUUAAAACAAAACCACUACCGAGAACUAAUCUGCAUGUCCUAAUAGCUUCCACGCGCGAGCACAUCUUGUUUCUUGAAUAGAUGCUUUGUUCACUUUCCACUUGUUUCCACCGGUUCUAAAAACCCUACAAGGAAUUCGAAAUGUGGAUUGUAGAACCAGAAUCAAUCCACCAAGUGUUGUGACCCACAUCAACCAUAUUAGAUUCAUAACAAACAGAUGAGAGUUGGUUAUCUUUCUUUUUUAGCAGGCCUUAAAUUUGGCACAAUUCUUCUUCACGUGCCCCUUCUUUUUACAGAAGAAACGCUUGAAUUUCUUUUUAAUGCCAACUCGGGGAGGUAGAGGCAUGUUACCUUUUCCCUUUUGCUUGCCUUGCUCUUUAUACUUAUCAUGUGUUGUCAUAUGGUCAUGAGUUCAUUGAUUGACCAUUUAGUUUUAUGUGUAUUGUAAGAGAUUUUGAAAUGGGCAUACUCUUGUAGGAGAGUAUUUAGAAUAUAAUAUACAAGAAAAAAAUAUGAUAUCCCAACCUGAAGAUUUUUCAGCUGAGCUGCAAUGUCCCUCAUCUUCAUGAUGUGCUCACGCGCACCUCUUACACUGGUAAGUUUCAAAGAUGAGAACUUCAUAAUCAGGGUCAUGGCAUGCACCUUCUCUAAAGACUCAAAUUGUGCAUUAAUAGCCUCCAGCAAUUUCUUGGCAUUGUUAUGCUGAAUGACUAAACCACGAAUACUAGCAGAGAGUUUUAUCUUUAUGUACAUCACACUGAGACGGUUGGACCGCUCCCAUUGUGCAUAAUGUGUAUGUUCAAUAUGAGUACUAUUUUCAAUAGAUUCAGGUGGUUCGUCAGACCUUAGUACAUAAUCAAGAUCCAUGCACCCCAAUUGAAGAAGAAUCGAUUCCUUUCAUUCUUUAUAGUUAUUCCUAUUAAGCUUGGAAACAAUUAUACCAGAACUAAUCGUAGGUGGUAAAACUGCAUCAUAAUUAAAGAAAACUUAUGUAUCAACAUAUUUGAGGCAAAUAAACUUAAAUAAAACAUGUUAUAAAAUAUGGAUCACAUAACAUCAAUAACUAUCUGUGGGCUAAGUUUCUAAUUUAAAUUGAUUCAUAAUUACUUAAUGAUGAAACUAUCAAAUUAUAUUCUCUUCUUUAAUCCCUAUGGGUAACUUAAGAAAGAUAAAAUAAUAUUUCAUCAUAAUUAAUCACAUUAAUAUAUUGAAAAUUCCCGUGGGAUAAAAUUCAUAAUAUUAAUAUGACUAAUCACAAUUAUAAUAUUUGACUAUAUGUGAUCCAAAGGCUUUUAAUGUAUAUAACUUAAUAUAAUCAAAGAUGCUAUGGCUAAUCUUUAAUUAAUUAAAUAUAUACGGAUCACUAGACAUUUAAUUUUAUGAGAAAAUAUUCAUAAAAUUGCACGUUAGGGUAAAACGGUAAAAUCACGUGCAAAGGGGUAAAACUGGAAUUUUGCACGCAAGGCCGGAAUAGGAAUUUUACUUUUAAGGGGUAAAAUAGGAAUUUGCACGCGCCUAAAGCCUUCUUUUCGGGCUUUCUUCUUUUCCGCCGUUCCUUCCGCCGCGACUAACUUUGUUCUGCUGCCUGGAUUCCUCCCACAGCCCAUGUCCGACCAAAUUGAUUGAUGGGUUUCGAAGAGAACGUCGGGACGAACGAAUAAUUUCAAGAUCAGGCAAAAACGACCAACAUAUUGACUGGAAUUAAGCCUAAAACAAUCUGCCCUAAAAACCCUAACCACCAAAAUUUCACUGUUCGAUUAACCUCCGAUGAUCAAUAAUAUGCCGAAAAAUUUAAGGGCUUUUCUUCCUAAUGGCAGUGUGGCCAUGCAGAUCCAUUAUCGUGUGGUGGGUCGCCCAAAUUUGGCCAAAAUUUUAAAUUCUGUUCUAAGUCAUAAAAAUCCGAAUUUACCCAUACAUAAUUCAAUGAAAAUAAAUAAAAAUUCCAAAAAUUUCACCAAGGUAGAGAUUGUAAACAUGCUUUGAUACCAACUAUUAGAUUAAAUGUAAACUAAAACCUGACGAUCCCAAUUAUCAAUCACAGAUUAUUUCGUACAGAAUUCUGGAUCGAUUUGCAGAAACGUAAAGAUCAACAUACCUUAAGCUCUUCACCAAAAAAAAACAUACCUUAAGCCAUCAAUGAAAAUUUGCAAAAGCAGAAAACUUCAAAACCUUGGACGGAUCCACGUAGCACAAUCGAUCUUCAAUAUGGAGAACACCAGAUCUGUACGUCAUAUUCUAUUAGCCCAUACCCCUCAAACCUAAUGGUGUGUUUUCUGCAGUGAUAGGGUUUGAACUAAACGACCUGACGUUUUAUUCCAUUUCUUAUGUUACCGACAUCUUUCAUUAAGACCGUUACAGUAACAUAUUAACGGGCAAAUAUCACGUAAUAAAUGUGGGUGAUAAAUUAGGCAAUAAAUCGGAACUAAUUGAGAAUAUAAUAUUGGGAUCAUAUUUAGAAUAAUAAAUAUAUUACAACGGGAAAGAGAUUUAUUUAUUUCAAUAGCUUCUUUAGUGAAGAUUAUAGUAAUCUAUUUAUAAAUUUUAUGAAGUGACUAUCCGAAAAAACAAAAUAUUACACAUAUCAAUGACGAUCAAUGAAAACCAUUCGAAAAUAUGCAUAAUCAAAUGAACAUAGUGCACAAUUAUGAGAGAUAUACAAAACCAAUGGAGAUUUAAAGAAUCUACUUUAUAUAAAGACAUAGAAGAAGUCAAUUGUAGAAUAUAUUAGCAGUCUUAUCAACCAAAGAAGUGGAGACAAGAUGCACAAUGUCAUGAAGCACAUGAUAACACGUGAAACGAUAGUCUCUUUCAAUAUGUUUGGUGCUUUUAUAAAUAAAUAAAAACAUUAUUAUAUGCUGUUCGGGUCCAAUUAUCAUAAUAAAUAAGUAUUUUGUUGUUAAGAUGACACAUAUAUGUCCUUUAAUAACCAUUACAAAUACAGUAAUUUUGAUGUUGUAUUAGCAAAAGCAUGAUAUUCAGCUUUCAUGCUAGAUGAAGCGACAAUGGUCUAUUUAUUGUUAUGCUAUAAGAUAAGUGAGUUACUUAGAAAGUAGUGAAGUAAUAAUCAAGAGGGUCUCCUGCCCAUCAAAUUUAGUUAAAAAGAUUGAACUAAAAAAUGAUCUCCACCCAAUCCAUUAGAAGCAGGUGAAUCACUUAGUUCAAUGGAAGAACCGCUACAUGAAUAAUGGGUAAGGGAGUCUGUCUCGGGAAAUAAACUACGAAUCCAUUAAGGCUCCCUUCGUUUCGUGAAACACAAUUUCUAGAAAAAGUAUUUUUUGGAUUUUCCGACAUUCCUUUCCUGAAAAAUGAACUAAUCGAGGAAAACAUUUUCCAUUAGCAAAAAAGAGUUUUCUAAAAUAGAGAAAAUGUUUUCCACUUUUCAAGAUGAAGAAAACAUUUUUCUUACUCAUUUUCUCUUAUCUCAUACCUAUGUUAACCUUUUCAUCUUUUUUCCUAAAAAAAUCCAAUUUUUAAUUAUUUUUCUUUUUUUUGUUUUUUUAUUUUUCUCUUUCAAGCUCGAGACUCAUUGGAAUUUGGCAAGCCUUAAGCUCACCUACGGCCAAUCACUGGCCAUCACCGUGGUUGAUCAAAAAAGAAGAAUAAAAAAAGAAAGAAAAAAUAAAAAUAAUUUAAAAAUUGAUUUUAAGAAAUAAAAAAAAUUAUUGAAAAAGAGUGCAUGGAGGAAAACAUUUUCCUUACCAAAUAACAGAAAAUAUUUUAUAAUUCAUUUUCAAAUUUCAGCUGCAAACUACAAAAUGGCUAUCUUCUUGAAAAAUGGCUUCCUAGAAAACAAUUUCUAGAAAUGUUACAUUUUCCGUGAAACAAAUAGAAUCUUAAUUAAAAAAUGAUUCGUUCGACAUAGCUUGGAGCUAGGUCUCUCUGUCCAUUGGGCAACCAAGAAUGCAAUCCUAAAGUGCCAUUAUUAUUAUUUUGCCCCCGAUUUCAAAUGCAAGUAGGCCUUCAAAAAAGGGGCUCGAAAUGUUCUUAUUUUCUUAAAUAAGAGCUCGAAGUGAACCUUAUUUCAAAUAAACGCCUGAAGUGCCAUCGUUUUAUCAAAUAAAGGACUGAAGUGAAUAUUAUUUUAAAUAAAUGCCUGAAAUGGCUAUGCCAGUUUCAAACAAUAGCCUAAAGUAAUUAUGUCUGUUUCAAAUAAGAACUUUCUCUUCUUCUUCUUCUUCUUUUUUUUCUGGUUCUUCUUCUUCCUCUUCGCCACUGGCCGAAGGGUUGGGCAAGGGUUGCCUUACCCAAUUCGAUGAGCACCACCCAUGUCGGCCACAAAUGAGGAACGGCCUCACUUGGGCGAGGCCACCCUUGCCCUGGGGGAGGCUGCCCCUUGCGGCCAUCUACAAGGGCUCGUCGACCUCAUCGGCCACGGGUGAGGGUGGCCUCGCUCACAACCGGCGAGGGCUUGCAGGCCCUUGUCGGCCAUUCCUAGCGGCCAGCAAGAUUGUUGACCCUUUGCAAUGAAAAAAGAAGAAAAAAGAAAAGAAAAUGUGGAUGAAAACUCCUUGACCAGUUGGAAAAUUUAGCCGGCCAACAACCGCCGAACUCGGGCCCUUAUUUGAAACAACAAUGGCUACAUCAGACCCUUAUUUAAAACAACCAAGACCACUUCAAGUCUUUAUUUGAAACAAGGUCUACUUCAGAUUUUUAUUUGAAAAAAUGAGGCACUUCAAGUUAGGGGUGUGCAUGGUCCAGGCGGGCGGUUCCUGAUCUAGAACCGGGAAUCGCCUGCUAAAGACCGGUUCCGAAAAAUUGGAACCGAGAUUCACUUGUUUAUUGCAUGGAUCCACAUGGGAACCGGACUGGCCAGUCCGGUUCCCAGGUGGAUCCAUGGAACCGGUCUUGACGCGAAAUAAUUUUGGUUUUCAACAAAGAACGACUAUGUAACAUCAAGGCAAGCCAAAGAAAGAAAAACCAAAUUUAAGUACGUGGAGAUGCGGACGGUGGGAGAAAUAAACGCAGCAAAAUGGCGAUAGGAUUAGGAGCCGAAGACGAAGGGAGUGAGAUGAGAUCUACGAUUUAUUUUAGUAAUUUUUUUUUUAAUAUUAAAAAGGUUCCAGUCCGGUUCGGGUGGGCGGGCGGGCGGAUCCGCCCAUGGAACUGGGAACCGGACCAUUACCCACCGGUUCCCAUAAAUUGGAACCAGGAACCGGACCAAUUCUCUCAAGAACCGCAAGUUCCGAGCAGUUCCAGUCCGGUUCCGGGCGGUCCGGGCGGUUCCCGGGUAUUUUGCACACCCCUACUUCAAGCCCUUUUUUGAAAUUUUCUCUUUAUUUUAUUUUAGGUUGCAAUUCUUGCCCAUGGACUGAACUAAAAUAUACUCUUUUUCUCUCUCUCUUUUUCCACUUAAAAAAGCCGCUUGAUCAAAUAUGAUUUAUCUUGAGCAAAUGCACCUUGAAUCAAGGGGAAAUGACUUCGCAUUUCUUCAGAAGUCUUCCAAAUAAAGUCAACUAUUAUGCAUCUAAUUUUUUUAAUCAAUAUUUGUUACUAAUAGGUAUUCCAAAUAAAAUCAACUUAAUAAAUUUUCUUAUUUUUAAUUAAUAUUUUUUACAAAUAGGUAUUUCAAAUGAAGUCAACUCAAUAAAUUAGUAAAAAAAUUACAGAAAAACGAAAAAAUUAACUCAACCAAAAUAGAAUAACUACUCAAAGUACCUUUACUUUAAAAUAUAAAUAAGAGUGCACAAAUUGCCAAAACAUCAUUACAAAUGAUAAAUUGAAGAAUUAAAAAUGAUAAAAAUUGAUACACCCCUUCCAUACAAAGGGUGCUCAGACCGUCAACUUUUAUUUAGAGAUCACCGAAACAGUGCUUUACCCCUAGAUGUCCUAGUGCGUUUAAAAUUCUAAACUCAUGGCAAAAGUGUAACUAAAAUUUAAAAUUUUAGAUAAUAUAAUCAAAUCCGAAAAUUUACCAAAUUGAAGCAAUCAAAAUUUAAGAUGCUUAAAAUAUUACUAUAAUAUAAAUCAAUAAUAUGUGUUGUGUUGAAUGCUAAACGCGAGACAAAUCGUUGAUGCAUGAUAUCACUCAUUGAUUGUGUAGAAUUUAGGCAACAUUUUUUCUUUUUUAAUUUGAAACUUAGGCAACAGUUCAAUAAGCGGAUUUGAUAAUUACAACGAUCCCCAUAAUUGUUUCAUCAAUAUGUGAUGGAUGGAAAGUGAAAAAAAAAAUAGAAAAAGGAGUAAAAAGAGAAUAAAUACAUAACAUUUUUUUUCAUAGUGUGGUGUUACUGAACUUGAUGUUGACCGAGAGCAACUAAAUUUCCACAAGGUGUCCAGACUGCAGCAUUAAUUUUACUACAUAUUCUCCUUGGGAGAAAAUAUUGGUUGUGCAGAUUGUGCCAGCGUAACAAAUUGAAAGCUCAUCCAUUGAGCAACAUGUGUUCAUCUUCUUGCCCUCUCUCUAUUCUCCCACUUUUUUGCAAGCCACGGAUGCCUCUCUCCUCCAUAAACCCCUUCUCCUUCGGCCCUCCCCCUCACUUGCACGGGGCACAACAACGUUAUUCAACCCACCUCUCCUUCACUUGAGCUCGACCUUUGUGCCUCCCCCACCGACAACAGUUCCACCAUUGAAAUCUUCCACUGUCCCCGCAGCCCUUGGAUCCAAGAACAAGCCUAAGUCUCCCGUGCUCCUUGUUAUCACUCACGAGCCCAAGUCCCUCCACAUCUUCGGGAUUUGACAAGGGCUCAGUCCUUGCCAGAUUCAGCACGAGCGACCCUUGCCCUAGCUGGGGGCGUCAACCUCAUCGAAUCCUCUUGUCAAAUUCGGCGAGAGCGACCCUGGCUUGUGGGUCAAGUACUGGCCAUAGGUCAAAGGGAAAGAAAGUAAUUAAAAAAAAAGAAGGUAGGAAUGGCAAAGAAGAAGAAGAGAAAUGGAGGUGUGAUUCUGCAAGAGGAGAGAAACAAAGGAAGAAUAGUAUGAUAAGUAAGUUUUUUAGGGACACAUAUCACUCAAUGGAUGGGCUUUCAAUUUGUUGCAUUGGCACAACUUGUGCGGCCAAUAUUUUCUCCAUGUCUUGAUAUGGUUUAAAAAUAAGUAAAUGCUCGGCCCAUGAACGCAUGCGUGUCCAUACACAUGUUUUCACAAUUUUAUUAGUAUCAGCUAUAUGAGAUUGUGCUAUAAAUAUAAUAACGCAAAGAGGCCUAAAAUCGGAAAAGCUCACCUAGAGAAACCCCGCAUUAUCUUGAAUCAAUCCCCUGGAAUGGGAAUGGAAGCUUUCUUGGCAUCGUUUGGUUGAUUGGAGCGAGGUGGAAUGGAAAUAAAAUUGGGAAUAAAUUCAUUACUGCAUUUUUCGUUGACACGUGGGAAAGUGGAAAUGAGCGAUAAGGCAUGGGAAUGAGUUGACAGUCAAGGGUAAAUUGACAUGUGCACUAAGCUUUGUAUUUGGUUACUGUUGUUUGGACAUAAUAUGGCAAACAUACUUACCUAAUUUACUAUUAUAUAGCAAUUUAAAACGAUAAAAUUCCACCCAUUACUACAUACGUUCUAAUUCCAAUGUAUUACCAAAUGCAGUGAUCUUCAAAUCAAUCGCUAUUCUGAUUCACUACAAGCAAUUCCAUUCCCUUCAAAUUAUCUCUUGCUUAUGUAACAAAUGGGCCAAAGAAACAAGUUAAAACUCAUAUGGACAACAUCCUCAUCUAAAAUUAAGAACAUAUCAAAGUGCAUGAACCGCAAAAAUUAAGACCAUGAGCGCACGCAUGUCUAGUCUGUCUAAUUCUAUAUGUAUAUAGUGGUAGAUAUGUCCAAUAUGACCUCACUACGUACAUCCAAUUUCCACUCUGGAAAACGUAAUUAAUUGUUUAGGCUUGUUCUUCGCUACUUAUUUUUCCUCCAAUUGUCUUCAUGUUACCUCUUUUGGAAGCAUUCAGUUGAUCUACAUGCAUUGUUUGGAUAUGAAGAAAUGUUUUAAUAGUUCAGUUUUCAUAAAAAUAUACCAGCUCGAGAUUAUCAAUGGUUCGUGUAUAUGUAAUCUUGUGUACUCAAACUAGCUAAACUCGAAUGAUGUUCCAAUUUGGAUCUAAAAUACCAUUGCCGGAUAAUUUCAAUGGAAUGCCAUCAAAUUGUUUUCCCCUAAUGCUACGUUAAAGUACGUAUUGCAUAACUUAGAUACUUUUACCCAAAAUCAUUCCGAAAAAAAUAUAUCAGGACAAAUUCAGAAGUUUUAUAGGCGAUAAUCGUGGAUUAAUAUAGUUUCGUUCCAUUCUUAUAGGAACUAUCCAAAGGAAUUCAUUUCUUCACGUGGAAAGCAAACUCUGCCUUUUUUAGUCAAUUGUUGACUUGGCUUUUGAUUAAUUAUACAUGACUAAAUUCAUUUUUGCUCAAGGUUUGCUGUUUGACAUAUAAUAUCAAAAAUAUAUUUCAAAACUUCACCGCUACAUAUUUACAAUACCCCGCAACAUUGCACGAGAAGUAGCAAGCUUGUGCGGUUCACAUUCCCCUCUGAGCACCUGGGAAAGCCUACUCUCCCGUCUAAAACUGUACAAUUAAAUUAGGUCAAUAUAUCCAACUUCCAUGAUUUUAGGUAUGUGAAUGUGAAUACACCAGUUGCCAAAUGUAGGAAACAAAAGAAAAAGGAAAUAAGUUAACCACACGGGCAGGAUUGAGAGAUGUGUAUUUUUGCAAGCUACGUAAUGUCUCCGAAUAUAUAGUCAUGAGAUACGGUCCACAAACAAAUGCAAGACCAUACAGUAUCCAUUUUCCCAUUUGGGACACAUAAUCAACUAGGCAUAUUGCUACAUUAUUCAAUUGCAUUCAUUUAACUAUAUGGUAAUUUAGUGUGGGAUGGCGUACACAUUGCAUCAUAUAAUGUACAUGGAAAUUUCAAUAUUGUUACCAGUACCCACAUGAUCUCAUGAGAUAAUAUUUCGAACAAUCUUCUAAAUCUUCUUGAUAUAUAUGCCAUGCACUUGGUACCAAACUAAAAAGCAUUCCGCAACUCUCCCGUUAUAUAAACAUAGUCGACUCGCUAUGUUGUACUUAAUUAGUACGUCUAUAAUGGGGUGUGAUGAGAACGUACCAUUUCGUCUUGAUAUGCUACGAUGGAAAAACAUAUAAAAGACUCCUAAAGACAACCGUUAAGCGUGUUGACAGAACACCGUUGAGCAUGUUGGCAGAAUGUACGCUCAAAGAGAAAGUUUUCAUUUUCUUGUCCCAUUUCCAUCAAAAGAAAAAGAAGCAUUUCAUUUCUCUUUUACGAGAACAAUUGACAUUUACGCUGUGGAAACUUUCCUCGUGAUUGCAUUUAGACCAACGUGAAGUAUUUUUGUUCGUGAUUCAUUCGUAAUUUAACGAUUGUUCCGCAGUAAAUUGUUGACUGCACAUCGAGAAUAGGUAUGUCGUCUUCCGCUGACUUUCUUCCAACACGCUAUAUUACUAUCUUUACGAGAUUUUGGAGAAUUGAAGUCACAAUGUCAUCCAAUAGCAGGGGAUCGAGGAGCAAGAAAAACAUAUUUAGCAAAGCAUGGAACGUGCUCAAGGGGAAACGGGGAUCUCACGAAGCCUCAUCAAGCAGGACCUAUCGGGAUGCCGCCACGUCACCGGCGAGCUCACUGGCAGAGCCUCAAUGGAACUAUUGGGACGCCACCACGUCCCUGGUGAGCUGGAGAUCCUCGAGCAAGUCCCAGUCACGAGCGAGUUCUCGGAAAAGCUUUGAGAAGAGCUCACCGGUCGAGUCUCGGCGGAGAUCCUCGAGCGUCAGUCAAAGCGACGACCAUUAUCACAAUUCUGGUGAAGAAGAUCCAUGGCGAGCAAGCUACAGGCAUGGCGCUCUGGCCUAUUCCGGUGGUUACAAUCAAGGGCAAGUGAGAUCGUACCCGCGACCACCCCAGCAGGAAUAUGAUUAUUCUUAUCACACUAGCAAAGGGCAGUAUUAUUCUCGAGGUCUUGACAAUGUCAAUAGUUACAUCCGCGACGACGCGUCCGUUCCAUCAUUUCUGCCCCCGCAAACUUCUUAUGGUUAUCACCAUCCAUCCGAGUCUCCCUCGAAUAAUUGUGCGGUGAUGUGAGAUGCCUAAUAUAGUGUGGCUAUAGUUGCUAUUUACUAAUAUCCGGUGAAGUACGGGAUGAGCUAGGGGCAUGGUUGAGCCUUUGGUUUGUUAGCUUUCGCUUGUGAAUCUCAGUGAAGUUUCUUGGGAGAUUGAUUGAAAUGGCUUUGCCAGUUAAUGAAGAUUAUAUAUUUAUUUUAUGAAGUUUCAUCUAGUUCGUAGAUGCUAAAAAGUUCUAUUAAAAUUUUACUAAAAUUAAGGGCACUUAAUUCCAUCAAUUGUCUAGGGUUCUACUUCUAUGGAUAGAUGUUCUCUCACCAAUCAUUUAUCACAAAAACUAAACCAAAUGAUAAACGAUUUAUAAAAAUAGUUUAAAAAGAAAAAGAAAAUUGGCCACGCCAUUCUUGAAAAUUCUUCAUUCUUCAAGGAAGACCUUUAAGGAUCCAAGCUUUCUUGUGAUCCUACGUGUUCAAACUUCAAGUAGCUUUGAAUGUGUAGAUAUACAUUGAAAUUCGUCUUUCCAGAUGUUUAUGGCAUCUCCAUUGAGAUGCAUAUACAUGGAGGAGAAACUUUUCAAGCUCAUCCAUUUAAAAAUUGGGCUCCUUGCUUGAUGAAAUUCAGUGGACGAAGACGAGAGAAAGCGUUUCCAGUUAAAAAGAUCAAAACCGAAAAUAUCUCCACUCAGUCCGUCGCAAGUAAUUGAAUUGUUGAUAUAUCGACAUAAUAAUGAAGAAGGAAAUGUUAGAUUAAAUGUAAACUAAAACACGACGAUCCCGAUUAUCAAUCACAAAUAAAUUCAUACAGAAUUCAGGAUCGAUUUGCAAAAACGUAAAGAUCAACAUACCUCCGGCCAUUGAUGAAAAUUUGCAAAAACAGAAAACUUCAAAACCUUAGACGGAUCCACGUAGCACGAUUGAUCUUCAAUAUGGAGAACACUAGAUAUGUACGUCAUGUUCUACUAGCCAUUACCCCUCAAACCUAAUGUGUGUUUUCUAUAGUGAUAGGGUUUGAACUAGAUGAUUUUGUUCCAACUCUUAGACAUCUUCCAUCAAAACCGUUAUUGAUAACUCUAUAAAAAUAGAGUUAUUUGACCUAUUUUAGGCAACAAUUAAUGCAUUAUCUAUGAAAAAAUAUUUGGAUUUCCUUUUGAUUAUUUGAAUUUUCCUUGUUUAUGCAGAAUAAUAAGAUAUGGAGAAGAUAAGGAAAAGAAUGGCAAUUAUCAGUAAUUCAAAUAAAAGCGGUAGUGGAAAAGUGGAAAUAUCAAAUCAGGAAAUUCUUGAUUUUAUUCCCUAAUGUUAUCUAUAAGCAUUGGGAGAUAGAUAUUUUAGAUUUCCUAUAAAUAGGAAGAGAGACAGCUAGGGUUUUUAGGGUUGGAGUUAGAUCGUUUUUCAUUCUUCUGAGAGUUUUUUCAGAUCGUUUUUCAUUCUUCUGAGAGUUUUUUCAAGUAUUUUGAAGAAAAGACAAAAGUGGUGACAGAAUUCUUGUCCUUUGAUUCAAGAUGCUAGGUUUGAUCUAUAUUUUUAUUUUUAUUUCUUAUUCUACUAUGUUCUAAUUUUCUUUUGUUAGGGCUACGAUGUAGCCUAACCAUGAUAAUAUGAAUUUCAUGAUUUUUAUAUUUUACAAUUGAUUUUAUUCAUGUGAGUUAUAUAUUAUUGCGUUUAAUGCUUUUGAAUGACUGGCCACCACUUGAAUGAUUUGAUGUGCAUGUUUGAGACUGAGAGGUGAUAAUAUGCAAUUGCUCAUUAUAAUAUAUAACCAUGAAUUAAACGUGGAUAGAAAUAACCGCGUUAUUUGUGUAACUUUCGGUGAUAAGGUGAUCCAAAAGACUCAUUGUAAACCGGGAAUAUUCAUAGUUUUUAAUGCACUCAUGUUUAUUUUAAUUCACAUAGAGAUAUAGUGGAUUAAUAAGCUGAGUAGGUUUGCUAUACCUAGAGAUAGGAUAGUAAAUAGAUUAGGAAAUUCCGCUAUCACAUGUUUGAUAUCGUUCUUGUAUUCACAAUAAUCUGAAAUUCAUAUCUAGUGGUUAUGGUGAAAUCGGAUGCUUUAACAUAUUUAUCUGAUUGAUUUUAUUGCAUUUAGUCUUCAAGUUUUGUUUUUAAUUUAUUCUAAAUUAUAUUUUGAUUUGUUAGAUAAAUUUUAGAAUUAAUCUAUUUUAGUAUUUCAUUAGUUUAUUAAUCAUCGAUCUCCGUGGGACGAUACUUUUUCUCAUCAUUAUAUUACUUAUUCGAUACGUGCACUUGCGUUUAGAAUUUCACGAACAGUUAUGGUAACAUAUUAACGGGCAAAUAUCACAUAAUAGAUGUGGGUGAUAAAUUGGAAAAUAAAUCGAAACUAAUUGGGAAUAUAAUAUUGGGAUCAUAUUUAGAAUAAUAAAUAUAUUACAACAGGAGAGAGAUUUAUUUAUUUCAAUAGCUUCUUUAGUGAAGAUUAUAGUAAUCUAUUUAUAAAUUUUAUAAAGUGACCAUCCGAAAAAACAAAAUAUUACACAAAGUAAUGACGAUCAAUGAAAACCAUUUGAAAAUAUGCAUAAUCAAAUGAACAUGGUGCACAAUUCUGAGAAAUAUACAAAACCAAUGGCUAUGAAGCACGGACACGUUGCCCGUGCUUCUGUGUCGUGUCUGACAUGUGUCGGAGCGUGUCGGACACGUCGACAUGCUCGGACACGCUCGGACACGCGGUCAACUUUUCUUGACACGCGUGUCAAUGCGUGUCCGGAAGACUCCGGGUGGAGGCGAGGGAGGGGGAGGGAGCAAAGGCCGCGAGCAACGGUGAGAGAUGGCCAGAGAGAGGAAGAGAAGAGGAAGGGAUCGAGGCCCGAGGGGGCGGUGGCGGCGACGGCAUCUCCUCCUCCUCAGCGUCGCGUCCACUCCAUCGUCGGAAGUUGAGAAACGAUACGAGGUGCGAAAGAGGGGAGUGAGGUCUGCUGUCUGCGUGUUUGUCUUGGUCCAAUGUUUUUUGUGCGAGCAGUAGAAGGAGGAAAAAGAGGGUCGCUAGGGUUUGUGAUAAUGGAAUAAAAAAUAAUAAAAAGAGGGGGACGAUGGCGUGUCUUUUGAGUUUUGGGGGAGGGGAAGUGAGGCUAACAGCUUGUCUGUCAGUGGUUUCGGGAGGGAAAAAAGUAAAAUAAGUUUGGGGUGGAGGGAAAUGGACAAAGAAAAGAAAGAGUGGAUUUGGGAAUUUUUUUUUUAUAGAAAAAUUAAAUAAAUGAAAUUGAAAAAUAAUUUCGAAAAGUAAAAGUAUUGAAUUUUGAAUAAUCAUAAAUUUUGAUCAUUCUAAAAAAUCAUGAAUUUAUUAUUAGUUUUAUCAAUAACUUUUGUUAAAAUUAAAAACAUGUUUCGCCUUAAUUAUGAAUAUAUCUUUCGAAUUUUAAAUGAAUUGAUUUAUUAAUAUUAUUAGUAUAAAUUUAUUAUAGGCUUUUUUAAUUAAUUAAUUAUUUAUGAAUUUGAAUCAAAUUAAUUAAAAAUAAAAAUAUACAUUUAAUAUUUAACGCGUCGCAAUGUGUCGGAAUUUUCUAUUUUUUAUAAAUGACGUGUCGACGUAUCGUGUCGUGUCGGACACUCAUGUCGUGUCGCGUGUCCGUGCUACAUAGACCAAUGGAGAUUAAAAGAAUCUACCUUAUAUAAAGACAUAGAAGAAGUCAAUUGUAGAAUAUAUUAGUAGUCUUAUCAACCAAUGAAGUGGAGACAAGAUGCACAAUGUCAUGAAGCACGUGAAACGAUAGUUUCUUUCAAUAUGUUUGGUGCUUUCAUAAAAAAAUAUAUAUUAUUAUAUGCUGUUCGGGUCCAAUUGUCAUGAUAAAUAAGUAUUAUGUUGUUAAGAUGACACCUAUAUGUCUUUUAAUAACCAUUACAAAUACAAUAAUUUUGAUGUUGUAUUAGCAAAAGUGUGAUAUUCAGCUUUCAUGCUAGAUGAAGCGACGAUGGUCUAUUUAUUGUUAUGCUAUAAGAUAAGUGAGUUACUUAGAAAGAAACAAUAGCCUGUAGUGAAGUAAUCAUCAAGAGCGUCUCCUGCCCAAUGAGUGUCCGAUUUAGUUAAAAAGAUUGACUAAAAACUGAUCUCCACCCUAUCCAUUGAAAGCAGGUGAAUUACUUAGUUCAAUGGAAGAACCGCUACAUGAAUAAUGGGUAAGGGAGUCUAUCUCGGGAAAUAAACUACGAAUCCAUUAAGGCUCCCUUCAUUUUGUGAAACACAAUUUCCAGAAAAAGUAUUUUUUGGAUUUUUCGAUAUUCCUUUCCUGAAAAAUGAAUUAAUCGAGGAAAACAUUUUCCAUCAGCAAAAAAGAGUUUUCUAAAAUAGAGAAAAAAAUUUCUACAUUUCAAGAUGAAGAAAACAUUUUUCUUACUCAUUUUCUCUUAUCUCAUACCUAUGUUAACCUUUUCAUCUUUUUUCCUUAAAAAAUCAAUUUUUUAAUUAUUUUUCUUUUCUUUUUCUUGUUUUUCUCUUUCGAGCUCGAGACUCAUUGGAAUUUGGCAAGCCUUAAGCUCGCCUACGGCCAAUCGCUGGCCAUCACCGUGGUGGAUCAAAGAAGAAGAAUAUAAAAAUAAAUAAAAAUAAAUAAUAAAUAAUAAAAAUAAUUUAAAAAUCGAUUUUAAGAAAUAAAAUAAAUAAAAAAUUAUUGAAAAAGAGUGCAUGGAGGAAAAAAUUUUCCUUACCAAAUAAUAGAAAAUAUUUUAUAAUUCAUUUUCAAAUUUCAGCUGCAAACUACAAAAUAUGGCUAUCUUCUUGAAAAAUGGCUUCUAGAAAAAAAUUUCUGGAAAUGCUACAUUUUUCAUGAAACAAAUAGAAUCUUAAUUGAAAAAUGAUUCGUUCGACAUAGCCUGGAGCUAGGUCUCUCUGUCCAUUGGGCAACCAGGAAUGCAACCCUAAAGUGCCAUUAUUAUUAUUUUGCCCCCGAUUUCAAAUGCAAGUAGGCCUUCUAUUUAUUUUAGGGAAAAUUCCAAAAAAGGGGCUCGAAGUGUUCUUAUUUUCUUAAAUAAAAGCUCGAAGUAGACCUUGUUUCAAAUAUAACGCCUGAAGUGCCAUUAUUUUAUCGAAUAAGGGACUGAAGUGAAUAUUGUUUUAAAUAAGGGCCUGAAAUUACUAUGCCAGUUUCAAAUAAUAGCCUAAAGUAAUUAUGUCAGUUUCAAAUAAGAACUUUCUCUUCUUCUUUUUUUCUUUUUUCUCUCCUUUUUUUUUUGUUCUUCUUCUUCCUUUUUGCCAAUGACCGAAGGGUUGGGCGAGGGUCAUCGUUACCCGAUUCAAUGAGCGCCACCCAUGUCGGCCACAAAUGAGGAAUGGCCUCACCUGGGCAAGGCCACCCUUGCCUUGGGGGAGGCUGCCCCUUGCGGCCAUCUACAAGGGCUCGGUGACCUCAUCGGCCACGGGCGAGGGUGGCCUCACUCACAAUCGGUGAGGGCUUGCAGGCUCUUGUCGGCCGUUCCUAAUGGCUAGCAAGAUCAUUGACCCCUUGCAAUGAAAAAAGAAGAAAAAAGAAAAGAAAAUUUGGAUUAAAACUCCUUGAUCAGUUGGAAAAUUUAGCCAGUCAAUAACCGCCGAAGUCAGGCCCUUAUUUGAAACAACAAUGGCUACAUCAGAUCUUUAUUUAAAACAAUCAAAGCCACUUCAAGUUUUUAUUUGAAACAAUAUCUAUUUCGAAUUUUUAUUUAAGAAAAUGAGGCACUUCAAGUCAUUUUUUGAAAUUUUCUCUUUAUUUUAUUUUAGGUUGCAAUUGUUGCCCGUGGACUGAACUAAAAUAUACUCUCUCUCUCUCUCUCUCUUUCCACUUAAAAAAGCCGCUUGAUCAAAUAUGAUUUAUCUUGAGCAAAUGCACCUUGAAUCAAGGGGGAAAUGACUUCGCAUUUCUUCAUAAGUCUUCCAAACGCAAGUGCUCAUUUCAACAUUUGCAUCAAGAUUUCUAACCUUUCUGUUUCGAGAAACUAUAGUUACUGCGAUUUUUCUUUUCGUUUUUUAUUUUUUAAAAAAAAGUCAAAGCCACACGGUGCAUCACGUUGACCCAUCAUCAGUCAACGCAUGCCGAUCGGCAGGCGCUGUCCAUGUCCCGACCUCAUCGUCAUAAGCGACUAAUGUAAACCAAGCGACAACCAUCGAUCUUCGAAGGAGAAGACUUCACAGAUUGGGGCUUCUUCCGUCGGCGAUCGUCUUCACUUCCUCUCCAAAUCGCUUCCGUCUUCUCCAGGCACCCUGAAAAUUCCCCAUGGCGACGGCGCUUGUCGGCGGAGCAUUUCUCUCCGCUUUCCUCCAGGUGCUCUUCGACCGGAUGGCCUCCCGCGAGGUCGUCGACUUCUUCCGGUCACGCAAGCUCGGCAAGGGGAGGCUGCUGCAGAAGCUGGAGGUCGCCCUCCUGUCCGCGAACGCCGUGCUGGACGACGCGGAUGAGAAGCAGAUGACCAACGACUCCGUCAGGAAGUGGCUCGACGAGCUCAAGGACGCCGUGUACGACGCCGACGACCUGUUCGACGAGAUCGCCGCCGAGGAUCUGGAGCGAGAAGCCGGGUCCGACCCUCGGGCCCUCGCUUGUAAGGUCUGCAGCUUCGCUUCGGACGCUUGUGCGAGUGGACUAGGAGAUAAGUUAGAGAAGGUUCUGGAGAGAUUGGAGAGCGUGGUGAAGCAGAGAGAAGUGCUGGGCCUAAGGGAAGGUAUUCGCGAGAGGACGCCUAGAGCUUUGCCGACCACUUCGUUGGUCGAGGAAUCGGGCGUCUUCGGGAGGGAGAAGGACAGGGAGGCGGUGAUCGAGUUGCUCUUGUCGGAUCGGGGUGAAAAGAACACCAGCGUGAUGGCCAUAGUUGGGAUGGGUGGUGUUGGUAAGACCACGUUGUCCCAGCUCGUGUUCAACGAUAGUGCGGUGAAGGGGAGUUUCGAGUUGAGGUCGUGGGUUUGCGUGUCCCACCAAUUCGACAUCUGCAAGCUGACGGCGACGGCUCUCGAGGAAUUCUCCUCUUCCAAGAAGGAGACGGAAAAUCUCAACCAGCUUCAGCUCCAACUGAAGAACUUCUUGACAGGGAAGAAAUUCCUAUUGCUGUUGGAUGAUGUUUGGAAUGAGGACUCAAAUAUUUGGAAUGCGUUCCUAGUUCCUUUUAGCUAUGGAGCAAGAGGCAGCAAAAUCAUCGUGACACCAAGAAAUGAGGGCGUCGCAUUGGUUGCUCGUGCCUUCUCGACAUACUAUUUACAGAAGUUACAAGACAAGGAAUGUUGGGACUUGUUCGCACAACAUGCAUUUGAAGAGCAUAACUUCGAGGCGCACAUGAGACUUGAAGAUAUUGGGCAAAGAAUUGUUAAGAGAUGUGAUGGAUUGCCUCUUGCACUGAAGACUAUAGGUAGCUUGUUACGCUAUGAGUCUGAUAUCAGGAAGUGGGAAAUAAUUGCAGAGAGUGAUAUUUGGGAUUUGGCACCUGGAAAGAAUGAAAUUCUCCCUGCGUUGUUGUUAAGUUAUCAUUACCUUCCUCCACAACUGAAGCAAUGUUUUUCCUACUGUUCAAUCUUCCCAAAGGAUUGUAGAUAUGAGAAGGACCAACUGAUCUUACUUUGGAUUGGUGAGGGCUUGAUAAAACAACCUAAGGACAGCAGGACAUUAGAGGAAGUAGGUGAUCAGUGCUUCUGUGAUCUAGUGUCUAGAUCUUUGCUUCAUAGAGUAAGCAACGUUGAAUCAAGUUUCUGGAUGCAUGAACUGGUCAAUGACUUAGCAAGAUAUGUAGCUGGUCGAUCUUUUUAUAGCUUGGACAGAGUCAAUUCCCACCAGGUGUCCUCAAGCACUCGCCAUUUGUCAUUUGUAAGAACUCGAUAUGAUGUCGCUUCUAGAUUCGGAGUGUUAGCCGGGGCAAUGAAUUUGCGUACUUUCCUGCCACUAAACGUGGAUCACGUGACAUCUAACGCGUACUUUUUCUUGACUGAUGAGGUACUGCAUGUUCUGUUGCCGACCUUGAGUCGGUUAAGGGUGCUAUCUUUGUCUCAUUAUCAGAAACUCUCUAUGUUGCCCAGUUCAGUUGGAUGUUUGAAGCAUCUGCGCUAUUUGAAUCUCUCUUAUAAUAGAAGUCUAGCCAGAUUGCCUGAUUCAAUUACUGCUCUAUACAACUUGCAAACCUUAAUUCUUGCUUACUGUCAGUCUCUCAUUGAGUUACCAAGAAACAUGGGUAGCCUAACCUGUCUGCAUCAUCUUGAUAUAAGGGAGACAUUCCUGAAGAGAAUACCGUUGGGGAUGAGCAAACUGAAGAAUUUGCAGACAUUAACUAAUUUCGUGGUGGCUGAAAACGGUGGGACCAGGGUUAGGGAACUAGGGGAGCUUGGGAAUCUUAUGGGUACACUCUCCAUAUAGGGUUUGCAGAAUGUUGAUAGUUACCAAGAUGCAGAGAUAGUCGAUUUGCAGGGAAAAAGGUACUUGAAAAAGUUAGUACUGGAAUGGGGUUCUGAUAAAAAUAUUAUGCAGCAAAAUUGCUUAAAUGUAUUGGACAAGCUGCAACCUCAUUGGAACUUGACAGAGCUUAUCAUUAUAUCCUAUAGUGGUAAGUCGUUCUCUGAUUGGCUAGGACAUGGUUCAUUCUCUAAUAUGUCAGUCAUGCGUCUUGAAUCUUGCAAGCACUGUGUGUCGUUGCCUCCUUUAGGACAGCUACCAUCUCUAGAGAAGUUGAUAAUCAAAGGAUUUGAUGGAGUUACAAGUGUGGGUACUGAAUUCAAUGGUAGUAACUGUAUACCUUUUCAGUCACUUAAGUACUUGGAAUUUGCUGACAUGUGCAGUUGGAAAGAGUGGGCUUCUUUUGCAAUAGAGACGGGUGGUCUUGCCUUUGCACAUCUGCAUGAGCUUUGUAUUAGAAAUUGCCCCGAGUUGAGUGGAGGUUUGCCCAACCAUCUCCCUUCUCUAUCAGCCUUGUCCAUUGAAAAGUGUCCACAGCUAACGUCUUCUCUACCAUUUGCACCACUUCUUCGUAAGAUCAAUUUGGAUGAUUGUGGAAAGGUUUCUGGAGUUGAGCCUCUCCUAAAUGGCACUGAGUUACGAGAUAUGGAAAUCAAGAAUCUUUCAACCCUUCCCUUGAGGUUUCUUCCUCCUACCAUGAUAAGACUCAAUCUUGAAGACAGUCAUGAAAUAGAGUUGCCAAUACAUAGAUGCCAUGAAUCUCUCCAAUAUCUAAACUUGAAGCAGAGCUGCGAUUCACUUAUAUCCAUUCCUCUGGAAAUUUUCCCCUCACUUAAGAAUAUUCAGUUAGUGGAGAUUCAAAAAUUGGAACAUCUUUCAAAUUCAGACAGUUCUCCACUUCUUCUCCAUUCGAUGAACAUUAGUGAUUGCCUUGAAUUUAGAUCUUUCCCUGCGGGAGGAUUGGUUGCCCCACGCCUCACUUCAUUAGAGUUGAAUGAUUGUCAUCAUCUAAAGUAUCUGCCAGAAAACAUGCAUGCUCUCCCUCCUUCGCUUCGGUCACUGAAAAUAUCCUCAUGUCCACAACUCGAGUCAUUUCCCGAGCAGGGUUUGCCCUCCAAGUUGGUUGCGCUUUCACUCUCUAAUUGUGACAAGCUCAUCACUGGCCGCAAGGAUUGGGGUCUUCAAUCACUAUGCUCUCUUAAAACUUUUGUCAUUGAGCAGGAGAAAAAUAUAGAGUCAUUUCCUGAGAUAGGGCUUCUACCAAGCUCUCUUACCUCUCUGUAUAUCUUUAACUUUGAGAAUCUGACAUCCCUGAACUCCAAAGGGCUUCAUAGCCUGAGCUCCCUUGAAAAAUUGUUCAUUGGCGAAUGUCCUAAGCUCCAUUCCUUCCCAAAGGAGGAACAAAUUCUGCCUGCUUCUCUUACCACUCUGUUGAUUUAUGAUAUGGAUCUAAAAUCACUAGACAACUUAGGGCUCCACCACCUCACUUGUCUCAAAACCUUUCACAUAAUUGACUGCCGAAGUCUUCGAUCCAUGCCAGUUGAGGGCUUGUCAUCCUCCCUUUCCAAUCUAUUUAUCUAUGGGUGUCCUUUUCUGGAGAAAAGAUGCCAACGCAAGAAAGGGAAAGAUUGGCCCCUAGUUUCUUACAUUCGCUGCAUCGUGAUUGAAGAUGUGCUCAUCACAUAAUCGAAUAUCUUGCUUUACAAGCCCUGCAUUUACCAAGAUCUCACUAGGGUAUCUCUCUUGACCCUACACUAAGUAAGCCAUUUAUAUAUUCACAACAUGCUUCAGUCGCACUGUGGUCAAGCAGUACCAUCUGGCUGUAUUUGCCGCAAGCCACUCUGGUAACACUCCACAAUGGAAGUUAUUUGUAGUUUCACCAGCUUUCCAUUCUUGUUCCUACUAUCGGGCUGCAUGAUUUGUUUAUCGGUUGCCGAGUUAUUUAGCUGGAUCAUCUGUUUUUCAUUUGUUUAUUGGUUGCCGAUUUAUUUAGUUGGAUCAUCUGCUUUUCCCCUUCUCCAUUCUCUCUAUAUAAAUCACACUCCCAUACUUCAGCUGAGCAUCUGUCACGGUCCUUUAUACUCUCACUGGAAAUGAUAAUUCCAUUGGUUACUUUUUGGUCAUCAUCAAGUUAUUUCAGCUUUAGAACCUCACUCCAUAUCACCGAUUGUCACACCUACAAAUGCCAACUCAUGGAACUGUUUGUGCAUGAGCUAACUAAUGUAAAUAGAGCAAAGAGAUUCGUGGCCAUAUGAAGAAGGCCUAGCCUUGAUUAGGCUAUCCAGAUGAAAUUAUUUUUUCACAAACCCUGUGGCACAUCCUCAAGUUAUAGAGAGAGUAAAUUUGCUCUUAUUGACAGAUGCUUUCUGUUGUCUAAAGCCUUAUAAUAUUGCAAGGGAGACAUAAAUUCUUAAGGACAGGCAUGACUCAUGACUGACCUCUAUUCCACUUGCCAGAACAGUGUGGUAUCGUGGGUGUAGUAUAUUUCUGUUUGCUUUGUAUUUUUAUUUGUCCAUUUCAGCUUAACAUCACUCUAAUGCUGUACAGUUUAACAAUUUCCCUGCCUACACGUGGAAUUCUGAUCCAUAGAAUGUGAAAAUUGAACAGUAUUAGAUGCAAGUGACCCGGCAUUUUGUAGUGGCAUAUCCACUUUUGUCACUAAUUAUAUCACGACAUCAACUAAAUCCAAACUGAAGGACUAAAAAUGCAAUUCGAUCAAAAUAUAUGGACCUAUUGUAACUUACCCUAUUUUGAGAGAAUAUCGUUACUUUCGAGUAGACCUGUUAAACGGGUGGGUUGGGUCGGGUUUGGGUCGGGUCAUAAAUGGUCUGACCCAAAUCGACCCAUUUAACCCAUUUAUGACCCAUUUAUUAUAGUGCAAAAUUUUUGACCCAUACCCGACCCGAUCCAUACUCGACCCAUACCCGACCCAUUUAAUGAAACCUAAAAAAGCUUAUAUAUAUAUUUUUAAAAUGAUAUUGCUAAAAUGGUUUUAUACAACACAAAUUUAAUGGAUAAUUUUUAUAAUUUUUAAAAUAAUUAUUUUAAAAAAAUCGAAUUUUAAUUAUUUUUUAAUUUUUUAAAAAAUUAUUUUUUAAUUAUUUUUAAUUUUAUUUUUAAGAAUAUAAUAUUUCUUUUUCUUUUUUCUUUUUUCUUUUUUUUUCUUCUUCUUCGGUCAGCCGCCGGCCACGACGACUGCCGGCGGCCGGCCACAGGCGAGCCUCGAGCUCGCCCGGCUCGCCGACGACGCCGAGCUCAAGGCUCGCCAGAUCCAGCGAGCUCGAGCUCGCCCGACGCCGGCGAGCUCGAGUCUCGCCAGAUCCGGCGAGCUCGAGCUCGCCCGACGCCGGCGAGCUCGAAUCUCGCCAGAUCGGCGAGGCUCCAAAUCCGGCGAGCUCGAGGCUCGCCAGCAUCGGGCGAGCUCGAGCUCGCCCCUCGCCGGAUCUGGCGAGGCUCGAGCCUCGUCGGAUGUCGGCGAGGCCUCCGCCUCGCCAGAUCUGGCGAGCUCGAGGCUCGCCGGCGAGUUGGAGUCUCGCCAGAUCGGCGAGGCUCGAGCUCGNNNNNNNNNNNNNNNNNNNNNNNNNNNNNNNNNNNNNNNNNNNNNNNNNNNNNNNNNNNNNNNNNNNNNNNNNNNNNNNNNNNNNNNNNNNNNNNNNNNNNNNNNNNNNNNNNNNNNNNNNNNNNNNNNNNNNNNNNNNNNNNNNNNNNNNNNNNNNNNNNNNNNNNNNNNNNNNNNNNNNNNNNNNNNNNNNNNNNNNNNNNNNNNNNNNNNNNNNNNNNNNNNNNNNNNNNNNNNNNNNNNNNNNNNNNNNNNNNNNNNNNNNNNNNNNNNNNNNNNNNNNNNNNNNNNNNNNNNNNNNNNNNNNNNNNNNNNNNNNNNNNNNNNNNNNNNNNNNNNNNNNNNNNNNNNNNNNNNNNNNNNNNNNNNNNNNNNNNNNNNNNNNNNNNNNNNNNNNNNNNNNNNNNNNNNNNNNNNNNNNNNNNNNNNNNNNNNNNNNNNNNNNNNNNNNNNNNNNNNNNNNNNNNNNNNNNNNNNNNNNNNNNNNNNNNNNNNNNNNNNNNNNNNNNNNNNNNNNNNNNNNNNNNNNNNNNNNNNNNNNNNNNNNNNNNNNNNNNNNNNNNNNNNNNNNNNNNNNNNNNNNNNNNNNNNNNNNNNNNNNNNNNNNNNNNNNNNNNNNNNNNNNNNNNNNNNNNNNNNNNNNNNNNNNNNNNNNNNNNNNNNNNNNNNNNNNNNNNNNNNNNNNNNNNNNNNNNNNNNNNNNNNNNNNNNNNNNNNNNNNNNNNNNNNNNNNNNNNNNNNNNNNNNNNNNNNNNNNNNNNNNNNNNNNNNNNNNNNNNNNNNNNNNNNNNNNNNNNNNNNNNNNNNNNNNNNNNNNNNNNNNNNNNNNNNNNNNNNNNNNNNNNNNNNNNNNNNNNNNNNNNNNNNNNNNNNNNNNNNNNNNNNNNNNNNNNNNNNNNNNNNNNNNNNNNNNNNNNNNNNNNNNNNNNNNNNNNNNNNNNNNNNNNNNNNNNNNNNNNNNNNNNNNNNNNNNNNNNNNNNNNNNNNNNNNNNNNNNNNNNNNNNNNNNNNNNNNNNNNNNNNNNNNNNNNNNNNNNNNNNNNNNNNNNNNNNNNNNNNNNNNNNNNNNNNNNNNNNNNNNNNNNNNNNNNNNNNNNNNNNNNNNNNNNNNNNNNNNNNNNNNNNNNNNNNNNNNNNNNNNNNNNNNNNNNNNNNNNNNNNNNNNNNNNNNNNNNNNNNNNNNNNNNNNNNNNNNNNNNNNNNNNNNNNNNNNNNNNNNNNNNNNNNNNNNNNNNNNNNNNNNNNNNNNNNNNNNNNNNNNNNNNNNNNNNNNNNNNNNNNNNNNNNNNNNNNNNNNNNNNNNNNNNNNNNNNNNNNNNNNNNNNNNNNNNNNNNNNNNNNNNNNNNNNNNNNNNNNNNNNNNNNNNNNNNNNNNNNNNNNNNNNNNNNNNNNNNNNNNNNNNNNNNNNNNNNNNNNNNNNNNNNNNNNNNNNNNNNNNNNNNNNNNNNNNNNNNNNNNNNNNNNNNNNNNNNNNNNNNNNNNNNNNNNNNNNNNNNNNNNNNNNNNNNNNNNNNNNNNNNNNNNNNNNNNNNNNNNNNNNNNNNNNNNNNNNNNNNNNNNNNNNNNNNNNNNNNNNNNNNNNNNNNNNNNNNNNNNNNNNNNNNNNNNNNNNNNNNNNNNNNNNNNNNNNNNNNNNNNNNNNNNNNNNNNNNNNNNNNNNNNNNNNNNNNNNNNNNNNNNNNNNNNNNNNNNNNNNNNNNNNNNNNNNNNNNNNNNNNNNNNNNNNNNNNNNNNNNNNNNNNNNNNNNNNNNNNNNNNNNNNNNNNNNNNNNNNNNNNNNNNNNNNNNNNNNNNNNNNNNNNNNNNNNNNNNNNNNNNNNNNNNNNNNNNNNNNNNNNNNNNNNNNNNNNNNNNNNNNNNNNNNNNNNNNNNNNNNNNNNNNNNNNNNNNNNNNNNNNNNNNNNNNNNNNNNNNNNNNNNNNNNNNNNNNNNNNNNNNNNNNNNNNNNNNNNNNNNNNNNNNNNNNNNNNNNNNNNNNNNNNNNNNNNNNNNNNNNNNNNNNNNNNNNNNNNNNNNNNNNNNNNNNNNNNNNNNNNNNNNNNNNNNNNNNNNNNNNNNNNNNNNNNNNNNNNNNNNNNNNNNNNNNNNNNNNNNNNNNNNNNNNNNNNNNNNNNNNNNNNNNNNNNNNNNNNNNNNNNNNNNNNNNNNNNNNNNNNNNNNNNNNNNNNNNNNNNNNNNNNNNNNNNNNNNNNNNNNNNNNNNNNNNNNNNNNNNNNNNNNNNNNNNNNNNNNNNNNNNNNNNNNNNNNNNNNNNNNNNNNNNNNNNNNNNNNNNNNNNNNNNNNNNNNNNNNNNNNNNNNNNNNNNNNNNNNNNNNNNNNNNNNNNNNNNNNNNNNNNNNNNNNNNNNNNNNNNNNNNNNNNNNNNNNNNNNNNNNNNNNNNNNNNNNNNNNNNNNNNNNNNNNNNNNNNNNNNNNNNNNNNNNNNNNNNNNNNNNNNNNNNNNNNNNNNNNNNNNNNNNNNNNNNNNNNNNNNNNNNNNNNNNNNNNNNNNNNNNNNNNNNNNNNNNNNNNNNNNNNNNNNNNNNNNNNNNNNNNNNNNNNNNNNNNNNNNNNNNNNNNNNNNNNNNNNNNNNNNNNNNNNNNNNNNNNNNNNNNNNNNNNNNNNNNNNNNNNNNNNNNNNNNNNNNNNNNNNNNNNNNNNNNNNNNNNNNNNNNNNNNNNNNNNNNNNNNNNNNNNNNNNNNNNNNNNNNNNNNNNNNNNNNNNNNNNNNNNNNNNNNNNNNNNNNNNNNNNNNNNNNNNNNNNNNNNNNNNNNNNNNNNNNNNNNNNNNNNNNNNNNNNNNNNNNNNNNNNNNNNNNNNNNNNNNNNNNNNNNNNNNNNNNNNNNNNNNNNNNNNNNNNNNNNNNNNNNNNNNNNNNNNNNNNNNNNNNNNNNNNNNNNNNNNNNNNNNNNNNNNNNNNNNNNNNNNNNNNNNNNNNNNNNNNNNNNNNNNNNNNNNNNNNNNNNNNNNNNNNNNNNNNNNNNNNNNNNNNNNNNNNNNNNNNNNNNNNNNNNNNNNNNNNNNNNNNNNNNNNNNNNNNNNNNNNNNNNNNNNNNNNNNNNNNNNNNNNNNNNNNNNNNNNNNNNNNNNNNNNNNNNNNNNNNNNNNNNNNNNNNNNNNNNNNNNNNNNNNNNNNNNNNNNNNNNNNNNNNNNNNNNNNNNNNNNNNNNNNNNNNNNNNNNNNNNNNNNNNNNNNNNNNNNNNNNNNNNNNNNNNNNNNNNNNNNNNNNNNNNNNNNNNNNNNNNNNNNNNNNNNNNNNNNNNNNNNNNNNNNNNNNNNNNNNNNNNNNNNNNNNNNNNNNNNNNNNNNNNNNNNNNNNNNNNNNNNNNNNNNNNNNNNNNNNNNNNNNNNNNNNNNNNNNNNNNNNNNNNNNNNNNNNNNNNNNNNNNNNNNNNNNNNNNNNNNNNNNNNNNNNNNNNNNNNNNNNNNNNNNNNNNNNNNNNNNNNNNNNNNNNNNNNNNNNNNNNNNNNNNNNNNNNNNNNNNNNNNNNNNNNNNNNNNNNNNNNNNNNNNNNNNNNNNNNNNNNNNNNNNNNNNNNNNNNNNNNNNNNNNNNNNNNNNNNNNNNNNNNNNNNNNNNNNNNNNNNNNNNNNNNNNNNNNNNNNNNNNNNNNNNNNNNNNNNNNNNNNNNNNNNNNNNNNNNNNNNNNNNNNNNNNNNNNNNNNNNNNNNNNNNNNNNNNNNNNNNNNNNNNNNNNNNNNNNNNNNNNNNNNNNNNNNNNNNNNNNNNNNNNNNNNNNNNNNNNNNNNNNNNNNNNNNNNNNNNNNNNNNNNNNNNNNNNNNNNNNNNNNNNNNNNNNNNNNNNNNNNNNNNNNNNNNNNNNNNNNNNNNNNNNNNNNNNNNNNNNNNNNNNNNNNNNNNNNNNNNNNNNNNNNNNNNNNNNNNNNNNNNNNNNNNNNNNNNNNNNNNNNNNNNNNNNNNNNNNNNNNNNNNNNNNNNNNNNNNNNNNNNNNNNNNNNNNNNNNNNNNNNNNNNNNNNNNNNNNNNNNNNNNNNNNNNNNNNNNNNNNNNNNNNNNNNNNNNNNNNNNNNNNNNNNNNNNNNNNNNNNNNNNNNNNNNNNNNNNNNNNNNNNNNNNNNNNNNNNNNNNNNNNNNNNNNNNNNNNNNNNAAAUGGAUCAUAAAAUGGGUCAACUCUUUAACCCAUUUAAAAUCCAUAUAUCUUAGUAUUAACCCAUUAAAACUCAUAUAUGUGCUUUAUGAAAGAAAGCUUGACCCAUUAAUGACCCAUUUAACCAUAAAUGGGUCUAUAAAUGGGUUAUGCAACCCAUUUAACACCUCUACUUUCGAGGGAACUUAAGUGGUUUUAUGUGCACUAACUGUUGAGGAGCUUUUGUGGAUGGAGAUAAAGCUGGAAAUGUAUUGCUAGCUUUUAGCUUGAUUUGAGUAUCCUGAUACUUGUCUUUCAAUCAUCGCAAGUGGAGUGCUUCUAGAUGGGGCUAGACUAACUAUUGUUCAAAAAAUACAUGAUGCAUACAUGGUUAGCGAGAUGUACGUAUAAGUUAUGUUAGAAAAAGUCCAAUGAAGUGGGAUUGUUAUGGUGUGAAAUAGUUAAUAUCUUAGUUGGCCAAAAAUUCAUUGCAUUAAGUUUUUGAGUAAAAGUGGUCUAAUUGGAUAUGUUAAAAGGCUUGAACUUUAGCUACUUUAGCUCUCCCUUGGCUUAUGCUAUAUGCUCCCAAGCCGAUUGUUGAUUGGUGGCAACGUGUUAGUAUACUUGGAUUAAGGGGGAAGUAUACUUAACAUUGAGCUCACACGUAAGAGGAGAUAAUAAUUGAUGUGAUAUGAAGUAGUUAAUAUAUCCUAGUUGACUCAUGAUUCAUAGAUUUAAGCUUUUUAAGCAUAUAUUGGUCCAACUAUAUUUGUUGGCAGGUCAAACUUGGGCUCUCUCUUGACGAUCUCCUAUGCAGUGAUAUUGGUAAUAUUGGGUUCUACUAAGCGUUAACUAUAGUGGAUGUCGGAUGCAGCUUUGGAUGGACCUAUUCUUCUCCCACAAUAUCGAGAUAGUUUUAGUAACAGGGUUGUGGUGAGUAAAAAAAAUGGUGCUAAGUCUUCACAAGACAAGUGGAUUAUGAGGAUCGGGAGCAGCAUUGGCAAUGAGAUGGUGGAAAUCGGCAAGGAAAAUAAAUCCAUUUUUCACGCGGUCAGUAAGCCAAGUUAUCGACUCCUAAAAACGAAAGAAUCGAGGUCAAUUUAGAAGUUUCGAAAUUUCAUUGUUGGUUUGCAGCUUGCGAGAAAUUGUUUCUCAAUGAGCGCAAGUGCAAGAGAGGCACUCCAAUGCAAUUGCAAUGUUUAGUGUAACACAGCAACACACCAUGUGAGAAGUACUCACCUAAUGGUUUGGCUGAAUUGUCGUUUUUGCAAGCUGAUACUUGUCGUAGUGAAGAAACAACAAACCAUUCAAGAUGAAACGGAGCCAACGCAUGAUCUGUAGUUGUACAUCCCAGGUGUUCAAUGUUGUAGCAUUGGAGGAAAGGAUCAUAUCUGAAACUGAUGAUGGGCAUGAGAUGAGUGGGUUAUGGAGAGAUUGUUUGAUACAGCUUUCGAUGGUAGCUGCGACCGUAAAACUGGAUGCUUCUGCUUUCGCAAGGUAACAUUUCAAAGCUAUCAUUUGGAACCUGUCCCGUCUAGCUUUUAGCUGCUAUGUGUUACCAAAUGAUGCAACUAUGAUUAUACCAAACGGGCCUAAGUUGAGCUUCAUAGCCUAUACGGGAUCAGGAGGGAUUGGAGAAUUGUGUCAGUGAUACUUCUCUCUCUUCGGUUGAGUGGUUCAUCUCUUCUUCAAAAGGACCUCUAAUUCUCUAGGGGCAGACUUAAGCUAAGAGCGGAAUUGACUCUUGCAUGCAAGCGUGUACCAGUUUCGUGCUUUAGGAGGGUAUCACAUAUGCUGGAUAAGUGAAAUUUGGGGUCACGUACGAGUCUCACUUAUUAUCCUGUUCGAGGUGGAAGUCGUCAUACGAGAAAGAUGAAUCAAAUAACCUUCAUUCCAACUUCAAAAUCUGUAAAGGCAUCAUUUCUCAUUAUGGAGAACUAGUCCAGAAACCUUGUAGCUACGCAUUAUAGACAGUUAUUUUGAAAUGAUGUGGUCUAUUAUGCUAAUCAACACUGGCACAACUAGCAGUGGAUGCUGAUGCUGAUUUAACUCACACAAAUUCGCUGAAUGAGAAGGCGAGAUAAAGCAUCUAAGACACAGAAAAACUACCUAGCUAGCUAAAUGAUUUGGACAUAUAGACUAACAAGAAUUGUGAUCAUCAUAUCACUAACGUUCAUCUAACCAAAAUAACAGCAGCAACUUGGAUGGAUGCGGAUCGGGAAAAAAAGACCUACUGCGAGACAAGAUACAGGGCACAAUUCAUAUCUUGCAACAUAAUAUCUUCAGAGCAGUUAAAAAAUAGCAUCUCCUGGUCUUAACUCGUCCAACUGAGGAACAACAUAGCAUGAACACUAGGCUAGACUCGUGCCCAAGGAAUGAAGUCGUGUAUGAUUAUGCCACAAACAGAGCACAACAAGAAAACCACCUGAUGAUCCAACGGAACCUCAAAAACAAAGAAGGUUAUGAGUAUGUACAAUCAUGAGGUGAACUCCUAUCAGAUUGUUCUAAAACGUCCCUCUUGUUCAAUACAGUUCCAUAGUUUACCGUAUCACUUGAUGAACAGCAAUUUACAAACCAAUCUGUAUACCCUAGGUCCCCAGCAUUACCGUGGAAGAAAUGAAGAAGUCGUAUCCUGGCCCUAGCAUGAAAAACUGAGAAAUCCAUAUCCUACUGAAAGAAGCACAGGGAUACAGCAUAGCAACAUGUCUUUGUCCACAAACUGCUAAUAUAGGUUUGUUACAACCAUUCAUCAUCAUGCAAAUUUCACAAGCUAAUGAGGGUGAAAAACGACACCCCCUUGUACAAAAAAGAGAGCCAAUCCAGUCAACAGACACGAAAACGUCAGAGACAUGGGACAAUAUUCACAUGAAACACAGAGGUAAAGAAACUAAAAUCCAAAGCGCUCGUUCCAGAUUUGCAACAGCAAUCAAUACAUCAGCACUCAAACAGGUCUGCAGAUGCCAUUAUGGGUUGUAUCGGACAUGGGAUCUGCCAGGGCUUCAUCAACGGGUCGGGUAUCUCGGGAAUAUCAAUCGCCAGCCCACUGACCACCUCCACGAUCUCGAGCACCGAGUUCAGGGACCGGAGCCUGUCGGUAAGCUCCAUGGCCUGGGCCCUGAGGACAUUGUUUGCCAACUCGACCUCGGCAUACUUCUGCGCAGCAGCAUUGAUACUCGCCACGAGCUGAGCAUUAGCCUGCUGCAGUUGCCCCACUUCUCCGACCAAAUCCCCCAGCUGCUUCUGCCUCCUCAUCCGGGAGCGCCUGGCGGAUUCCCUGUUGGACUCCAUCCUCUUCCUCUUCCUUUCAUCAUCGGCCACCCCACCGAGCCUCGGGUCGCCAUCGGAUCCUGAGCUCGCCUGACGCCGAACCGAACCCAUUUUCGAGGGCCUUUCCACGCAAUCAAUCAAUCACUCGAUUCAGAAAACGACCGAUCAAAGGGUCUCCGCGUGCCGGGAGUUAUUUCGCUUUUGCUUCUCAGACAACGAAUUCCGAUGGAAUCAAAGUGAGGCACGAAUCGCGAUCAAUCGGAGAGAGAGAGACGGGCGUUCAUGAGAAGACGUAGAACCAAUAGAGGAACACCACCGAGAAGGAGUGGACGAUCCGCACCCGGAACAUGAGGAUCGCGUAGUUCAUAACUCGGUUUCCCACAUCUGAAAACCCUAGACCAUCUACCACAAGCGCUCAACCAGUACCCUCCGAUUCUCAGCCCAACGCAACGAAGGGGAAAACGAAAACGGCGACAACGCAGCGGAAAGACAGCAGAGAGAGAGAGAAGGGGGACGUAAACUUAGCUGGCGGCGGCGGCGGCGGCGGCGGAACGCGCGAACCAGAGAGAGGUCGAAGAAGGUGAGGAAAGGAGGGGAGGAGGGGUUUUUAUAGAGGAGGCUCGCGGGCUUCGAUUGGUCUGCCGGGAAAACGAAUAUUCCCAGAAUCUUUUUUUUUUGGGUGUAAUUUAUUAGGACGGAUUUUGCUUAGGCGUGUCCCAAUUGCCCAAUCACAUUCGGAAGCGUAAGAUUAUAUUUCUUUCUUUAAUUAAAAAAAAAACUGAAAUUGCCUUUUUAACGAAUCGAUAAAAGAAGAAAAUACACGAGAUGCUUCAAGGAUGAACGAAUGUGAAAAUCUAUAUCGGAGAUGUGGAGGAAUCUAGAGAUCCUCUUCUGAUUUUAUUUUGCCGGUGGUUUCUUUUUUUAUCUUUUUAUUUAUCGAUGGACAACUAAUAUCCGACUUAAUCUAUUUAUAAAAUCUCUUUCUUUACGCGACCGUGUAACCAAAAUACAGGGGGGGAACAGAUGUUCUUAAAUUUAAAUUGUUUUUGGUGGGGGAGGGAAAGAAUGACGUCAUGGCGCACGUCUGAUGUGGCGUGGGAUUGGUCGGAUCUCAUCGUCGUCGCGGUAGUUGGUGCUGCCCAUGUUCAAUGUAAUGCGCACGUUGUUUGGGAUCUUAUCCAGUAGCAUCACACUUUUUUUUUUUUUUUGAGCAACAGUAGCAUCACACUUUACAGAGCAGGCCAAAACCGUGGGUUUGACUGGGUCAAACAUCGAACGUCGGAUCUUCUUGGAUACAUCCCCCCUGGAAAAAUGCUCGCGAGCGCCAAGUUGUGAUAAGGAGAGAUAUUUAUUUUAAUGUUUUAUGUUUUAAGACAUUAAUUUCCCGAUACCUUUUAAUUUUCGUAAAAAAGGACUUGCGCAGUGGAAAUUAGUCAGGAUCUGUAAAAUACGGGCUAUAUCUUGGACUUCCAAAAUUGAAAUUGGAUGAAAAGAAUACGUAAGUGAUUUGGUGAAAGCAGAUAGCCGUUUGGAAAUUAAUUGUGAAAAUAUGUAGGUGGGCUCUUGGUGAGAAAAUAGGGAUAGAAAUCAAAGUGGAUAGUGGAUUUGGGGAUUGCAAACAUUGCAUCAUGAAAUAGUACUAGAAAAAUGAUCAUUGCAAUUUGUUUAUUCCACAAAAAAUGAAUGAUUUGAAAAAAACACCCCAUUACUGCAAUCCGUUUAUUUCACAAUAAAUGAAUAAUUUGAAAAAAAUGAACUCAAUGAACAAUACUAAUCACAACCAAGAGCCAACUAUCGGCUCCCAAGGAGCAAACCUAGGACACUGUGCCCAAACUUGCGAUCUUGACACUUUAAUCGAGAAUGAUAUAUUUCAUAUUAAGGUUAAAAUUACAUGGUACCGGCACAAGAUGCAACAAACUCGAGAUGCAUAACAUAUAUAUAAGGUCGAACGACAUGAGAUUUGUAAUACCAUUUUUUUUUCAGUCCAAUCAGAGUUAUNNNNNNNNNNNNNNNNNNNNNNNNNNNNNNNNNNNNNNNNNNNNNNNNNNNNNNNNNNNNNNNNNNNNNNNNNNNNNNNNNNNNNNNNNNNNNNNNNNNNGCAUUCUGAUUAGUAUGUAUAACAUAGUCGAGAAAGAUGAAUCAGAUAACCUUCAUUCCAACUUCGAAAUCUGCAAGGACGUCAUUUCCCAAUAUGGCGAACCAGUCCAGAAACCUUGUAGGGAAAUGACGAACCAAUCCAGAAACCUUGUGGCUACGCAAUAUAGACAAUUAUUUUGAAACGAUGUGAUGUCUUAUACUAAUCAACACUGGCACAACUAGCAGUAGAUGCCAAUGCUAAUUUAGCUCGCACAAAUUCGCUGAGCAAGAAGGGGAGUUGAAGCAUCUAAGACAGAAAAACUAACUCGCUUGCUAAAUGAUUUGGACAUAUAGAACAACAAGAAUUGUGAUCUUCAUAUCACUAGCGUUCAUCCAACCAAAAUAACAACAGCAACUUGGACGCGGAUUGGGAAAAAGACCUACUGCGAGACAAGAUACAGGACACAAGUCAUACCUCACAACAAAAUAUCUUCGGAGCAGUUAAAAAAUAGCAUCUCCUGGUCUUAACUCGCCCAACUGAGGAACAGCAUAGAACGAACACUAGGCUAGACGAGUGCCCAAGGAAUGAAGUCGUGCAUGAUUGUGCCACAAACAGAGCACAACAAGAAAACCACCUAAUGAUCGAACGGAACCUCAAAAACAAAAAAGGUUAUGAGUAUGUACAAUCAUGAGGCAAACUCCUAUCGGAUUGUUCUAAAACGUCCCUCUUGUUCAAUGCAGUUCCAUAGUUUACUACAUCACUUGAUGAACAGCAAUUUACAAACCAAUCUGUAUAGCCUAGGUCCCAAGCAUUGCUGCGGAGGAAAUGAAGAAAUCGUAUUCUGGGCCUAGCAUGAAAAACUGAGAAAUCCAUAUCCUACUGAAAGAAGCACGGGGAUACAGCAUAGCAACAUGUCUUUGUCCACAAAUUGCUGAUAUAGGUUUGUUACAACCAUUCAUCAUCAUACAAAUUUCACAAGCUAAUGAGGGUGAAAAACGACACCCAAUUGUACAAAAAAGAGAGCCUAUCCAGUCAUCAGACACGAAGUCGACAUUUUACCGCUGCCGAUGAGACGGACAUCAGAGACAUCGGACAAUAUACACAUGAAACACAGAGGUAAAGAGACUAAAAUCCAAAGUGCUCGUUCCACAUUUGCAACAGCAAUCGAUACAUCAGCACUCAAACAGGUCUGCGGACGCCAUUAUAGGUUGUAUCGGACAUGGGAUCUGCCAGGGCUUCAUCAACGGGUCGGGUAUCUCGGGAAUAUCAAACGCGAGCCCACUGACCGCCUCCGCAAUCUCAAGCACCGAGUUCAAGGACCGGAGCCUGUCGGUAAGUUCCAUGGCCUGGGCCCUGAGGACAUUGUUCGCCGACUCGACCUCAGCAUACUUCUGCGCAGCCGCAUUGAUACUCGCCACGAGCUGAGCGUUAGCCUGCUGCAGUUGCCCCACUUCUCCGACCGAAUCCUCCAGCUGCUUCUGCCUCCUCAUCCGGGAGCGCCUGGCGGAUUCCCUGUUUGGACUCCAUCCUCUUCCUCUUCCUUUCAUCAUCGGCCACCCCACCGAGCCUCGGGUCGCCAUCGGUUCCCGAGCUCGCCUGACGCCGAACCGAACCCAUUUUCGAGGGCCUCUCCCCGCGAUCAAUCAAUCACUCGAUUCAGAAACGACCGAUCAAAGGGUCUCCGCGUGCCGGGAGUUAAUUCCCUUUGUCUCAGACAACGAAUUCCGAUGGAAUCAAAGGAGGUACGAAUCGCGAUCAUCNNNNNNNNNNNNNNNNNNNNNNNNNNNNNNNNNNNNNNNNNNNNNNNNNNNNNNNNNNNNNNNNNNNNNNNNNNNNNNNNNNNNNNNNNNNNNNNNNNNNNNNNNNNNNNNNNNNNNNNNNNNNNNNNNNNNNNNNNNNNNNNNNNNNNNNNNNNNNNNNNNNNNNNNNNNNNNNNNNNNNNNNNNNNNNNNNCGAAGGGGAACACGAAAACGGCGACAACGCAGCGGAAAGACAGCAGAGGGAGAGAGAGAGAGAGAAGGGGGACGUAAACUUAGCUGACGGCGGCGGCGGCGGCGGCGGCAGCGGCGGCGGAACGCGCGAACCAGAGAGAGGUCGAAGAAGGUUGGGAAAGGAGGGGAGGAGGGGUUUAUGUGGAGGAGGCUCGCGGGCUUCGAUUGGUCUGCCGGGAAAACGAAUAUUCCCAGAAUCUUUUUUUUUGGGUGUAAUUUAUUGGGACGGAUUUUGCUUAGGCGUGUCCCGAUUGCCCAAUCACAUCCGGAAGUGUGAGAUUAUAUUACCUUUUUAAUGAAUCGAUAAAAGAAGAAAAUACAUGAGAUGCUUGAGGAAUGAACGAAUUUGGAAAUCUAUAUCGAAGAUGUAGAGGAAUCAAGAGAUCCUCUUCUGAUUUUAUUUUGUCGGUGGUUUUUUUUAUCUUUUUAUUUACCAAUGGACAACUAAUAUCCGACUUAAUCUAUUUAUAAAAUCUCUCUAGUUUUUACUUGUUAGUACUUGUGUUUCCCUCUUUCUUUACGCGACCGUGUAACCAUAAUACGGGGAGAACAGAUGUUCUUAAAUUAAAAAAAAAUUUCGUGGGGGAGGGGAAGAAUGACGUCAUGGCGCACGUCUGAUGUAGCUUGGGAUUGGUCGGAUCUCAUCGUCGUCGCGGUAGCUGGUGCUGCCCAUGUAAAUGUAAUGCGCACGUUGUUUGGGACAUUAGCCAAUAGCAUCACACUUUACAGAGCAGGCAAAAAUCGUGGGUUUGACCGGGUCAAACAUCGGAUAUCGGAUCUUCUUGGGAUACAUCCCCCCGAGAGUAAUGCACGCGAGCGCCAAGUCAUGAUAAAGAGAGAUGUUUAUUUUAAUGUUUUCUGUUUGGAGACAUUAAUUUCUCGAUACCUUUUUAUUUUCGUAAAAAAGGACUUGUGCAAUGGAAAUUAGUCGGGAUGCGUAAAAUACAGGCUAAAUCUUGGAUUUCCGAAAUUGAAAUUGGAUGAAAAGAAAACGCAAACGAUUCGGUGAAAACAAAUAAUUGUUUGGAAAUUGACGGUGAAAAUAUGUAGGUGGGCUCUUGGUGAGAAAAUAGGGAUAGAAAUCAAAGUGGAUAGUGGAUUUGGGGAUUGCAAACAUUGCAUCAUGAAAUAGUACUAGAAAAAUGAUCACUGCAAUCUUUUUUUUUUUUUUUUUUUUUUUUUUUUUGUGCAGGAAGAACCAGCUUGCACCGACAGUGCGCCGUAAACCCCCCGAUGACGCUAGUGGGGAAACCACCACCCCAACGUCACGCUUAAGUCACCAUGUAGCUAAGACUGCCUCCCUGCUUCGCAGGGGCUUCAAACCUUGGCCUCCACCGGGGAGGGCCAAGGAUCUACCAUCCACGCCACCUUGGUCGGUGGUAUCACUGCAAUUUGUUUAUUGCAUAAAAAAAUGAAUGAUUUGAAAAAAAUAAAAAUUACUGCAAUUCGUUUAUUCCAAAAAAAAGUGAAUGAUUUGAAAAAAAAAAUUAUUGCAAUCCAUUUAUUCCACAAAAAAUGAAUGAUUUGGAAAAAAAAGAACUCAAUGAACAAUACUAAUCACAACCAAGAGCCAACUAUCGGCUCCCAAGGAGAAAACCUAGGACACUAUGCCCAAAUUUGUGAUCUUGACACUUUAAUCGAGAAUGACAUAUUUCAUAUUAAGGUUAAAAUUACAUGAUAUUGGCACAAGACGCAACAAACUUGAGAUGCAUAACAUUUAUAAGGCCGAACGACAUGAGGUUUGUAAUACUUUUUUUUUCAAUCCAAUCAAAGUUAUAAUGCGUUGGCUAAUCAUUAAUGUUGCAUCAUCACUAUCAAAUUAGGGUCGAUGACUUAGUGAGGCUUGCCUCACCAGCCCUCGGUCAUAAGGAGAAAAUAUUAUAUACAAUUUUGAUGUUAAUUGAGCAAAAUAUUAGUCUAUUCAUCUUGUGGCACGUGUCACACAUGAGCCCACUUAUUUAUCACGAUCUCUCUCUCCCCUUCCUUUUGACCCAUUUUCCCUUCUCGAACAUCGAGCACAAGCCAUCGCCGUUGCCAACCAUGGCAAAGCGCACGCUUGGAGUCUCCAACAAUGAGCUUGCUGCCAAUGGAUCCCUAUCCCUUUGUGCACCUUAUGGGGGGAACAAUGAGCUUUGCUCAAGCGAUCUCUUUAUGACUUUAAGCAAUGCCAUAGUGGUGCAAGCGAUUUGACUCCAUUCAACGCUAUGAUAAGAGUGCUGAUAAAAAUUGCAUGUACUUUAGGAGGUUAUAUGAUGGUAGUUACAAAAUUUUAUACGGCCUUGCCUUGCUUCCACACCUAAGUCACCGGCAAACAAGGCUAGGUCCAUCAAGGUCGGGCCUGAGAACUCAAUGCUCCCAUCAAAGUCGCCAACGGUCCAUGCCCAAGACCUCGGUACUGGUCCAUGGGUCCUAGACCGCCAUGCUUGGGUAAGUGACUUCCACACCCAAGUCACUAGCUCCCAAGCUCCCUUAACAGCCAACCUCCCUCAAGACCGUGCCAAAGACCUAGGUAUCUAUGCCCAAGUCCUUGAUACCGUUGCUUGGAUAAUGCUCAUGCCGCCAGGACGCAGUUGGGUAUCUCUUAUAUACUAUGAAUAGUGCAUGACUUUUUAGGAAAAUAAAAUCAAGUUUUUCUUUCUAAAUGAUAUAAUUUUCAAUUCAUUUUUAAAUUUCAGUUAAAUACCAUAAAAUAUUCUUAUUGCUGAAGAUCCCCAUCACUGCCAAGCUCGCCGGCUUUGUCGUCCACCUAUUGUCCCCUCCUUGCUUCUACACCAACUUUGUUAAAUGGACGGGAGAUGGCAAGAAAUUUUUCUGAGUGCGAAAAGCCUAAGACUUUUUUGUUUUCGGAGUGAUUAUUUUUUAAUCGUGAAUGCAUGACGUGCCUGUGACACGCCCGCAUUGAGAAAAUAUGAAGUGAGAGCAAGAUUUGAUGAAAAAUACUUUAAACCUUUAAGUUGCAUCCCAAAGAUACUUAAGCCCAAAAUAUGGGGGCAAAAACAAGAGGAAAUAGAAAGAAGCAGGAGAAAGAAGUCAAAUUUAUACUUAUUUUUGAAAGCCCAUACCCUUAUGAAGCCCAUCGAUCCUCAUCUUGGGCCGUGAGAGACCCGCCGUUCACCCGACCCGACUUGAUUUUCUUCCUCUCAUGUUUUCCCGGGAAAACCCUUCUUCCCCUCUCCAGCUUUCUCCGGGAAAAUUUUCCGAUCCGUUGCAAACCAUUCAUCAUCUUCCGUUCUGUAACAGAUCUCGACGACCUGCGAGGCUGCGAUGGAGAUUCGCAUCGGAAGAGGCUACGCGUGGGCCAUCGCUGCCGGAUUCAUGGCCGCUCUCGCCGCCAUCUCCGCCAAGUUCUUCUCCUCUCAGGUAACCCAACCUCAUCCGCGCGCUUGUCCGUGCGAGCUAAUUCGUGAUUGUCCCCCGCCGUUCUGCUUUGUCACUCGAGAUCGUGCGAUCGUUACAGCUAAUGCAAAUCGAAAUCUGGCGUGUGUGUUGGGCCGUGUCCCUAAUGUAUCUCCGGCAGAAGCACUCGACGUCGCGUGGCGCAAUUUUUGGUUGUUUGAGGAUUAGCGGGAGCUCUAAUUGAGGAAAGCUCCUGCCAAUCCUACUACUUCUGUGGAGAGUAGUUGAAUAGAUUACCCAGAGGGAAGCUUGGAAGCUAUCCGAGCGGCCUGUCGUGGCAAUCAGCGACGCCUGCUCAGUAGCAGAGGAGAGUUUCGAAAGUUGAGGGGACAAGCUUAGGAAAUUCGUGAAAUUCGUGCAAAAUCUCAGUUUAUGAGAUGGGGAUGUGGACAGAGAUUCUUGGUGAAAUUUAAAAGAAGAUAGCAUAGGAAAUAGGAAACGCGCCAACGCCUAGCAGGCUAGCAGGCAGGCCAGGCGGGGCGGGGUUGGGGCAUCCGGAGAACUCUGACUGGAUAUUUAGAAGGGGUUACUAUUGUACAAGCAUCUUCUCGAAUGUGAGCUUCGCAGAAUGGGUUGUUAUCUGUCAGGUUUAUAUCUUCACUGGGACGAAGAAGAAUAGCAAAGAGAGAGAAAACAGAGAAUCUGUUGCUCUUCUUUUCCCCAGUGGGUAAGUGCAUCUGUUAUUUGUGGUGUCAUUAGCUGCGGUUGUCAGCAUUUCCUAGUCAACUCAGUCUGAGAUCUGGUGCUUUUGCAGUGAACUAGUUAAGUCCUACCAUAAAUGGAGUUCAUUUGGUCGUAUCUACCUUAAACGUUUGAUUCUCUUUGCGAGAAAAAUGUUUCAAUGUCUGAGUCCAGUUAAUUAGAUUCCUAUGACUUGACCAAUGAGUGGUUACUGCACUGCACUAAAGCCUGUUAUUUGACAGGAAUCUUUUCCUCAUGCUACUCCUUUUCCUCCAUUUCUUGACUGUAGGGGCAGAUUGUUUAAAGAUAUUUUUCAUGUGUUUACUGAUUGUCUAAGAUGCACAGUUAAGCAUUUAUUCUGUCAUGAUACAUCUUCGAUGAAUUUUCCCAGUAACUGUUGCCAUUAGAUGGGUGUUGUUAAUAAAUUGUGCAGUUCAUGAACUCGGACAUAUUUUUCCUGGACUAACACCCAGACAUCUGAAUUUGUUAACAGGUCAUUAAGUAUGGUUUUGUCAUACUGUUCAAUGUUACAAUGUGGGGAUGUUAUGUCAACAGCCUAAAGAGUCUCUCGUCUCUUCAAGCCACAGUUACGAACUUUGCGACAAAUUUCCUCACUUCUGGAUUAGCUGGGUUCUUUUUGUUUGAUGAGUCAUUGAGAUACCAGGUACUUUGAUUAACUAUUUUCCUGCCCUGUUCUGCAAAGUUAUAUACUUCAAGGUUUGAUUUUUUACUGUGUUUAAAAUAAGAGGCAAGCUCUUAUUGUUACAGCCGGAGCUGUCAAAAGUAUUUUUCACUGAUACAAGUAAUAUCAUGACUGCAUUUAGUUCCCUUGAGAGAUAAAUUCUCUCUAUGGAAUCGGAACUGGUUAUCUUGAAAGUGGCAAGUAGGCUAAAAUUUAGGAGUCAAGUUAUGCAAUAGAUAACUUCCGAGUUUAUUAUCUCAUGAAUGCAUUGAGGGUAAUUAUGCCAUCACAAACGGGGGAUAAUAAAAUGGAGGGUUUUAUAUUUCAGAUGAAAGCUUCUGAGAUCAAUGUGGUUGCCAAGGAAAAGAGCUAGUUUGCUUCAUGCAAACCUGUUGUUCAGGGAUUCUUGGCGUAGUCUCCACCUUGCGAUAAAAGGUGUCGAGUACUUCCUAGUUCCUGAUAAUGACUCGAGUUUUAGGUUUAAUCAUUGCUAUCUUGACUCACAUUAUGGUUGUGAUAUGGUUGUGAAAUUGUGAUUAAAAGGAUGCAGUGAUUCGAGAUUCUCACUCCACUUAGUCUAUGAAUGCAGAUUUCACAAAAUUCACAUGAAGUCCCGUUCUUAGUGGUUUGCAGGUGCACUUUUCAUAGUGAUUGGCGUGCUAAUUCUCAGCAAAUCAAGUAUUGAGAAGAAAACUAGAGUUGAUUGAAAGUUCUCAGUUUAUGAGAGAUACCGUACGCCAUGCUUGAAGGUUGCCCCCUUUUGCUACUGACAACAGUUGCUCUGCUGCUCUGGUUUAUGCUUUUCUUUCCCUUCUCCCUUUUAAGUGCCCGAACUGCCUGUUCUCAUUUUUUUUUUUUUUUGUGGAUUUGCAGGUGACUUAGUAGAGAUCAGAAGUUCCAUUCUUGUGCCACUCUCAAGGAAAGGAGAAUGAAGUUGAGAAUUGAGGAUAUAAAGGGUGUUUCCUUCCUGGCCGGUGAUUCCGUGUGAACGAUCACUACUUGUCGUGACUGGCAGCACCGAGGAUGCUAAGCCAGGAUUGCUAUGUUACUGUUAAUGGUGACUAUACAAUAUAGCUACAAGGCAAGCUGCAAAGAAGACAGAUUUGUGUUUAGAGAUGGGAUCCUAUGCUACCUUUUCACCAUGCCAAACGAGUAGGCUAAAACAUUGGUAAGUGAACCCUAAUUUAGGCGCUGUCGAAAGGCUGAAUGCGUCGUGCGCGCUUCGUGAGCGUUAAGCUAAAAGAUCAUCUUUACAUUGAUAUAAAUCAAGGCCUUGAUGUGAGCUUACGCCGACAUGUGCUAUAAUUUUUAUUUUAUUUUUUUGAAUGCGGAGGAUUUAAUGGACAUCGGGCAUUACUGGGGCAAGGUCGUCCUCUAACUUACCCCGAACUGCUCUUUCUUUAACACCGUCCAUUCUUUUUGCUCUUUAUUAAUUUAUAAAAUAUGAAAAAAAAUUGAUUUUAUUGUAUAAUUGAAAUUUUAUCGAGAAAAAGAUCCUUUUUUUUUCAAUUUCUGCUUUGACAAAAGAGAAAUACGCGAGUUGGAUCUUUCAAUUACUUUGUCGAAAAGGUAAUUACGUUAUAGCGUGUGGUACUCAUUGCUAUAAUUGGAUAACAAAAAUAUAUCCAUGGAUGUGGCUCUAUAGAUGAAAUCAUGCUGUUAUAUUGUUAUCGUGGUAAAGGAAAUAAUAGCUUUUCCUAAAAAAACUCGGUUAAAUGUGUGAUUUGAAACAUGACAAUUUGCGGCGAAAAUAAUAGCUUUUUUCAUCACCAACCUAAACUUAAAAUUCAUAACAUCAAUUUGGCGAAAAGAUCGGGAAAUUGUUAAACUGUACGACUUUUUGGGUCCAAUUGUUGCAAUAAAUAAUUAUUCCGCCGUUUAGAUGACACCUAUAUGCCCUCUAACAUUGCAAAUACAAUAAUUUUGAUGUCGUAUUAGCGAAAGCAUGAUAUUCAACUUUCGUGCUAGAUGGAGUGAUGAUGGUCUAUUUGUUGUUAUGCUAUAAGAUAAGCGAGAUACUUAGAAAGAAAUAGUAGCCUAUAAUAAAGUGAUAAUCAAGAGGGUCUCGUGACUAAUCAGUGUCUAAAUAUUUUGAUGAGUCCUUUUAGUUAAAAAGAUUGAACAAAAAAAAUGAUCUCCACUCAAUCCAUUGAAAGUAGGUGAAUCACUCAGUUUAAUGGAAGAACCGGUACAUGAAUAAUGGUUAAGGGACUUUUUCUCGGGGAAUACACUCAAAUCCAUUAAAUUACCAAUUUUUAUCCAUGUGUUUUCCUAUUUGUUUUGUUUUUUUUUUGGUAACUGAGGAGCCGUUAUGGGGUCGCCCUCCGAUGCCCGGUGGCACUAUUGGUCGUCGUCACAAGUCACUAUUUAGACGUAAAACCUCGGAAAGUUGGCCUAGUAAUCCACCCUAAGACCCCCAGUUAAGUCAUAGAAUGCAACGAGAGAGUUCAAACCCUCGACCUCGGCGAUGAGAAAAAGUAUGCACACCAUUUGCUCUGCCCAUGGGUGGGUAUGUUUUCCUAUUUGUUGAUCGUCAAUUAAUACAUUAUAUAUGUGCAUUACUAAUACUCACCAAUCUGCUUCUUCACAAUCCAUUUAUAACAUAUGACUUUAGCUAGCUACAUGUUGAGUCCUUGCUCAGGAGCACGAUGUAACUAAUAUUAAAUUUAUCCAUAAAUUUAUUAAAUAAUUAGGCAAAACUAAAUUGCUUGAUUAGGAUAGAUUGUUUUGUGCUAUAGGCUUUUUGUUGGCUUGGCAGUCGUUGGGCCACCAAACUUAUGAUUGACUUCAAUUCGAUUGAUCUGCGUGCCUCGUUUUGACAUGGAGAAAUAUUUUACAAGGUCAUCUUUCAUGAGAAUACACGAGCUCAAGAUUAUUAAAGGAGCGUCAAGUACUCUUAUAUGCUUGACUAGCUAUAUUUCCAUAAAUUUGCAAAUUGCAUUAAUGGUUGUUCGAUUUGUGAAUAAUCUAUCUUUAAUAAAGAAUCAUUUGUUUUAGCGUGCCAAAAUUAGAUCUGGCAAACUGGUAAGUCGAGGUUGAGUCGAAAAUGAUCCGAAUCAAAAUCAACCAAUUUUAUGUGUAAUAUAAAUUUAGUGAUUGGUAUGUGACUUAAGAUCAAUUCUAAAUUUAUUUUUUUCAUUAGAUUAUUGAUUUUUGAGAAAACGAGCGGUUUCAUAAAUCGACUCGUUGAAGAAGAAAAAAAAUUAAUUCUCGUUAAAAAUUUAAAAUUCUUUCUUGUUUUUGCUUCAAGUUCUCGUCCCGUGACCCACCGUCGGAACGAGGGCAUGAAAUUUGAUGAAAAGUCCAAGGAGAGAUAAGGGGCGAAGGAUUUAAACCUAACGUGCAGAUCGGACGGUCAGCAGGUUCUAAGCAAAUCGAAUCUAACGGAGGAGACAGCAGCGUCGGCUUAAAGCCAUGUUAGAUAGAAGAAAAAAAGAAAAAGGGAAAAUUAGCGUUGACCACUCCGCAUUUCUUCAAAAUUCUUCCAAAUUUGCAAAUUCCCUAUGGCGGGGGCGCUCGUCGGCGGGGCAUUUCUCUCGGCUUUCCUCCAGGUGCUCUUCGACCGGAUGGCCUCCCGCGAGGUCGUCGACUUCUUCCGGUCGCGCAAGCUCGGCAAGGGGAGGCUGCUGCAGAAGCUGAAGGCCGCGCUCCUGUCCGCGAACGCCGUGCUGGACGACGCGGAGGAGAAGCAGAUGACCAACGACCACGUCAGGAAGUGGCUCGACGAGCUCAAGGACGCCGUGUACGACACCGACGACCUGUUCGACGAGAUCGCCACUGAAGAUGUGAAGCGCGAAGCCGGGGUCGAGCCUCGGGCUCUCGUUUGUAAGGUCUGGAGCUUUGCUGCAGACGCUCGUGGGAGUAAAUUGGGGGAUGAGUUAGAGAGGGUUCUGGAGAGAUUGGAGAGCGUAGUGAAGCAGAGAGAAGUGCUGGGCCUAGGGGAAAUUAUUCGCGAGAGGACGCCUAGAGUGACGACUUCGUUGGUCGACGAAUCGGGAGUUUUCGGGAGGGAAAAGGACAGGGAGGCGGUGAUCCAGUUGCUCUUGUCAGAUCGGGGCCAAAAGAACACCAGCGUGAUGGCCAUCGUUGGGAUGGGCGGUGUCGGUAAGACCACGCUAUCUCAACUCGUGUUCAACGAUGGUGCGGUGAAGGGGAGUUUCGAGUUGAGGGCGUGGGUUUGCGUGUCCGACCAAUUCGACAUCUGCAAGCUGACGGCGACGGCUCUCGAGGAGUUCUCCUCCUCAUCUAAGAAGGAGACUGAAAAUCUCGACCAGCUUCAGCUCCAACUGAAGAACUUCUUGACAGGGAAGAAAUUCCUAUUGGUGUUGGAUGAUGUUUGGAAUGAGGACUCAAAUCUUUGGGAUGCGUUCCUAGUUCCUUUUAUCUAUGGAGCAAGAGGCAGCAAAAUCAUCGUGACGACACGAAAUAAGAGGGUCGCAUCGGUUGCUCGUGCCGUCUCGACAUACCCUUUACGGAAGUUGCAAGACGAGGAAUGUUGGGACUUGUUCGCAAAACAUGCGUUUGACCAGCAAAACUUCAAGGCGCGCACGAGACUUGAAGAAAUCGGGCGAAGAAUUGUAAAGAGAUGUGAUGGAUUGCCUCUUGCGCUGAAGACUAUAGGUAGCUUGUUACGCUGUGAGUCUGAUAUCAGGGAGUGGGAAAGUAUUGCAGAGAGUUAUAUUUGGAAUUUGGCACCUGGACCAAAUGGAAUUCUCCCUGCGUUGUUGUUAAGUUAUCAUUACCUUCCUCCACAACUGAAACGAUGUUUUGCCUAUUGUUCAGUCUUCCCAAAGGAUUGUAUAUAUGAGAAGGACCAGCUGAUCUUACUUUGGAUGGCUGAGGGCUUGAUAGAACAACCUCACGACAGGACAUUAGAGCAAGUAGGUGAUCGGUGCUUCGAUGAUCUUGUGUCUAGAUCUUUGCUUCAUAGAGUAAGUGAUGUCGAAUCGAGCUUCUCGAUGCAUGACCUGGAAGUAAGCGAUGUCGAAUCGAGCUUUUCGAUGCAUGACCUGGUCAAUGACUUAGCAAGAUAUGUAGCUGGUCGUUCUUUUUUUAGCUUGGACGGAGGCAAUGCACACCACGUGUCCUCAAGCACUCGCCAUUUGUCAUUUGUAAGAACUCGAUAUGAUGUCGCUUCUAGAUUUAGAGUGUUAGCCGGGACAAUGAAUUUGCGUACUUUCCUGCCGCUAAACGUGGGUCGUGAGAGAUUUUACGAGUACAAUUUGUUGACUGAUGAGGUACUGCAUGUUCUGUUGCCGACCCUGAGACGGUUAAGGGUGCUAUCUUUGUCUCAUUAUCUGAAAAUCUCUACGUUGCCUAGUUCAAUUGGAUGUUUGAAGCAUCUGCGCUAUUUGAAUCUCACUUGUAAUUGGAGUCUAAUCAGAUUGCCUGAUACAAUUACAGCUCUAUACAACUUGCAAACCUUAAUUCUUGCUUACUGUGAGUCUCUCAUUGAGUUACCGAGCAACAUGGGCAGCCUAACCUGUCUGCGUCAUCUUGAUAUAAGGAAGACAUCCCUGAAGAGAAUGCCCUUGGGGAUGAACAGACUGAAGAAUUUGCAGAUAUUAACUAAUUUCGUGGUGACCGAAAACGGUGGGACCAGGGUUAGGGAGCUAGGGGAGCUAAGGGAUCUUAUGGGUACACUCUCCAUACAGGGUUUGCAGAAUGUUGAUAGUUACCAAGAUGCCGAGAUAGUCAAUUUGAAGGGAAAGAGGUACUUGAAAAAGUUAGUACUGGAAUGGGUUUAUGAUAACAAUAUUAUGCACCAAAAUUGCUUAAAUAUAUUGGACAAGCUGCAACCUCAUUGGAACUUGAGAGAGCUUGCCAUUAAUUUCUAUAGUGGUAGGUCAUUUUCCGAUUGGGUGGGACAUGGUUCAUUCUCUAAUAUGUCAGUCGUGUGUCUUGAAUCUUGCAAGCACUGUGUGUCAUUGCCUCCUUUAGGACAGCUACCAUCUUUGGAGAAGUUGAUAAUCAAAGGAUUUGAUGGAGUUAGGAGUGUGGGUACUGAAUUCAAUGGUAGCAACUGUAUACCUUUUCAGUCACUUAAGUACUUGGAAUUUGUUGACAUGUGCAGCUGGAAAGAGUGGGCUUCUUUUGCAAUAGAGACGGGAGGUCUUGCCUUUGCACAUCUGCAGGAGCUUUGUAUUAGAAAUUGCCCUGAGUUGAGUGGAGGUUUACCCAACCAUCUCCCUUCUCUAACAGCCUUGUCCAUUGAAAAGUGCCCACAGCUAACGUCUUCUCUACUAUUUGCACCACUUCUCCGUAAAAUCAAUUUGGAUGAUUGUGGAAAGGUUUCUGGAGUUGAGCCUCUCCUAAAUGGCACCGAGUUACGAGAUAUGAGAAUCAAGAGACUUUCAACCCUUCCCUUGAGGUUUCUUCCUCCUACCAUGACAAGACCUAAUCUUGAAGACAGUCCUGGAAUAGAGUUGCCACUGCACAGAUGCCAUGAAUCUCUCCAAUAUCUAAACUUGGAGUGGAGCUGCGAUACACUUAUAUCCUUUCCUCUGGAAAUUUUCCCCUCACUUAAAGAUAUUCAGUUGUCGGGGAUUAAAAAUUUGGAACAUCUUGCCAAUUCAGACGGUUCAUCACUUCUUCUCCAUUCGAUGGCCAUUUGUAAUUGCCCUGAAUUUAGAUCUUUCCCUGCGGGAGGAUUGGCUGCCCCAUCCCUCACUUCAUUAGAGUUGUAUAAUUGCUGUCAUCUAAAGUAUCUGCCAGAAAGCAUGCAGGCUCUCCUUCCUUCGCUUCGGUCACUGACAAUAUCCUUAUGUCCACAACUCGAGUCAUUUCCCGAGAGGGGUUUAUCCUCCAAGUUGGUCGCGCUUUCACUCUCUAAUUGUGAUAAGCUCAUCACUGGCCGCAAGGAUUGGGGUCUUCAAUCGCUAUGCUCUCUUGAAACUUUUUCCAUUGGGGAACAGAAAAAUAUCGAGUCAUUCCCUGAGAUAGGGCUUCUGCCAACCUCUCUUACCUCUUUGCAUAUCUCUUUCUUUGAGAAUCUGACGUCCCUGAACUCCAGAGCGCUUCAUAGCCUGAGCUCCCUUGAAAACCUCUCCAUUAUCGGAUGUCCUAAGCUCCAUUCCUUCCCAAAAGAGGGACAAAUUCUGCCUACUUCUCUUACCUCUCUGUCGAUUUAUUUUACGGGUCUAAAAUCACUGGAUAACUUAGGGCUCCACCACCUCACUUCUCUCAAAGAAUUUCGCAUAGAUUUCUGCUUCAAUCUUCGAUCCAUGCCAGCGGAGGGCUUGUCAUCCUCCCUUUCCAAUCUAUUUAUCAAUAAGUGCCCUAUGCUGGCGAAAAGAUGCCAGCGGAAGAAAGGGAAAGAUUGGCCCCUAGUUUCGCACAUUCGCUGCAUCGUGAUUGAAGGUGUGCUCGUCACAUAAUCGAAUAUCUUGCUUUACAAUCCCUCCUUUUACCAAGAUCUCACUCAGGUAUCUCCCUUGGCCCUACACUAAGUAAGCCAUUUAUUUAUUCUGGACAUACUUCGGUCACUCUGUGCUAUCCUUCCAGCUAAUGCAAAUCGAAAUCUGGCGUGUGUGUUGGACCGUUUCCCUAAUGUAUCUCCGGCUGAAGCAAUCGACGUUCUUAUGGCGCAAUGUGAGCUUCAGCCGGUAGCCAGUGCGCGGCAAUACGUCCAAUUUUUGGUUGUUUGAGGAUUAGCGGGAGCUCUAAUUAAGGAAAGGUCCUGCCAAUUCUACUACUUCUGCGGAGAGUAGUUGAAUUACCAAGAGGGAAGCUUGGAAGCUAUCCGAGCGGCCUGUUGUGGCAAUCGGUUGACGCCUGCUCAGUAGCAGAGGAGAGUUUCAAAAGUGGAGGGGACAAGCAUAGGAAAUUCGUGCAAAAUCUCGGUUUAUGAGAUGGGGAUGCGGACAGAGAUUUUUGGUGAAAUUUAAAAGAAGAUAGCAUAGGAAGUAGAAAAUGUACCGAACACCUAGCAGGUGGGCCGGGUGGGUUUGGGGCAUCCGGAGAACGCAGACCGGAUAUUUAGAAGCAAUAACUAUUGUACAAGCAUCUUCUCGAAUGUGAGCUUUGCAGACUGGAUUGGUAUCUGGCAGGUUUAUAUCUUCACCGGGAUGAAGAAGAAUUGCAAAGAGAGAGAUCAUAGAGAAGCAUCAUUUGAUUAUUUACCUGUUGCUCUUCUUUUUCCCAGUGGGUACAUGCAUCUGUUGUUUGCAGUGUUAUUAGCCGGGGAUGUCAGCAUUUCCUAGUCAACUCAGUCUGAGAUCUGGUGCUUUAGCAGCAAACUAGUUAAGUUCUACCAUGAAUGGAGUUCAUUUGGUUGUAUCUACCUUAAAUGUUAAGUCGUCAUUCCCUGGCAGAAUUACGUGAAAAGAAGUAGAUGUUUGUUUCUCUUUGUGAGGGAGAAGUUUCAAUGUCUGAGUCCGGUUAAUUAGAUUCCUAGGACUUGACAAUGAUUGGUCACUGCACUGCACUGAAGCCUGUUAUUUGACAGGAAUCUCUUCCUCAUCCUCUUCUUCUUCCUCCAUUUCUUUGGACUGUUGGAGCAGAUUUUCUAGUGAUAUUUUUCAUGUGUUUACUGAUUAUCUAAGAUGCACAGUUAAGCAUUUAUUCUGUCAUGAUACAUCAUUGUGACGAAUUUUUCCAGUAACUGUUGCCGUUAGAUUGGUGUUGUUAAUAAAUUGUGCUGUUCAUGAACUUGGACAUAUUUUUCCUGGACUAACACUCAGAGAUCCGAAUUUGUUAGCAGGUCAUUAAGUAUGGUUUUGUCAUACUGUUCAUUGUUACGAUUUGGGGAUGUUAUGUCAACAGCCUAAAGAGUCUCUUGUCUCUUCAAGCCACAGUUACGAACUUCUCGACAAAUUUCCUCGCUUCUGGAUUAGCUGGGUUCUUUUUAUUUGAUGAGUCAUUGAGAUACCAGGUACUUUGAUUAACUAUUUUCCUGCCCUGUUCUGCAAAGUUAUGUACUUCAAGGUUUGAUUUUUUAUUGUGUUUAAAACAAGAGGCGAGCUCUUAUUGUUAUACCUGGAACUAUCAAAAGUUUUUUUCACGUACACAAGUAAUAUCACGACUGCAUUUAGUUCCCUCAAGAGAAGAAUUCUCUCUAUGGAAUCGGAACUGGUAAUCUUGAAAGUGGCAAAUAGGCCAAAAGUUGGGAGUCAAAUUAUGCAAUAGAUAACUUCCGAGUUUGUUAUCUCAUGAAUGCAUUGAGGGUAAUUAUGCCAUCAUAAGUGGGGAACAACAGCAUGGAGAAGGAUUUUAUAUUUCAGAUGAAAGCUUCUGAGAUCAAUGUGGUUGCUAAAGAACAGAGCUAGUUUGCUUCAUGCAAACCUGUUGUUCAGGGAUUCUUGGUGUAGUCUCCACCUUGCGAUAAAAGGCAUUGUGUACUUCCUAGUUCCUGAUAAUGACUUGAGUUUAGGUUUAAUCAUUGCUAUCUUGACUCGCAUUAUGGUUGUGAUAUGGUUGUAAAAUUGUGAUUGAAAGGAGGCAAUGAUUUUUGAGAUUCUCACUCCACUUAGUCUAUGAAUGCAGAUUUCACGAAUUUCACAUAAAGUCCCGUUCUUAGUGGUUUGCAGGUGCACUUCUUAUAGUGAUUGGUGUGCUAAUUCUCAGCAAAUCAAGUAUCGAGAAGAAAAGUAGAGUUGAUUGAAAGUUCUCAGUUUAUGAGAGAUACCAUACGCCAUGCUUGAAGGUUGCCCCCUUUUGCUACAGGCAACAGUUGCCCUGCUUCUCUGCUUUAUGUUUUUCUUUCCCUUCUCUCUUUUAAGUGCCCGAACUGCCUGUACUCAUUUAUCUUUUGUGGAUUUGCUGGUGACUUAUAAAUGAGAAGUUACAUUCUCGUGCCACUCUCAAGGAAGGAAAAAAAGGAAGCUGAGAAUUGAGGAUAGAAGAGUGUUUCCUUCCUGGCCGGUCAUUCCGCGUGAAUGAUCACUACUUGCUGCGACUGGCAGCACCAAGGUUGCUAUGUUGUUAAUGCCAGGAUUGCUAUGUUACUGUUAAUGGUGACGGUAAGAUAUAGCUACAAAGCAAGCUGCAAACGAGUAGGCUAAAACAUUGGUAAGUGAACCUUAAUUUAGGCGCUCUGGAAAGGCUGAAUGUGUCGUGCGCGCUUUGAGAGCAUAAAGCUAAGACCCAACAAAGAUCAUCUUUACAUUAAUAUAAAUCAAGGUCUUAAUGUGAGCUUAUACCGACAUGUGCUAUGACGUAAUAGAAAACUUGCGGAGGAUUUAAUGGACAUCGUGCGUUACGGGGCCGAGGUUGUCUUCUAACUCACCUCGACCCGAACUACUCUUGCUAUAAGACCCUCCAUUCCUUUUGCCCCUUAUUAAAAGUUUGUUACUUGUAUGAUCUAAAACACGACAACGCAUGGCCAAAGUAAUAGUUUUUCUCAUUACCAAUCUAAACUUAAAAUUUGUAAAAUCAAUUCGGUGAAAAGAUCGGUGCACCAAAUUGGUGUUCCCCUCAAAAUGUGGAUUUUUGGCUGGCACAAUAAAAUAAUCAAGUAACCUAACAUUAUAUAUAUAAAGCAUUUUUUGGGGUUAACUUAUUAGAUUCAUGUUUAAUGAGUUUAUAAUGCAGCAUCGUAGCACGACGUGAGAAUACAAUAAUUUUGAGUGUGUUUGUUUCGUGGAAAAAGAAUAAUUUGAAAAAUAUAUAUUUUUAAAUAAUCGCUUAAAAGAAUUAAUGAGUGGAAAAUAUUUUUCAUUGUUCAUGAAAAUAUUUAGACAUAAAAUUAUUAGUAAUAAAAAUAUUUUUAUUGAUUAAUGAUUAUAAGCAAUAUAAACGCAGGCCUUAACGAGAAAAUGUGGCUUAUUUUUUCAUUUCUCAUUGAACUGUCACUGUUCAGGUAAGGCUCCGCCCGACAAAUGGGCUCGAGGCGCGAAACUGAGGAUGAAUCAGGACCGUUGCUCAAAGGCGAAGGGCUCGCCGACUAAAAUGCGUCCGCGCACACCGGAUCGCGGCUCACCGUCUCUCUCCUUCGCAUUUUCCCGCCAGAAACCCAUCCCCGUCGACCUUCAUUUACCGCCAAGUCUCUCUCUCCCGCCCUCUUCCCUGACCUAAACCCUCACUCGCGAGGCUCUGCGCGUAAUUGAUCGGCGGCGUUAUGCGAAUCCGGGAUCCAAUUUGAUGUUGUGAUGAAGCCGACAGCAAUCGCGAAGGAUUUCCUCUCGAACUUCGCCAACGCGAAUGGAGAAGCCAAGUACAUGAACGUCCUCGUAAGUUCCUCCUCUCUCGGCUCUUGUUUUUAUACUCGGACAUCCUUUUAAGCGCUGUAGAAUUGAGGCGAAAUCAAUGUUAAAGGUGCGUGCUUGAUCGCACGUCGUGCCCUAUCCUUUUCUGUUGUCCAUGAACUGCGGCUGCGGAGUCUCUUCCGUGUGCAAUAAUGCUCCAGUACUUAUAAAAUGAUUAACCCUAGAUUUCACAUUUGAGUCGAGCGUAGUUCCCUUUUUAUUUGCAAUUUAAAUGGCUCGCAUGAGGGUCGCCAUUCCUGAUUUCAGCAAGAAGUUGCAAAUCGAAAAAUUCGUGAUAUCCGUUUUAUUAUUCCGUGAUAUCUUUCAUUCAUAAGCUAUAUGUUUAAAAUAGAUAGUAAUUAGCUAAAUAAUCGGUGACACCAAAUAUUAAAUAUUUACCUAACAUCAUCAUAUUAUAAAGUUACUUUCGAUUCCGAGUAAUAAAAGCAGCACACAUCCUCUCUCUCUCUCUCUCACUCACUAACACAGUGGUCGAGGCGUCAGACGUGGUUGAGGCCCCCCUCAUCGUUGCAUGGCUGCUCCCGCUGGCCUGGCUCGUGAGCCGGAUGAUAGGCGCCGCAAGAUGAAGCGGCUGCUGCGAUUGGCUUCAGAAGAAGCCGUGCGAGUCGAGCUCAAGGCGUGGAUCGAGGCGUGGAUCGUGGCGUGGAUAGGCCCGAUUGAGGCCCUCAUCCUCUGCAUCAUAUGACUGCUACCACUCGUGGCAUUCCUCAUCCAGAGGAGUCGGUGAUGAUCGGUCAAGAGGAGCCUCAAGAUUGAGCGGCUGAGGCUCCAUCGGGUACAUAAGGUCGUCUCCCCUUUGCUACUGUCACUGUCCCGUUUGCUAUGGACGUGAUACCUAUAGAUGCUCACUGUCCCGUUUGCUAUGGACGUGAUACCUAUAGAUGCUCGCACCACCAAGCGACGCGAUGCUAGUGAUUUCGAUAGUUUAAUCAAUCAGUCGUGGCAUCUGGUGUAUGGUCGAUGAACAAUCACUAGCGAAAAAUUUACUAUGCCUAAUUUGGUUAUGUACAUACUAGUCAUUUAGGAAGAAUCAAUCAGUCAUGGCAUCUGGUGUAUGAUCAAUGAACAAUUACUAGGGAAAUUUCCAUUGUUUAUUACAAUAUUUCCUAUAUACAUUCGCCGUACCGUCGUCGCUCUCGCCCGUGGUUGCCCACGGUCGCGACCAACUCUCGUUGCCAUGGAGGGAGAGAGAAGGGCCGUGGCGACUGAGGGGACUGUGGGGACAGCGCUCCUGAAUUCGAGCAAUUCUCGAGACGGAGUCUAAGCUCGAAUAUGUCCGCGAAGGACGCGAUUUUCUUCGCUGCUGCGGCUAACGAAGUGGAAUCCUUACGCGAAAUCGCGUCGGGAAGUCCCACCACCAAGUACGAACCUGUCUCUUCGCUGAUGGAUCCUCCCGAUCAGCGGAAGGAGUCGAAGUCGAAGUUCGUCGUCGCCCAUUGUUCGCGACCACCCCACUCUCAAGACUCUCCAUUCAGCCACGGGUCCAAUUCUUCGCUGCCUGCGAUCGUAACUCGUUCCUACCAAAAUCUCAAGGGAGAUUUGACUACCAACGUCUCUCUCGUCCAGCGGUCUGUGUCUCUCCCUCUUCCCUCGAGCUUGCUCUAUGAUCAUGGGAGAGCGUGCGGGCCGAUGCUUCGCUUCGCUCCUCCGCUCGUAAGAAGGAAAGGAAAAAAAGAGCGAAAAAGAGAGGGAAAAUCACAAAAAAAAAGGAAAAAAAGAGGGGAAAAUAGGGAAGUUCCCAGGUUUGGUAGUUUGUUAGGGGCGUUGGCGGAUGAUAUGCCCACUUAACAUUUUGGAUCAUCAUCUCUACUGCGGUGAAUCAUUCAUCAUCGAAUGAGGAUUCACCAUCGAAUGAGGAGAGACUUGUGUCUGUGGAGACAUACAUGACAUUCAUGAUCUAAUCUACUUAAAAUAUGCUUGAUGAUUGUGCAUUUCUUCAAGCUUUAAUGUGAUGAUAUCUACAAAGGACAUAUAUGUUUCACCAGGGGAGCUCCAAAUAUGCAAAUGUCAAUGUUAACUACAAAAUCUUUCUGCUUGGAGAGCCUGCUAGCCAUCACUAGCCAAAAUGAAAAGAGGAAAAAAUUUUAAAAAGAAUUAAAAAAUUUCCACGUCAAUGCGAAUCACACCUUAUAAGAUAGCUAACUUUCAAAUCAAUGGAUUGGACUCAAUUGUCACAAAUAUAAAAAAUCAAUGAUUAAAUUAAUCUAAUCUAAAGAUUUAAAAGUGAAUUAGUAUUAAUAUAGUAUGUUUAAAUAUUGAUAAAACACAAAAUUGUACCAUGAAAUGUCACAUCACAAAAUUGAAGAACACUACAAAUAAGUAAAAAUCAUAAAAAUUGAAAAACACUACAAAUAAGUAAAAAUCAUAAAAAUUGAAAAAUAAACAUCAAAUAUGAAAAACAAAAAACAAAGAAAAAGAUGAAGUUUGCAGGGUUUAUAUGUCGUCCCAAUAAGGGUUGGCGAUCCUCAUCGAGGUCCAAUUGAGGGCAGUGAGCCCUCACACAAUAGUAGUUGCAAUAACCAUCAUUGGGCCCCAACAAGGGUCUAUCCAACAAAUUGUGCCCCACUGCUGCAAGGGGCAUUACCUCCGUCCAUCUCUAGGUGAGUCACCCUCACGGAUGCAAAGCCGCCCCCUUAUUGCCCCUAACAUUUUUUACUUUUCUGAAAUCAUUUCAAUCCUUUUUUUUUUUAAUAUUUAUGCUAUUUCGUCCUCUUUUUUUUUUUUUUUUUUUUUUCCUUUUUAGCAUUUGUCUUUUUGACGCGGUGCCUAUUCGACAGCGAGAGAGGAAGAGUGAACUCUCCAUUUUUGGGUCCACCGUUGGCUUUCUUUAUGAUUAUCUUAGGAUGGUUUGACAGUCCCAUUAACUCAAUGAGAGAGAGAAACUCUCACUCUUCACCUUAUAUGAACUUAAUUUGACCAAUCUUUUUUGCCUCUCUUUCUUUUUCCACUUUUUCCAAGAAGCUUCGCGGAAGCAUCUCGGGUCAUUAGUUUCGUCGAAUUUAAUGUCUGAAAAGGAAACUCCACGGCUUCUUGCAAUACCCGUCCUUGAUUUCCUUUGAAAUGAAGUUGCUCUCUUGAGCAAACCCUCUUCGAAGUAGUACUCAGGGCUGUCAAAUGAUUGGUUCGAAAAUGGUUAAGCCCUAAUUGAUCCAUGUAAUUUUGAUAAAAAAUGACCUAUAUAACUUCUUUUUUUUACUCAUUUAUAUGAAAUACAAAGUUAAUGUCCCAAUAUAGAGCCAUAAUUUUGACUGACGGAAGUGAAAUUUUCACUGUUAUGCAUCUUAAUUUUUUUUUCUAAUAUUUGUUACUAAUAGGUAUUUCAAAUGAAGUCAACUCAAUAAAUUAGUAAAAAAAAUUACAGAAGACUGAAAAAAAUUAACUCAACUAAAAUAGAAUAACUACUCAAAGUACAUUUUUUUAAAAACAAAAGUAAGAGUACCAAAAUUGCCAAAACAUCAUUACAAAUGAUAAAUUGAAGAAUUAAAAAUGGCAAAAAUUGAUACACCCCUUCCGUACAAAGAGUGCUUAGGCCCUUUCAACCUUUUCUUUUAAUUGAGGAGAGUGGGGAAGCAAUAACACUUAGACCGCCAACUUUUUUGAGAUUAGUGCAUUUAAAAUUUUAAACUCAUGGCAGAAGUGUAACUGAAUUUUAAAAUUUAAGAUAAUAUAAUCAAAUAUGAAAGUUUGCAAUCAAAAUUGAAGAUGCUUAAAAUAUUACUCUAGUACAAAUCAUCAAUAUGUGUUGUGUUGAAUGUUAAACGCAAACAAAACCUGAAAGUGUGAAACUCAUGGCAGAAGUGUAACUGAAUUUUAAAAUUUAAGAUAAUAUAAUCAAAUAUGAAAGUUUGCAAUCAAAAUUGAAGAUGCUUAAAAUAUUACUCUAGUACCAAUCAUCAAUAUGUGUUGUGUUGAAUGUUUGCUUUGUUGAUUUGAUAAUUGUAAUGUCCCCAUAAUCGUUUCAUCAAAUAUGUGAUGGAUGGAAAGUGUAGAAAAGAAGUAAAAAAAGAAUAAAUGCACAUAACAAUUUUUUUCAUAGUGUGAUUGUUUAGAUAUAACUGAACUUGUUGACCGAGAGCAACAUAAGUGUCCACCGGGUGUCUGGAUUGCAACGCUAAUGCUACUACAUGGCUACUAGAUGUUCUCUUUGAGAGAAAAUAUUGAAUAUACAAGUUGUGUCAGUGUAACAAAUUAAAAGCUCAUCUAUUAAGUGACAUGUGUUCUUAAAAAAUGCACUUGAAAUGGGAAUGCUCAUGUUUCAAAAUGGCGUGCAAGUCGCUCUCUCGAGGAAACCCUCUUCCUAAGUAGCACUUGGGCUAUCGAAUGGUGGAUUGGUUCGAAAAUGAUUAGACUCUAAUUGACCCAUGUGAUUUUGAUUAAAAAAUAAUCAAUAUAACCUGUUUUGACUCAUUUAUAUGAAAUAUGAACUUAAUGUUCCAUAAUAGCACCACAAUUUUGAGUGGUGGAAGUGAAUUUUUCACUAUUAUGCAUCUAAAUUUUUUAAUUAAUAUUUGUUACUAAUAAGUAUUCCAAAUAAAGUCAACUCAAUAAGUUUUCUAAUUUUUCAAUUUAUAUUUUUACAAUAGGUAUUUUAAAUAAAAUCAACUCAAUAAAUUUUCUUAUUUUUAAUUAAUAUUUGUUACAAAUAGGUAUUACUAAAAUGAAGUCAACUCAAUAAAUUAGUAAAAAAAAUUACAGAAAACCGAAAAAAUUAACUCAACCAAAUUAGAAUAAGUACUCAAAGUACCUUUAUUUUAAAAUAUAAGUAAGAGUGCACAAAUUGCCAAAACAUCAUUACAAAUGAUAAAUUGAAGAAUUAAAAAUGAUAAAAAUUGAAACACCCCUUCCAUACAAAGAGUGCUCAGACCGUCAACUUUUAUUUAUAGAUUAGUGCAUUUAAAAUUCUAAACUAAUGGCAAAAGUGUAACUGAAGUCUAAAAUUUUAGAUAAUAUAAUCAAAUCUGAAAAUUUACCAAAUUGAAGCAAUCAAAAUUUAAGAUGCUUAAAAUAUUACUCUAAUAUAAAUCAAUAAUAUGUGCUGUGUUUAAUGCUAAGCGCAAAACAAAUCCUCAAUGUGUGAUGUCACUCAUUGAUUGUGUAGAAUUUAGGCAACAUUUUUUUUUUGGUCGAAACUUAGGCAACAUUUCAAUAAGUAGAUUUGAUAAUUACAACGAUCCACAUAAUUGUUUCAUCAAUAUGUGAUGGAUGGAAAGUGAAAAAAAAAAGGAGUAAAAAGAGAAUAAAUAUGCAACAUUUUCUUUUCAUAGUGUAAUUGUCUAGGUAUUAUUGAACUUGAUGUUGACCGAGAGCAACUAAAUUUCCACCAAGUGUCUGGAUUGCAGCAUUAAUGCUACUACAUGUUCCUUGGGAGAAAAUAUUGGUUGUGCAUGUUGUGCCAGCGCAACAAAUUGAAAGCUUAUUCAUUGAACAACAUGUGUUCAUCUUCUUGCCCUUUCUCUGUUCUCCCACUGCUUUCUUCGUUCUUUUUGCAAGCCACGGAUGGUCUCUCUCCUCCGUAAACCCCUUCUCCUCCUUCGGCCCUCCCCCUCACUUGCCCGGGGCACGACAACGUCAUUCACCCGGCCUCUCCUUCACUUGAGCUCGACCUUUGUGCCUUCCCCACCAACAACAGCUCCACCAUUGAAAUCAUCCGCUGCCCCUGCGGCCCUUGGAUCCAAGAACAAGCCUAAGUCUCCCGUGCUCAUUGUCAUCACUCAUGAUCCCGAGCCCCUGCAUCCUUGAGAUCUUCUGUGCUCUGAGUCAUCCCUCCCUCCGUAGCUUACGGAUCUAACAAGGGCUUAGUCCUUUAUAGAUUUAGCGCAAGUGACCCUUACCCUAGUCGGGAGAGUCAACCCUCACCGAAUCCCCUCAUUAGAUUCGGCGAGAGCAACCCUAGCUUGUGGCCAGUCACCGGCCACAACCAAGUACUGGCCAUAGGUCAAAGGGAAAGAAAGUAAUUUAAAAAAAAAAAAGGAAGGGAGAAAUGGCAAAAAAGAAGAAGAGAAAUGGAGGUGCAAGUCUGUGAGAGGAGAGAAACGAAGGAAGAAUAGCUUGAUAAGUAAGGGCGCGAUUGGUAAUGUUUCUGUUCAAAAAUUGUUCCAGGGAACAGAAAAAAAAAAGUGUUUAUGUUCCGAGGAACAGUUUUUGAACAAAAGAACGCGUUUGGUAAGUGUAAAAAAAAACUGUUCUUGAAAUUAAAAAAAAAAAAAAAACAGAAACACGUUUGGUAACUGACUUAAUUUCUGUUCCUAGAAUAGAAAAAGAACAGAAACACGUUUGGUAACUGUACAAAAUUUAUGUUUUAAAUUUUUCAAAAAAUGUUUUUUUUUAAUAAAAUUUAAACUUGAUAUUGAAUUCUCAUUCUCAUGAAAUGCUCAUUAAUUUAAUUUUAUUCAUGGUGAAUAAAGACAAACAUUCUGAACAUGAUCACAUGACAUACUUGGUAGAAAAUUUUGUAAAUAAAGUUUGUAUCAAAUUUUUAUCAAAUACUUUAUUUUUUAUUUUUUAUUUUUUAUUUUUAUAUCAUAUCUAAAUGUUCAUAAACAAUCUCCAUUAUCCAAUCUGUUCCCUAGGAAGUUAAUUGACGUGAAAAUAAUCAAAAUCUAGAUGAGUUCUAGAUUCAGACUUUCUUUUGAAGGCUAAACUCACUGUUCUUGAUAAUAUAGCCCCCUUAUUCGGAAUCACUCAAACUGCAGGUGGGUGAUUGAAGCCUACAUCAGUCUUCGUUAUAAAUUUCGACCAUCACAUUCUAUAACAGAAUUUCUUUUAGGUAUGAGUCAUUUUAUAUCAUACCAAUUACUUGAUACGAAAUAACGUUGUCUUAUAGACAUAUAAUUAGAAUGACACAACAACAUUAGAACUACAUCGGCAAAGCCGCAAAGUUGAAAAUAUUCUAGAUUAUAUUGAAACACCUACAAUGAAUAAAAGACUGAAUUAAUAAUUUCUCUUUGGUGACUGCACUAAGAGUCUUAAAAUUUGCACUGCAAGUGUACUCAACGGGCUCAACGCAGAGCCAUGCAGACUCUGCAUCUUCAAGCUCGCUCUCUUGCGGAGUUAUCCCUGAGACCGCAUUGAAUUGGAUGUCCACGGGAGUUAAAAUCAUCGGAAUCCUGAGCCGGCCAUCCCCCACCGACCUGUCUCAAUGAAAGCUCCCCUUUUCCGUUCUUCGCUUCCAAAAUCCUCAACGUUUUCGACUUCCCACGGACAACCUCUAGCCCCUUCUUUGAGUACUUGGGUGCCACCAUAAUCUCGCAGAACAUCCGAGUUUCACCAUCCGUUGGGCUUGUGAACUCCUGGACUUCCCUCGCCAAGUUCUAUAUGCACAAUAGGACAUUGCAAGGUUAGUGUUGACAUUCAACUCAAUCAACUUUAUCAAGUGAAGCAUUACAAUACUGACUCAGCAAUAGGAGACCCGCACCUACACCAGUGUUGUUUCAAUUUUGAGGGAAGCCCGUGCUGAAUGAGGCUUAAAGUUUUAAAAGCUCACGCCCCUUUUUAUUUAUCAGAGAAUUAUAAUAUAUUAUGGAAUGUGACCAUGGCAUAACAUUUAGCCUAAUUUGCUCAAACUAGUUGACUCAAGAAUGAGCUUCAAUAUGGAACUCUAUGGAUUUAAAAAAUGAGGAGCCUUUUUCAGUUUAUUAUAUUUGGACUCGGUGGGUGUACUAUAUAAGGAAAUUCGAAUUUUCACUUUGUAACUUGCAUAAUGAAAUAAGCAUAUACCUCAUCAAUUUCUAUGUUGAAGGCCACGAUAUCACCAAAUGCACUGACUGGAUCUGCUUUGACUGCUAAUCUGAAUGCUUGAAGAAUAUCGGCGGGGGAAGCCACCCCAUGAGGAUUUGUAUGCUUUAUGACGAUGCAUGUAGGUCACUAAACUCGGAUACACGAUUCCAGGCAGCAUCAACAUCCAGAUAGUUAUUAUAUGACAUUUCCUGCAGCACCAAUACAUAAUUCACAACAAAUGAGAGAUAGAUAUGCUAUUGUUACCACGAUCUGUCAAUGGUUUAAACGAACUUUGCAGAACAAACUACUAUUGCAGUUGCUCAGAGACUUCUAAACAGCAUCCAGUCUCAUCUCAAAAACACAUGGUUAUGAUACUAAAAGGCAGCCAAUUAGUCCCCUGUAUCGCUAAUCUCCUUUGCAAAACAUUGUUAGUGUUUCAUUAUACCUAAACCUUUUGCACGCUCAAAUACACAGAUAGUUAUGUUGAAGAAGCAAAUAAAGUGCCAGAGAGAUUUGAAUUGAGUACCUCCUGUUCUAAUAACAUAUUGACUUCUUGAAGCCUUUGUUAAUUUAUCAAAAAGCUUUAGCUAUAACAUGAAGAUACUAUCUAUUAUUUAGAUUUAAUAACAAGAUUCCAUUUUAGAAACUGCCUCCUCUAUCUAAUGAAGUUUUCAAAGCUAGAUAAUUACUAGAUCCGCUGCAAUUUCAACUUCCUCAAAAGAUUGACCUUGAUGUAAAAAUAUGACAUCAAGGAAUCGCCUUCCAUGAUGUUGGAUUGCAGUUGCAAUACCACCUCCAUUAACCUUAGCAAGACUCUUGUCCACAUGUAGCCUUAUGGUGGGGAUUUUCACCAAUAUGAAGAGAACUUUUAAGAGAUAGAGGCAAUGUUAAGCUAGGAGGGAAUUUCUCUAUCAAAAGGAAGAGUCGUCAACCUCCACAUUUUCGGUUAAAAAACUAAUAGGGUAACAGAACCUACUGAAAUUACUGAUUUCCAAAAGAAACAAACAAAAGGAUACCAUCAGAACCAAGUCUCUAAAAAGCCCCUUACUUGCAUGUGUUUAGACCUACAUGCAUUUUUAAUUGCCUUAGUGGCUAUGACAUCAAUUGAGAACACGAACUAGACGAAUACCUCCAGUUGUUUGUCUCCAUAGCCACUCUGACACUGCAGAAUCAUAGGAAGCAACACUUUGAAAGGCCUUUCAAGCAAGUUUUCUACGGAACUGUUGAUCAUCUCCAUUACUCUUCAGGAACUCUAGCAGUGCAGGGUAGUCGUGUGAAUCAACCACAACAAGGACAUCUGAUGAUUCUGUUAGAAGACAAAUGCCAACAUCAAUUCAAAUUAAGGGCAUAUAAUGGUUCUUGACGCAAAAUUACAGAAAAAUUUACCACAUGCAUAUUGAUACAUAGAGGCGCAAAGCCAGCAACAAUUCUACAAAAAAAGUGCAACAUAUUGGACAUACCUACUUUAGUUUAUAAUUUAACAAGCAUCACAAGAGCAAUUGUUUAGUUUUAGCAUAAAAGCAUGAGAGAAAUCAUUACCCAAAUAGUAAGAAGAUAAUCUGGAGCCGCAAUCUCAAUGUAAAAGUUAACAUACUUUCAGUCAAUUACAUGCCUCGGUUACAAGUGCCGUUGUAGCAAAGUUUGCAUGAUAUCCGUGAGCCUAGAGUGACAGAAGACACCAAUACAAUCAUAAUCCCUCACAUGUCCAAAUUUGGGCGAGCAACGCUCGCUUGGGGCUCGAGCACGAGGGCUCGCUCGAGCGAGCGUCGUUGCUCUGCCGAGCGACCAAAGCAGCUCGAGCUCGGCAGAGCAGCUCCAACGAGCAACGCUCGCUUGGGGCUCGAGCACGAGGGCUCGCUCGAGCGAGCCUCUCGCAGAUCUGGGCAAGCGCUGGAUCGAGCGAGCUGUCGCGCUCGAGCCCCGAGCAGCCGUCGCCCAGAUCUGUGAGGGGUGGCUCUCGCUGAAGCCCUCGUCGAACGGAGAAGGAGGAGCAGCAGAAACUAACCUCGAUUCAGAAGCUUCAGCCGGUAGGAGCAGCAGCUGUCGGCGCCGGAGAGUCAGCCGAGUGGGGAGGCGCCGGAGAGUCAGCCGAGUGGGAGGCGCCGGAGAGUCAGCUGGUGGUGAACUUGUGAGAGACGCCGGAAAAGGGAGAGCGUUGUUUCGGGUAGGGCAUGAACGAAAGAGAAAGGGCACGAACGAAGGAGAAAGGGCACGAAAACGAAGCCCGAAGUGUUCCGGUUUUGUUCUUUUUAGGGCUUCAAGAAGUGUUUCUGGACUCCAGAAGUAAGUUUUUUUUUUUUAUUUAUCUUUUUUAUGUUUCAAUUUUGCUCUAGGAACCAAGGGUGCGAAUGGUAACGGAAACGUUAAAUAAACACGUUUCUGUUCUUUUUUGUUCCCAGGAACAAAAAAACCAAAAAACUGUUCAUAAACACAUUUCAGAAACAAAAACAUACAGGGCCUAAGCUUUUUAUGGACACAUAUUGUUCAAUAGAUAGGCUUUCAAUUUGUUGCGUUGGCACAACUUGUGUGGUCAAUAUUUUCUCCAUGUCUUAGUAGAAUGUAAAAAUAAGUAAAUGCUCAGCCCACGAACGCAUCUAUGUCCAUACACAUGUUUUCAGAAUUUUAUUAAUAUCAGCUAUACGAGAUUGUGCUAUAAAUAUAAUAACGCAAAGAGGCCUAAAAUCGGAAAAGCUCACCUAGAGAAACCCCGCAUUAUCUUCAAUCAAAUCCCUAGAAUGGGAAUGGAAGCUUUCUUGGCAUCGUCUGGUUGAUUGGAGCGAGGUGGAAUGGAAAUAAAAAUGGGGAAUAAAAAUUGCUUUAUUACUGCAUUUUUCGUUAACACGCGGGAAAGUGGAAAUGAGCGAUAAGGCAUGGGAAUGAGUUGACAGUCAAAGGUAAAUUGACAUGUGCACUAAGCUUCGUAUUUGGUAACUGUUGUUUGGACAUAAUAUGGCAAACAUACUUACCUAAUUUACUAUUAUAUAGCAAUUUAAAACGAUAAAAUUCCACCCAUUACUACAUACGUUCCAAUUCCGAUGUAUUAUCAAAUGCAGUGAUCUUCAAAUCAAUCGCUAUUCUGAUUCACUACAAGCAAUUCCAUUUCCCUCUAGUUAUCUCAUGCUUAUGUAACAAAUCAGCCAAAGAAACAAUUUAGAACUCGUAUGGACCACAUCCUCAUCUAAAAUUAAGAACAGAUCAAAGUGCAUGAACCGCAAAAAUUAGGACCAUGAGCGCACGCAUGUCUAGUCUGUCUAAUUCUAUAUUUAUAUAGUGGUAGAUAUAUCCAAUAUGACCUCACUACAUACAUCCAAUUUCCACUCUGGAAUACGUAAUUAAUUGAUUAGGCUUGUUCUUCAUGACUUAUUUUUCCUCCAAUUGCCUUCAUGUUACCUCUUUUGGAAGCAUUCAGUUGAUCUACAUGCAUUGUUUGGACAUGAAGAACUAUUUUAAUAGUUCAGUUUUCAUAAAAAUAUACCAGCUCGAGAUUAUCAAUGGUGUGUGUAUAUGUAAUCUUGUGUACUAAAACUAGCUAAACUCGAAUGAUAUUCCAAUUUGGAUCUAAAAUACCAUUGCCGGAUAAUUUAAUGGAAUGCCAUCAAAUUGUUUUCCCCUAAUGCUACGUUAAAGUACGUAUUGCAUAACUUAGAUACUUUUACCCAAAAUCAUUCCGAAAAAAAUAUAUCAGGACAAAUUCAGAAGUUUUAUAGGAGAUAAUCAUGGAUUAAUAUAGUUUCGUUCCAUUCUUAUAAGAACCAUUCAAAGGAAUUUAUUUCUUCACGUGGGGAGCAAACUCUGCCUUUUUUUAGUCAAUUGUUGACUUGGUUUUGAUUAAUUAGACAUAACUAAAUUCAUUUUUGCUCAAGGUUUGCUGUUUGACAUAUAAUAUCAAAAAUAUAUUUCAAAACUUCACCGCUACAUAUUUACAAUACCCCGCAACAUUGCACGAGAAGUAGCAAAGCUUUUGCUGUUCACAUACCCGUCUGAGCACCUGGGAAAGCCUACUCUCCCAUCUAAUACUGUACAAUUAAGUUAGGUCAAUAUAUCCAACUUCCAUGAUUUUAGGUAUGUGAAUGUGAAUCCACCAGUUGCCAAAUGAAGGACACGAAAGAAAAAGGAAAUAAGUUAACCACGCGGGCAGGAUUGAGAGAUGUGUAUUUUUGCAGGCUACGUAAUGUCUCCGAAUAUAUAGUCAUGAGAUACGGUCCACAAACAAAUGUACGACCAUUCAGUACUCAUUUUCCCAUUUGUCAACUAGGCAUAUUGCUGCAUUACUCAAUUGCAUUCAUUUAACUAUAUGUAAUUUAUUGUUGGAUGACGUACACAUUGCAUCGUAUAAUGUACAUAGAAAUUUCAAUAUUGUUACCGGUACCCACAUGAUCUCGUGAAACAAUAUUUCGAACAAUCUUCUAAAUCUUCUUGAUAAAUAUGCCAUGCACUUGGUACCAAACUAAAAAGCAUUCCGCAACUCUCCCGCUAUGUAAACAUAGUCGACUUGCUAUAUUACUAUCUUUACGAGCUUUUGGAGAAUCGAAGUCGCAAUGUCAUCCAAUAGCAGGGGAUCGAGAAGCAAGAAAAACAUAUUUAGCAAAGCAUGGAACGUGUUCAAGGGGAAACGGGGUUCUUGAGAAGUCUCGUCUAGCAGGACCUAUUGAGAUGUCACCACGUCACCGGUAAGCUCAUUGGUAAAGCCUAUUAAAUUAAUGUCUCGAGUUUGAAUUUGGAUAAUGAUUUGUAAAUCGAAUUUAUUGAUAAAAAUUUUUCAAAUAAAUUUUAAAUUGGAUGAAAAAAAAUUCGUUGGAUUCUUGAAGAUUUAUGAAGGAGGAAAUAAUAGUAUAAAGGAAAAAGGGGAGCAAAGUUUUCUUUAUCUGAGGAGGAGGCCGAAUAAGGUUUGUUACAUGGGGCCAAAGUCAAGUCUUGACUUUUGGGCACACAUAUAAAUAAAAGGCAAGUCUCCGGGAAGAAAAGCUGUCCAAACCUCUCUGCACGUGGAGCCGAAAAAAGAGCUGGUGAGCCCAAGUCAGAUAUUUGAAAAAAGAAUUGGUGAGCUCAGGUCAAAUAUUUGAAAAAAAGAGUGGUGAGCCCAGGUCAAAUAUUUGACCUUUGGGCUCACGAAUUUCCCUUUUUGGUGUGCGUGAAACGGCUUAAGAAAAACCCCCCACGAAAUAAAAGGAGCCGCCGCAGUCGUACAAGUGAAAAAGGAGCCGCACGUAGGAGAAUAUAGAAGCCACGGGAAGCUGUACAUAGAGCGUUUUGUUUUGAGCUUUGAUAAUUUUAUACCGUGAGUUAUAAAAACUUUGAAUUUAAAGUUAAAUCUAGAUAUAGAAAAUAUUUGAGCAUGUAAGUGAUUGUAAACUCUGAUUCUCUAAUUAUAGUGGAUUAUUUGCUGCUGAAUCUUCCCGUAGACGUAGGUACCGAUACUCGGACUGAAUUACGUAAAUUUCGGAUAUCCUUAUUAUUUCUCGUUUAUUUCUUUGGUGAUUUCGCGUUGAUGUAAAUUGCAAAAUCAUGUUGUUUCCGCGUAUUAUAUUUCAACAGAGCCUCAACGGAACUAUCGGGAUGUUGCCACGUCUCCGGUGAGCUGGAGAUCCUCAAGCAAGUCCCAGUCCCGAGUGAGUUCUCGGAGCUCACUGAUGGAGUCUCAGCGGAGAUCCUCGAGUGUCAGCCAAAGCGACGACCAUUAUUACAAUUCUAGUGAAGACAAUCCAUGGCGAGCAAGCUACAGGCAUGGCGCUCUCGCCUAUCGUGGUGAUUACGAUCAAGUGCGAGUGAGAUCGUACCCGUGACCACUCCGGCAGGAAUAUGAUUAUUUUUAUCACACUAGUAUGGGGCAGUAUUAUUCUUGGGGUCUUGACAAUGUCAAUAGUUACGUCCAUGACGACGCGUCUGUUCCACCAUAUCUGCCCCCGCAUACUUCUUAUGGUUAUCACCGUCCAUCCGAGUCUCCCCCGAAUAAUUGUGCGGUGAUGUGAGAUGCCUAAUAUAGUGUGGCUAUAGUUGGUAUUUACUAAUAUCUGGUGAAGUACGGGAUGAGCUAGGGGCAUGGUUGAGCCAUUGGUUUGUUAGCUUUCGCUUGUGAAUCUCAGUGAAGUUUCUUGUUUUAGUUAGUGGUUUCGAACGUGAUGGAGUUUGAUUGAAAUCGCUUUGCCAGUUAACGAAGGUUAUAUACUUAUUUUAUGAAGUUUCAUCUAGUUCGUAGAUGCUAAACAUUUCUAUUAAAAUUUUACUAAAAUUAAGGGCACUUAAUUCCAUCAAUUGUCUAGGGUUCUACUUCUAUGAACAGAUGUUCCCUAACCAAUCAUUUAUCACAAAAACUAAACCAAAUGAAAAACGAUUUAUAAAAAUAGUAAAAAAAAAAAGAAAAAGAAAAAUUGGCCACGCCAUUCCUUGGAAAUUCUUCAUUCUUCAAGGAAGACCUUUAAGGAUCCAAGCUUUCUUGUGAUCCUUCGUGUUCAAACUUCAAGUAGCUUUGAAUGUGCAGAUAUACAUUGAAAUUCGUCUUUCCAGAUGCUUAUGGCAUCUCCAUUGAGAUGCAUAUACAUGGAGGAAAAACUUUUCAAGCUCAUCCAUUUAAAAAUUGGGCUUCUUGCUUGAUGAAAUUCAGUGGACAAAGACGAAAGAAAACGUUUUCAGUUAAAAAGAUCAAAACCGAAAAUAUUCUCCACUCAGUCCGUCGGAAGCAAUUGAAUUGUUGAUGUAUCGACAUAAUAAUAAAACAGGAAAGAGAUUUAUUUAUUUCAAUAUCUUCUUUAGUGAAAAAUAUAGUAAUCUAUUUAUAAAUUUUAUGAAGUGACUAUCUGAAAUAACAAAAUAUUACACAUAUCAAUGACGAUCAAUGAAAAACCAUUCAAUGAUAUGCAUAAUCAAAUGAACAUAGUGCACAAUUAUGAUAGAUAUACAAAAUCAAUGGAGAUUUAAAGAAUCUACUUUAUAUAGAGACAUAGAAGAAGUCAAUUGCAGGUUGGUGCCUUAGUGAAUAUAUUAGCAGUCUUAUCAACUGAAGAAGUGGAGACAAGAUGCGCAAUGUCACGAAGCACGUGAUACACGUGAAACGAUAGUCUCUUUCAAUAUGUUUGGUGCUUUUAAAAAAAAAAACAUUAUUAUAUGCUUUUUGGAUCCAAUUGUCCUAAUAAAUAAGUAUUCUGCCGUUAAGAUGACACUUAUAUGUCCUCUAAUAACCAUUACAAAUACAGUAAUUUUGAUGUUGUAUUAGCAAAAGCAUGAUAUUCAGCUUUCAUGCUAGAUGGAGCGACAAUGGUCUAUUUAUCGUUAUGCUAUAAGAUAAGUGAGUUACUUAGAAAGAAGCAGUAGCGUGUAGUGAAGUAAUAAUCAAGAGGGUCUCCUGCCCAAUGAGCGUUAGAUUUAGUUAAAAAGAUUGAACUGAAAAAUGAUCUCCACUCAAUCUGUUGAAAACAAGUGAAUCACUUAGUUCAAUGGAAGAAUCGCCACAUGAAUAAUGGGUAAGGGAUUUUGUCUCAGGGAAUAAACUAUGAAUCCAUUAAAGCUCCAUUCGUUUCACGAAGCACAAUUUCCAGAAAAGUACUUUUUGGAUUUUCUGACAUUCAUUUCCUAAAAAAUGAACUAAUUGUGAAAAGCAUUUUCCAUCGACAAAAAGAGUUUUCUAAAAUAGAGAAAAUGGUUUCCACUUUUCAAGAUGAAGAAAACAUUUUUUCUUACUUAGUUUCUCUUAUCUCAUACCUAUGUCAACCUUUUCAUCUUUUUUCCUUGAAAAAAAUCGAAUUUUCAAUUAUUUUUCCUUUUCUUGUUUUUCACUUUCAAGCUCGAAACUCAUUGGAAUUUGGCGAGUCUUAAGCUCGCCUUUGGCCAGUCGCUGGCCAUCACCAUGGUUGAUCAAAGAAGAAGAAUAUAAAAAGAAAGAAAAGAAAAAGAAAAAUUAAAAUAAUUUAAAAAUCGAUUUCAAGAAAAAAAAUUUAAAAAAAAUUAUUGAAAAAGAGUGCAUGGAGGAAAACAUUUUUCUUAUCGAACAACAGAAAAUAUUUUAUAAUUUAUUUUCAAAUUUCAGUUGCACACUACAAAAUAUAGCUACCUUCUUGAAAAAUGGUUUCCUAGAAAAUAACUUUUGGAAACAUCACAUUUUAUGUGAAAAGAAUAGAAUCUUAAUUGAAAAAUGAUUCGUUUGACAUAGCCUGGAGAUAGGCUUCUUUGUCCAUUGGCAACUAGGAAUACAACCCCAAAGUGCCAUUAUUAUUAUUUUGCCCCAAUUUCAAAUGCAAAUAGGCCUUCUAUUUAUUUUAGGGAAAAUUGCAAAAAAGGGCUCGAAGUGUUCUCAUCUUCUCAAGUAAGAGCUCGAAGUGGACCUUAUUUCAAAUAAGCGCCUGAAGUGCUAUCACUUUAUCAAAUAAGGGAUUGAAUUGAAUUUUCUUUUGAAUAAGGGCUUGAAAUGGUUAUGCCCGUUUCAAAUAAGAGUCUAAAGUAAUUAUAUUUAUUUUAAAUAAGGGCUUUCUCUUCUUUUUUUCCCUUCCUUUUUUAUGGUUCUUCUUCUUCCUCUUCAUCGGUGGUCAAAAGGUUGGGCGAGGAUCGUCUUCACCCAAUUCGGCGAGUGCCACCCGUAUCAACCAAAAGUGAGGAACGGGUUCACCUAGGUGAGGCCACCCUUGCGGCCAUUUGCAAGGGCUCGACAACCUCGUCGGCCACGGGUGAGGGUGGCCUCGCUCACAAUCAGCAAGGGCUUGCAGGCCAUUGUUAGCCAUUCCUAGUAGCUAGCAAGAUCGUUGACCCCUUGCAAAGAAAAAAUAAGAUAAAAGAAAAGAAAAUUUGGAUGAAAACUUCUUGGCUGGUUGGAUAAUUUAGUUGGCCGACAACCGCCGAAGUCGGACCAUUAUUUAAAACAACAAUGGCUAUAUCAAUGCCUUUAUUUAAAACAAUUGAUGCCAUUUCAAAUUCUUAUUUGAAAUAAGGUCUAUUUCGGGUUUUUAUUUGAAAAAAUGAGGCACUACAAGACUUUUUUUUGAAAUUUUCCCUUUAUUUUAUUUUAGGUUGCAAUUCAUGCCCGUGGACUGAACUAAAAUAUACUCUUUCUCUCUCUCUCUUUUUUUUUUUUUUCAACUUAAAAAAGCCGCUUGAUCAAAUAUUAUUUAUCUUUAGCAAAUGCACCUUGAAUCAAGGGGGAAAUGACUUCGCAUUUCUUCAGAAGUCUUCCAAACGCAAGUGCUCAUGUCAACAUUUGCAUCAAGAUUUCUAACCUUUCGUUUCGAAAAAGUAUAGUUGCUGCGAUUUUUCUUUUCGUAUUUUAUAAAAUAAAAAUAAAAAGUCAAAAACACACGGCGCAUCACGUUGACCAUCAACAGUCAAUGCAUGCCGAUCAGCAGGCGCUGUCCAUGUCUCGAUCUCAUCGUCACAAGCGAAGAAUGUGAACCAAGCGAUCAACCAUCGAUCUUCGAAGGAGAAGACUUCACAGAUUGCGCUUCUUCCGUCGGCGAUCGUCCUCACUUCCUCUCCAAUCGCCUCCCAGCUUCCUCCUGCAUCCUGAAAAUCCGUAUGGCGGCGGCGCUCGUCGGCGGAGCAUUUCUCUCGGCUUUCCUCCAGGUGCUCUUCGAUCGGAUGGCCUCCCGCGAGGUCGUCGACUUCUUCCGGUCGCGCAAGCUCGACCAGGGGAGGCUGCUCCAGAAGCUGGAGGCUGCGCUCCUGUCCGCGAACGCCGUGCUGGACGACGCGGAGGAGAAGCAGAUGACCAACGACUCCGUCAGGAAGUGGCUCGACGAGCUCAAGGACGCCGUGUACGACGCCGACGACCUGUUCGACGAGAUCGCCACUGAAGAUCUGAAGUGCGAAGCCGGGGUCGAGCCUCGGGCUCUCGUUUCUAAGGUCUGGAGCUUUGCUGCAGACGCUCGUAGGAGUAAAUUGGGGGAUAAGUUAGAGAGGGUUCGGGAGAGAUUGGGGGAUAAGUUAGAGAGUAAAUUGGGGGAUAAGUUAGAGAGGGUUCUGGAGAGAUUAGAGAGCGUGGUGAAGCAGAGAGAAGUGCUGGGCCUAAGGGAAGGCAUUCGCAGGAGGACGGCUAGAGCUUUGCCGACCACUUCGUUGGUCGAGGAAUUGGGAGUUUUCGGGAGGGAGAAGGACAGGGAGGCGGUGAUCGACUUGCUCUUGUCAGAUCGGGGCGAAAAUAACACCAGCGUGAUGGCCAUCGUUGGGAUGGCCGGUGUCGGUAAGACAACGCUAUCUCAGCUCGUGUUCAACGAUGUUGCGGUGAAGGGGAGUUUCGAGUUGAGGGCGUGGGUUUCCGUGUCCGACCAAUUCGACAUCUGCAAGCUGACGGCGACGGCUCUCGAGGAGUUCUCCUCCCCGUCUAAGAAGGAGACCGAAAAUCUCAACCAGCUUCAGCUCCAACUGAAGGACUUCUUGACUGGGAAGAAAUUCCUAUUGGUGUUGGAUGAUGUUUGGAAUGAGGACUCAAAUCUUUGGGAUGCGUUCCUAGUUCCAUUUAUCUAUGGAGCAAGAGGCAGCAAAAUCGUCGUGACGACACGAAAUGAAAAUGUCGCAUCGGUUGCUCGUGCCUUCUCGAAAUACUAUUUACAGAAGUUACAAGACAAGGAAUGUUGGGACUUGUUCGCAAAACAUGCAUUUGACGAGCAUAACUUCGAGGCGCGCACGAGACUUGAAGAAAUCGGGCGAAGAAUUGUAAAGAGAUGUGAUGGAUUGCCUCUUGCGCUGAAGACUAUAGGUAGCUUGUUACGCGGUGAGUCUGAUAUCAGGAAGUGGGAAAAUAUUGCAGAGAGUUAUAUUUGGAAUUUGGCACCUGGAAAGAAUGGAAUUCUCCCUGCGUUGUUGUUAAGUUAUCAUUACCUUCCUCCACAACUGAAACGAUGUUUCGCUUAUUGUUCACUCUUCCCAAAGGAUUGUAUAUAUGAGAAGGACCAGCUGAUCUUACUUUGGAUGGCUGAGGGUUUGAUAGAACAACCUAACGACAGCAGGACAUUAGAGGAGGUAGGUGAUCAAUGCUUCUGUGAUCUUGUGUCUAGAUCUUUGCUUCAUAGAGUAAGUGAUGUCGAAUCAAGCUUCUCGAUGCAUGACCUGGGAGUAAGCGAUGUGAAAUCGAGCUUUUCGAUGCAUGACCUGGUCAAUGACUUAGCAAGAUAUGUAGCUGGUCGUUCUUUUUUCAGCUUGGACGGAGGCAAUGCACACCAAGUGUCCUCAAGCACUCGCCAUUUGUCAUUUGUAAGAACUCAAUGUGAUGUCGCUUCCAGAUUCAAAGUGCUAGCCGGGGCAACGAAUUUGCGUACUUUCCUGCCGCUGAACGUGGAUCAUGUGAGAUUUCGCGAGUGCAAUUUGUUGACUGAUGAGGUACUGCAUGUUCGGUUGCCGCCCCUGAGACAGUUAAGGGUGCUAUCUUUGUCUCAUUAUUGGAAAAUCUCUACGUUGCCCAGUUCAAUUGGACGUUUGAAGCAUCUGCGCUAUUUGAAUCUCUCCCAUAAUGAUAGUCUAAUCAGAUUGCCUGAUACAAUUACAGCUCUAUACAACUUGCAAACCUUAAUUCUUGCUUACUGUUGUUCUCUCGUUGAGUUACCGAGCAACAUGGGCAGCCUAACCUGUCUGCGUCAUCUUGAUAUAAGGAAGACAUCCCUGAAGAGAAUGCCACAGGGGAUGAACAGACUGAAGAAUUUGCAGAUAUUAACUAAUUUCGUGGUGGCCAAAAACGAUGGGACUAGGGUUAGGGAGCUAGGGGAGCUAGGGGAUCUUAUGGGUACACUCUCCAUACAGGGUUUGCAGAAUGUUGAUAGUUACCGAGAUGCUGAGACAGUCAAUUUGCGGGAAAAGAGGUACUUGAAAAAGUUAGUACUGCAAUGGGGUUCUGAUAACAAUAUUAUGCAGCAAAAUUGCUUAAAUGUAUUGGACGAGCUGCAACCUCACUGGAACUUGAGAGAGCUUAUCAUUACAUCCUAUAGUGGUAGGUCAUUUUCCAAUUGGCUGGGACACAGUUCAUUCUCUAAUAUGUCUGUCGUGCGUCUUGAGACAUGCAAGCACUGUGUGUCAUUGCCUCCUUUAGGACAGCUACCAUCUCUGGAGAGGUUGAUAAUCGAAGGAUUUGAUGGAGUUACAAGUGUGGGUACUGAAUUCAAUGGUAGUAACUGUAUACCUUUUCAGUCACUAAAGUACUUGGAAUUUGCUGACAUGCACAGUUGGAAAGAGUGGGCUUCUUUUGCAAUAGAGACAAGAGGUCUUACCUUUGCACAUCUGCAGCAGCUUUGUAUUAGAAAUUGCCCGCGGUUGAGUGGAGGUUUACCCGGCCAUCUCCCUUCUCUAACAACCUUGUCCAUUGGAAAGUGCCCACAGCUAGCGUCUUCUCUACCAAUUGCACCACUUCUCCGUGAGAUCAAGUUGGAUGAUUGUGGAAAGGUUUCGGGAGUUGAGCCUCUCGUAAAUGGCACUGAGUUACGAGAUAUUGAAAUCAAGAAUCUUUCAACUCUUCCCUCGAGGUUUCUUCCUCCUACCAUGACAAGACUCCAUCUUGAAGACUGUCAUGAAAUAGAGUUGCCAAUACAUAGAUGCCAUGAAUCUCUCCAACAUCUAAACUUAUGGCGGAGCUGCGAUUCACUUGUAUCCUUUCCUCUGGAAAUUUUCCCCUCGCUUAAGAAAAUUCAGUUGCGGGAGAUUCAAAAUUUGGAACGUCUUUCAAAUUCAUACGGUUCUCCACUUCUUUCGAUGUACAUUAGUUGUUGUCCUGAAUUUAGAUCUUUCCCUGCGAAAGAAUUUUCUGCCCCAUGCCUCACUUCAUUAGAGUUGGAUCACUGCUGUCAUCUAAACUAUCUGCCAGAAAACAUGCAGGCUCUCCUUCCUUCGCUUCGGUCACUGAAAAUAUCCUCAUGUCCACAACUCGAGUCAUUUCCCGAGCGGGGUUUACCCUCCAAGUUGGUGGCGCUUUCACUCUUUGAUUGUAACAAGCUCAUCACUAGCCGCCAGGAUUGGGGUCUUAAGUCACUAUGCUCUCUUGAAACUUUUGCCAUUGGGCAAGACAAAAAUAUAGACUCAUUUCCUGAGAUAGGGCUUCUGCCAACCUCUCUUACCUUUUUGAAUAUAUUUGGCUUUGAGAAUCUGACGUCCCUGAACUCCAAAGGGCUUCAUAGCCUGAGCUCUCUUGAAAAACUUUUUAUUAACCAGUGUCCUAAGCUCCAUUCGUUCCCAAAAGAGGGACAAAUUCUGCCGCCUUCUCUUACCAGUCUGGUGAUUUUUAAUGUGGGUCUAAAAUCACUGGAUAACUUAGGGCUCCACCACCUCACUUGUCUCAAAAACUUCCGCAUAGUUGGCUGCGGAAGUCUUCGAUCCAUGCCAGCGAAGGGCUUGUCAUCCUCCCUUUCCUAUCUAUUUGUCCAUGGGUGCCCUUUGCUGGCGAAAAGAUGCCAGCGGAAGAAAGGAAAAGAUUGGCUCCUAGUUUCGCACAUUCGCUGCAUCGUGAUUGAAGGUGUGCUCGUCACAUGAUCUUAUAUCUUGUUUUACAAUCCCUCCUUUUACCAAGAUCUCACUCAGGUGUCUCCCUUGGCCCUACACUAAGUAAGCUAUUUAUUUAUUCACGACAUACUUCAGUCGCUCUGUGAUCAAGCACUAACAUCUGCCUGUAUUUGCCACAUGCUACUCUAAUAAUGCUCCACAAUGGAGAUUAUAUGUAGUUUUACCGGCUUUCCAUUGUUGUUCCUACAAUUGGGCUGCAUAAUUUAUUUAUUGGUUGACGAAUUAUUUAGCUAGAGCGCCUACUUUUCCCCUUCUCCAUUCUCUCUAUAUAAAUCGCACUGCCAUACUUCAGCUAAGCAUCUGUCACAAUCUUUAUACCCUCAUCUGGAAAUGAUUAUUUUAUUGCUACUUUAUGUUGCCAUCAGUUAACAGUAGUUAAUAGAGCAAAGAGAUUCAUGGCCAUCUAAAGAAGGCCUAGCCUUGAUUGGGCCAUCCGGAUGAAAUUAUUUUUUCUCACGUCCUCAAGUUAAAAAGAGAAUAAAUUUGCUCUUAUCAACGCAUGCUUUCUGUUGCAUAAAGCUGGAUAAUAUUUCGAGGGAGACGUAAAUUCUUAAGACUUGGCAUGACUCAUGAAUGACCUGUGCUACGCUUGCUAGAACAGUGUGGUAUCAUGGGUGGAGUGUGUUUCUGUUUGCUUUAUAUUUUUAUUUGUCAAUUUCAGCUUAACAUCACUCUAAAGUUGUACAAUUUAACAAAUAUUCCCUACCGACAUGUAGAAUUCUAAUCCAUGGAAUGUGAAAAUGAACAGUUCAAGAGAUGCGAGUGACUCGGUUUUUUGUAGUGACAUCUCCACUUUUGUCACUAAUUAUAUCAUGAUAUCCAACUAAAUCCGUCAAACAGAAGUCUAAAAAAAGUGUGAAAAAGUUAGGUUUUUAUUUGUUGAAGUUGAAAGUUUGCAUCUCAAAAUGCAAUUUGAUCAAAUUAUAUGAACCUAUUGUAAUUUACCCUAUUUUGAGAGAAUAUAGUUUCUUUUGAGGGAAUUUAAGUGGUUUUAUGUGCACUAACUGUUGAGGAGCUUCUGUGGUUGGAGAUAGAGCUGGAAAUGUAUUGCUGGCUUUUAGCUCGAUUAGAGUAUCCUUUAGUUGUUAAUACUUGUCUUUCAAUCAUUGCAGGUGGAGUGCUUCUAGAUGGGGCUAGACUAACUAAUGUUCCAAAAAUACAUUAUGCAUCCACGAUUAGCAAUACAGGCACUUGCUUUAUUGAGAUGCAUGAAUGAAUUGUGUUAGAAAAAGUCGAACAAUGUGGGAUUAGUAUUGGCAUGGAAUAGUUAAUAUAUCUUAGUUGGCCAUUGCUUUAAGCUUUUGAGUAAAAGUGGCCUAACUGGAUUAAUUGAAAGGUUUGGACUUGGUCUCUCUCUUGGUUUCCGCUACGCGCUCCCAAGCCAAUCAUUGAUUGGUGGCAACCUGUUGGCGCAAAAGAAUACUUGGAUUAAGGAGGAAGUAUACUAAACAUCGAGCUUACAUGUAAGAGGGAGAUAAGAACUGAUGUGGUGUGGACUUAAUAUAUCUUAGUUGGUCCAUGAUUCAUUGACUUAAGCUUUUGAGUAUAUGUUAGGUCCGACUAUAUUUAUUGACGAGGUCGAACUUAGGUUCUCUCUUGGUGAUCUCCCAUGUGAUGGCAUUGGGUUUUUGCUAGGCACUACCAACAUGCAGUGGUGGAUGUCGAAUUCUGCUUUGGAUGGACCUAUUCUUCUCCCACGAUAUCAAGAUAGUUUCAGUAAGAGGGUUGUGAGACAGUAAUGCUCAGUCUUCGCAAGAUGAGUGGAUUCUGAGGAUAUGGAGCAGCAUAGGCAAUGGGAUGGUGGAAAUUGGCAAGGAAAACAAAUCCAUUUUUCAUGCAGUCAGCAAGCCAAGUGAUCACUGGAAAUGACAGAAUCAAGGUCAACUAGGAGUAUCGAAAUUUCAUUGUCACUUUGCAACUUGUGAGAAAUUGUUUACCGAUGAGUGCGAGUGCAGGAGAGGCACUCCAAUGCGAUUGCAACGUUUAAUUAAACGCAACAACAUGCCAUGGGGAAGUACUUGCCUAAUGGUUUGGUUCGAUUGUUGUUUAUGCAAGCUGACACUUGUCGUAGUGGAGAAACAAGAAACCAUUCAAGGUAAAGCGGAUCCAAAGCAUGACCUGUAGUUGUACAUCCCAGGUGUCGAUGUUGUAGCAUUGGAAGCAAGGAUCAUAUCGGAAACUGAUGAUGGGCAUGAGAUGAGUGGGUUAUGGAGAGAUUGUUUGAUAUAGCUUUUCGAUGGUAGUUGUGACAGUAAAACUGGAUGCUUUUGCUUUCGCAAGGUAACAUCUCAUAAUUAUCAUAUGGAACCGGGAAGCUGUCCCGUCUAGCUUUUAGCUGUUGCUAUGUGUUACUUGUGACAUCCUGAUUUCGAGUCUGAUUUCGAUGAGAUGAAAUGGGCUUUUCAUCGACGCGCUUAUAGCCUUAUUCUCUGAGAGGGGCCCUCAUGGGUGAAAUCAUUAAUGGAUUUUAACGCAAUAAACUUGAGAAUUCGACUAAGAGUCGACUACUCGACCGUGUUGAUUUGCAAGGGUCAUUACGACAUUGCCAGAAAUCGAUCAGGGACCAGAGUGUGGGUGAUUCCACCUGAUUGCAAAAUAAUCAUCGAUCGACACUAGACCGAUUUUUCUAUCGUUUUGGUACCCGGUACCCGUAAAUGAAAUCUCGAGAUUUUCACGACAAUUGAGGGUCGCCAAUAUGUCGAAGAUAUACAAUGUGACUCGAGAUAAAUUGAUCACAGGUCAAUUGCACCAAAAAUUCCUAGAAGUUAUCCGGUCAUGCUAAAAGCGUGCCGAAUUGAAAUUAAUCGCGAACUGGAACCUGAUUUCAGAAAUCGAAAGUUCUGUCAUGUUACAAUCUAUUUUAGGAAUUUCGACUCAUCCUUCAAAGAAUUUUCGGAGAUCCUGGUAUUUUUAUGGAAAUUUGUUUCAGACGUUGCGGAAAAUUAGCGGAAAUUCGGAUGAACCAAAUUAAAAAAAAUUGGGACUUCCAAGCCGAGCCUUUGAGCGUCAGAGACUUACAGAAAAUUGUUUGGGUUGUUUCCUUGGCAAAAUUGGACCUCAAUACGGAGAUUUGAGUGAGGAAUUGAAGUUAAUAUUGGUAAAAUUCGGAUUAAGGCAUGGGGAAGCAUCUUUGGCUUCAAAAAUUGGAUAAUUGGUGGUUUAUUUUGUGGAUUAUAAGGCUGGAAAGUAUUAUGAGACAUUAGAAUAUUUGUGAGGAGUUUGAGGGGACCAAGCAAUCAAUGGAAGGGAUAGAAUUGGUGGGCUUCUUUAGCAAGUCAAGGCCGCCGCCCUCCUCCUUCUUGCGUUUCAAUCCGUCGACCCCUUCUGCUUUUGCUCUCGCUCUCAUUAUUUGCUUUCUACCUCAUCCCCAUUUUCAUUUAUUCCUCACGCCUCUUCCCAUCAUCAUCACCAAUCCAUCAUCCAACGUCCACCAAUUUCUCCACUCACUCUCUUCCUCGCAGCCAUAUAAGCCCACGAACGAAGCCUCCACUAAGUCAAACUUUCUUGGCCUAUUUUGGUUGUUGACUCCUCUUGCCGGGCGUCUUUCAAUCCACGAGACUGCAGCUCCACCACUUCCUCUCUCUCUCUCGUUGAACCCUCUGCCAUCUCACGUCCGAAGUUCCAUCCCUCUUCUCCACCGAAAUUCAACAACAGCUGAAGACCACUGAAGCCACGAAACAGCUUCCGUUCAUCCACCGAGAUCCCAUCUCUUAACGUGCUGCUGCCUGCCACUCCAUGCUAGCGCCUUUUGAAGACCGAGCAAAUCAACGCCUCCAUGAUUUCCAUUUGUCCAGCAACCGAAUCUACACGUCCCAGCUUCUUCGGUCAAAACCCCAAGUCGAAGCCCUUCCAUCAUCGACCGAAGCCGUCCCACGAAUCGUCCAGCAGCUUCGGUCUAUUUCAUCUCGUGGAUCAGCCGCAACAAAGUCUGCAGCCCAUCCAACCUGUUCUCAGCCCAGUUGAAGUCUUCAAGUCCAGCAAGUGUCUUCGGCCCAUUGGAUUUUGGCCCAAUCUAGCGAAGCCCAACAAGAUCAGAAGCCCGCAAUUUUGGGGCCCAAGCCCACAAAGUCAGCCCGCUUCAGGCCCGGUCCAAUUCAAAAACAAAUCUCAUAGUGGACUAAGAUUUGUUGGGCCCGUUUUAGACUCGACCCGAGUGUUCGCCAACGCCGCCGAAAAUUCAGAUUUCGGCCGUUGUCGCGUCGUCAUUGCGGUGAACCGGUUUCCGCAAUUAACCGGUGAGUUUAUUUACUAAACUCUUCUUAGUAGACUAAUGACGUCUAAGGGGUGUUUAGAUUUAUUUAAUUAGAAAUUAGGUGGUUAGUUAGAUUAAUUUAGUGAUUUAAUUAUGUACUUAUGCAUGUUAGGUGGUUAAAUUAGAUUAAGUGAGGCCUAGAUAAAUUGUGUUAUUUAUCUAGAAGGGUUCGGGAAUUUUCCGGGUCCGUAUUGGUAUUUAAUUUAGUGAUUUUGGCCUAGGUUGGCAUUUUAGUAUUUAAAUUGAUUUAUUUAAUUAAUUUUAGAAAUUAUUUAAUAAUUAAUUCUUUUUCGGAAAUUAGUCCUGGAUAGCUGGUGACUGGAGUUGCGUACUGAUUGCAAUGGUGUGUUCAAUUUUUGCAGUUGGAUGUUAAUUUGUGCAAAUUGAGUGCUGAUUCAAUUCCAAAAAUUAUGAAUUUCGAUAUUUAUUCAGAAAAUCCCGAGUAUUGGGUUUUAACACCAAAAAUAGUUUUAUACACUAUAUAAACCAGUGGGAUUUUAAAUUGGAGAUAUCAAUUUUUCUAGUGUAAAUUGACCGUGUACCCAUACACAACUAUUUUACCGUGUAUUUAUAAUACGAAGAAAAUAGGCCAGGUUCACUAUUUUAAUUGAGACAUUUGAGUACAAUGCACAGUGUCCUGGGUCGAGAUUGAUUGGUCGUGUGUUGGUUAAGAAAAACUGUCAUAGGCUAUUAAGCCGGACGUUACCCAUUCAUUGGGACUCGGGUCGUAGUAGAUUUUGGACCUACGCUCCUUUGGGAAAGCCGUCUAAUUGAGAGACGUCGUCGUGCUCAUGGUGGGAGACAAAGCCUGGUUAUGCCAGAAGACACCAAACUUAUGAGUAGGUUGUACUCAGGUUGCAGUAGAUUUUGGACCUACGCCCCUUCAGGGAAGUCGUCUAAUGGAGAGACGUCAUCGUGCUCAAAGGAGGUGAGACGACGCCUGGCAAUGCCAAAAGACCGCCAAUUUUGGAGUUAGCCGUACCUUUAACUGGUAUAAUUAACAAUUGGAACACAUGAUGGUUGAGUUUGAUGCACUUGAUUAUGAGAUCAAAACUGUGUGGCGUGGAACAGGUUCCUAGUGAUUAAUUGAAUUGAUGAGAUGUUCCAGUUGUUAUGUGCAUUAGUUAUAUGCAUUGCGAUAUGAAUUAUACUGACCUGCAUGAAGGAACUGAGGCGAGGUAAGUUCCUUGUUCUAAUUGUAUGGUUGUGUGGCUAGAGCGCCCUGAAGCGUAUUUCCCUCCUAAUCAGGGUUUAAUGGGUGUACUUGCUAAAACAUUGUUUCACUGGUUAUUGAAUAACCAUUUUCAGGUCCUUAGAAGGCGGUCGUGGAAGACCAAGGUCUCAAAGUCUAAGGAGGAGAAAUAUGGAGGACCAGUGGAUAUGUCCUAUCAGUAUGUCGUAGAACAGCCUCUUGUGAGAGUCGAUCAUUUUCUAGGCUUUCGACUAAACUCGUUUUGUGCCUGAAUCUCGUUGUUUAUAGAAGUGUGCUUUUAUGAAUUGAUAUCAUUCUUUUCUAUCCUGAGAUAAUUAUUGUUAGGGGAUUUAUUUUCACUUCCGCAUGUGCUUAAAAAUCAAUGGGUCGGCGACUCGUCUGGGGAAGUCACAAAAUUUUAUCGACCAGAGAGGGAUGGGCACGCGCUUAGGGUUCGAGGCGUGACAUUACCAAAUGAUCGCAACUACGAUUAUACCAAACGGGCCCCGAGUUGAGCUUCAUAGUCUAUACAAGAUCGGGAGGGUUUGAAGAAUUGGUUGGUUGAUUCUUCCCUCUCUUUGGUUGAGUGGUUCAUCUCUUCUUCAAAAGCACCUCUAAUUCUCUAGGACAGACUUAAGCAAGGAGAGGGUAUAUCUCCUCCAUUCAAGCGUGUACCCCCAUUCAAGUGUGUACUCGUUUUGCUAUAGGAGGGUAUAACAUAUAAUGAAUAAGUGAAUUUGGGGUCUUGUACGAGUCGACUUAUUUGUCAUGUUUGAGUUUGAAAUCAUCAUAUGUACAUCAAAAGUAGUGGUGUAUGUAUAUAUAAGGAUGAACAACCUGAUUUGAAUGAAUCACAUAGUUAAGAAAGAUGAAUCAAAUAACCUUCAUUUCCAAUUUCAAAAUCUGUAAAGGCGUCAUUUCUCGAUAUGGAGAACCAGUACAGAAACCUUGUGGCUAUGCAAGAUAGACAAUUAUUUUGAAACGAUGUAGUGUAUUCUACUAGUCAACGCCGGCAUAACUAGCAGUGGAUGCCGAUCCUGAUGUAACUAUUUUGAAAUGAUGUAGUGUAAUAUAUCAACUCCAGCACAACUAGUAGGUGGAUGCUGAUCCUGAUUUAACUCCCACAAAUUCGCAAGUGAGAAGGGGAGAUGAAGCAUCUAAGAAAGAGAAAAACUCUUUCGCUCGCUAAAUAACUUGGACAUAUAGACCAACAAGAAUUGUGAUCUUCCUAGCACUAGCGUUCACCCAACCAAAACACCCACAGCAACUCGAAAGUGAUCGGGAAAAAGAUAGACUGCAAGACAAGAUGCACGACGCAAGUCAUAUCUCGCAACAUAAUAUCAUCAGGGUAGUUAACAAAUAGCAUCUCCUAGUCUCAAUUCGUCCAACUGAGGAACAACAUAGCACGACCCCUGUUUUAAACUGAAAUUUAUCAAUUUCUAGCAUCGCAUUCCCGAGCAUCAACUAGGCUAGACAUGUGCAUAAGAGUGAAGUCGUGCAUGAUUGUGCAGCAAACAGAGCACAAGAAGAAAACCACCUAACUGAUCCAACCAAACCUCAAAAACAGAAAUGGUUAUGGGUACGUACAGUCGUGAGGCAAACUCCUAUUGGACAGUUCCAAAAUGACCACCUAGCUCAAUACAGUUCUCCAUAGUUUACCGUAUCACUUGAUUAAAUAUCGUUUAUCUUGGGCGAAUGCACCUUAUUUUAGAAGGGAAAUGACCCCGCAUUCUUCAAAAGCCUUCCAAACGCAAGUGCUCAUGUCGAUAUUUGCAUCAACGUUUCCAAUGUCUCAGUUUCAAAAAAUUACAGUUUUUCUUUUUUAAUAAAAAAAACAGUCGAAACCACAUGGUCCAUCACGUUGACCCAUCGUUGGUCAACGUAUAUGCCAACCAGCAAGCGCUGUCCAUGUCCACUUCGAAGGAGAAAGACUUCACAGACCGCUGCUUCUUCUUCUUCUUCCGUCGGCGAUCGUCUUCACUUCUUCUCCAAUCGGCUUCCAGCUUCCUCCUGCAUCCUGAAAUUCCCUAUGGCGGCGGCGCUCGUCAGCGGAGCAUUUCUCUCGGCUUUCCUCCAGGUGCUCUUCGACUGGAUGGCCUCCCGCGAGGUCGUCGACUUCUUCCGGUCGCGCAAGCUCAGCAAGGGGAGGCUGCUGCAGAAGCUGGAGGCUGCGCUCCUGUCUGCGAACGCCGUGCUGGACGAUGCGGAGGAGAAGCAGAUGACCAACGACUCCGUCAGGAAGUGGCUCGACGAGCUCAAGGACGCCGUGUACGACGCCGACGACCUGUUCGACGAGAUCGCCGCCAACGAUCUAAAGCGAGAAGCCGGGUACGAGCCUCGGGCCCUCGCUUGUAAGGUCUGCAGCUUCGCUUCGGACGCUUGUACGAGUGGACUAGGGGAUAAUUUAGAGAAGGUUCUGGAGAGAUUGGAGAGCGUGGUGAAGCAGAGAGAAGUGCUGGGCCUAAGGGAAGGUAUUCGCGAGAGGACGCCUAGAGCUUUGCCGACCACUUCAUUGGUCGAGGAAUCGGGCAUCUUCGGGAGGGAGAAGGACAGGAAGGCGGUGAUCGAGUUGCUCUUGUCGGAUCGGGGCGAAAAGAACACCAGCGUGAUGGCCAUAGUUGGGAUGGGCGGUGUUGGCAAGACCACGCUAUCUCAGCUCGUGUUCAACGAUGAUGUGGUGAAAAGGAGUUUCGAGUUGAGGGCGUGGGUUUCAGUGUCCGACCAAUUCGACAUCUGCAAGCUGACGGCGAUGGCUCUCGAGGAGUUCUCCUCGUCUAAGAAGGAGGCCGAAAAUCUCAACCAGCUUCAGCUCCAGCUGAAGAACUUAUUGACAGGGAAAAAGUUUCUAUUGGUCUUGGAUGAUUUUUGGAAUGAGGACUUCAAUAUUUGGAAUGCGUUCCUAGUUCCUUUUACCUAUGGAGCAAGAGGCAGCAAAAUCAUCGUGACGACACGAAAUGAAAGAGUCGCAUCGGUUGCUUGUGCCGUCUCAACAUACCCUUUACAGAAGUUGCAAGACAAGGAAUCGUGGGACUUGUUCACAAAACAUGCGUUUGACCAGCAUAACUUCGAGGUGCGCUCGAGACUUGAAGAAAUCGGGCGAAGAAUUGUAAAGAGAUGUGAUGGAUUGCCUCUUGCGCUGAAGACUAUAGGUAGCUUGUUACGCAGUGAGUUUGGUAUCAGGAAGUGGGAAAUAAUUGCAGAGAGUGACAUUUGGGAUUUUCCACCUGGAAAGAAUGAAAUUCUCCCUGCGUUGUUGUUAAGUUAUCAUUACUUUCCUCCACAACUGAAACGAUGUUUUGCCUAUUGUUCAGUCUUCCCAAAGGAUUGUAGAUAUGAGAGGGACCGGCUGAUCUUACUUUGGAUUGCUGAGGGCAUGAUAAAACAACCUAACGACAGCAGGACAUUAGAGGAAGUAGGUGAUCAGUGCUUCUGUGAUCUAGUGUCUAGAUCUUUGCUUCAUAGAGUAAGCGACGUCGAAUCAAGUUUCUGGAUGCAUGACCUGGUCAAUGACUUAGCAAGAUAUGUAGCUGGUCGAUCUUUUUUUAGCUUGGAUGGAGGCAAAGCACACCAGGUGUCCUCAAGCACUCGCCAUUUGUCAUUUGUAAGAACUGAGUAUGAUGUCGCUUCUAGAUUCAGAGUGUUAGCUGGGGCAAUGAAUUUGUGUACUUUCCUGCCGCUAAACAUGGGUCAUGUGAGAUUUUACGAGUACAAUUUGUUGACUGAUGAGGUACUGCAUGUUCUGUUGCCGACCCUGAGAUGGUUAAGGGUGCUAUCUUUGUCUCAUUAUCAGAAAAUCUCUACAUUGCCUAGUUCAAUUGGAUGUUUGAAGCAUCUGCGCUAUUUGAAUCUCUCCAAUAAUGCUAGUCUAAUCAGAUUGCCUGAUUCAAUUACAUCUCUAUACAACUUGCAAACCUUAAUUCUUGCUUACUGUUGGUGUCUCGUUAAGUUAUCGAGAAACAUGGGCAGCCUAACCUGUCUAUGUCAUCUUGAUAUAAGGUGGACAUCCCUAGAGAGAAUGCCGUGGGGGAUGAACAGACUGAAGAAUUUGCAUAUAUUAACUAAUUUGGUGGUGGCCAAAAACGGUGGGACCAGGUUUAGGGAGCUAGGGGGGCUAGAGAAUCUUAUGGGUACACUCUCCAUACAGGGUUUGCAUAAUGUUGAUAGUUACCGAGAUGCCGAGAUAGUCAAUUUGCAGGGAAAGAGCUACUUGAAAAAGUUAGUACUGGAAUGGGGUUAUGAUGACAAUAUUACGAAGCAAACUAGCUUAAAUGUAUUGAACAAGCUGCAACCUCAUUGGAACUUGAGAGAGCUUAUCAUUAUAUCCUAUGGUGGUAGGUCAUUUUCCACUUGGCUGGGACACGGUUCAUUCUCUAAUAUGUCAGUCGUGCGUCUUGAAUCUUGCAAGCACUGUGUGUCAUUGCCUCCUUUAGGACAGCUACCAUCUCUGGAGAAGUUGAUAAUCGAAGGAUUCGAUGGAGUUACAAGUGUGGGUACUGAAUUCAAUGGUAGUAACUGUAUACCUUUUCAGUCACUUCAGUACUUGGAAUUUGGUGGCAUGUGCAGCUGGAAAGAGUGGGCUUCUUUGGCAAUAGAAACAGGAGGUCUUGCCUUUGCACAUCUGCAGGAGCUUUGUAUUACAAAUUGCCCCCAGUUGAGUGGAGGUUUACCCAGCCAUCUCCCUUCUCUAACAGCCUUGUCCAUUGAAGGGUGCUCACAGCUAACGUCUUCNNNNNNNNNNNNNNNNNNNNNNNNNNNNNNNNNNNNNNNNNNNNNNNNNNNNNNNNNNNNNNNNNNNNNNNNNNNNNNNNNNNNNNNNNNNNNNNNNNNNNNNNNNNNNNNNNNNNNNNNNNNNNNNNNNNNNNNNNNNNNNNNNNNNNNNNNNNNNNNUAAUCUCGAGGGCAGUCAUGAAAUAGAAGUGCCAUACACAGAUGCCAUGAUCUCUCCAAUAUCUAAACUUGAAAAGGAGCUGCGAUUCACUUAUAUCAUUUCCUCUGGAAAUUUUCCCCUCACUUAAGAAUAUUCAGUUAAGGAAGAUUAAAAAAUUGGAACAUCUUAAAAUUCUGACAGUUCUCCACUUCUUCUCCAUUCGAUGGACAUUGCUGAUUGCCCUAAAUUUAGAUCUUUCCCUGCGGGAGGAUUGGCUGCCCCAUGCCUCACUUCAUUAGAUUUGAAUGACUGUCGUCGUCUAAAGUAUCUGCCAGAAAACAUGCAAGCUCUCCUUCCCUCGCUUCGGUCACUAACAAUAUCCUCAUGUCCACAACUCGAGUCAUUUCCCGAGAGGGGUUUACCCUCCAAGUUGGUCACGCUUUCACUCUCUAAUUGUGACAAGCUCAUCAUUGGCUACAAGGAUUGGGGCCUUCAAUCACUAUGUUCUCUUAAAACUUUUGUCAUUGGGCAAGAGAAAAAUAUAGUCAUUUCCUGAGAUAGGGCUUCUCCCAACCUCUCUUACCUCUCUGCAUAUCUCUGGCUUUGAGAAUCUGACAUCCCUAAACUCCAAAGGGCUUCAUAGCCUGAGCUCCCUUGAAUACCUGACCAUUGGCAAAUGUCCGAAGCUCCAUUCCUUCCCAAAAGAGGGACAAAUUUUGCCCGCUUCUCUUACCACUCUGUCAAUUUAUGGAGUGGGUCUAAAAUCACUGGAUAACUUAGGGCUCCACCACCUCACUUGUCUCAAAGAAUUUCGCAUAGAUAGCUGCCGAUGUCUUCGAUCCUUGCCAGCGGAGGGCUUGUCAUCCUUCAUUUCCAAUCUAUUUAUCCAUCGGUGCCCUUUGCUGAUGAAAAGAUGCCAUUGGAAGAAAUGGAAAGAUUGGCCCCUAGUUUCGCACAUUCGCUGCAUCGUGAUUGAACGUGUGCUCGUCACACGAUCAUAUAUCUUGCUUUACAAUCCUCCUUUUACCAAGAUCUCACUCAGGUAUCUCCCCUGGCCCUACACUAAGUAAGUCAUUUAUUUAUUCAGGACAUACUUCAGUCGCUUUGUGGUCAAGCACUAACAUCUGACUGUAUUUGCCGCAUGCUACUCUAAUAACACUUCACAAUGGAGAUUAUUUGUAGUUUCACCGGCUUUCCAUUGUUGUUCUACGAUUGGGCUGCAUAAUUUCUUUAUUGGUUGCCGAGUUAUUUAGCUGGAGCGUCUGCUUUUCCCCUUCUCCAUUCUCUCUAUAUAAAUCACACUACCAUACUUCAGCUAAGUGUCUGUCAUGGUCUUUAUAGUCUCACCUGGGAAUGAUUAUUUCAUUGCUACUUUAUGUCGCCAUCAGAUUAUUUCAGCUUUAAGAUCUCACUAUUGUCCACACCUACAAAUGCCAACUUAUAGAACCGUUUGUGCGUGAGCUGACAAUAGUAAAUAGAGCAAAGAGAUUCAUGGUCAUCUAAAGAAGGCCUAGCCUUGAUUAGGCUAUCUAGAUGAAAUUAUUUUUUCUCGAACUCUGGCACGUCCUCAAGUUAAAAAGAGAGUAAAUUUGUUCUUAUCAACAAAUGCUUUAUGUUGUGUAAAGCUGUAUAAUAUUACGAGGGAGACGUAAAUUCUUAAGACCAGGCAUGACUCAUGAUUGACUUGUAUUACGCUUGCCAGUGUUGGCAAAAUAUGCAUCGAAAUUGGGUAGUACAAUGAAAUCGGAUCGAGUAAAACAACUCGGACUUUGAGGCGUGAUAUCACUUUCUUUAAGAAUUUAUUUGCCCCCACAACGUUGCUAAUGGUCACCGACAAAAAUCCUCCAGGAUACAACAAAAUCUCGGAUGAGAAUACUAAAUAGCAAUUCUAGUAUUUCUCCAGGGUCUCUCUAAGAAAACAAUCGAAAAUUUGGCUACAGUUUUUCAGAAAGAAGACUCGAAAAAUGACCACACUUUUCUUUCCAAAAAAUGACAAGUAUAUAUAUGAAACAGUCUUGCAACUCUUCGUGAAAAUUGCGAACAAACAUUUUUUAAAUAGCAAGGGAUUAAGUGCUAAGUGCUAAGUACGCCAAAAUCGCGCAAUUAUUCGCGCACCCACUGCGGGUAUGGUGGGGUCUAGCCCUACCUAAUCACUCCUUUAACUACAAAAGGGAAAUCCCACUUUUUUAAACUGACCCUCCUACUCCCACUUUUUCUAUGUGGGACAAAGUAAAAAGCACUCAUUUUGUUUUAACAAACAAAAUUCCAACAGCCAGAACAGUGUGGUAUCAUAGGUGGAGCAUAUUUCUAUUUGCUUUGUAUGUUUAUUUGUCAAUUUCAGCUAAACAUCACUCUAAGGUUGUACAGUUUAACAAUUUCCCUCACUGCAUGCAGAAUCUUGAUCCAUGGAAUGUGAAAAUGAAACAGUUUAAGAGAUACGAGUGACCCAGCAUUUUGUAGUGGCAUAUCCACUUUUUUCACUAAUUAUAUCAUGACGUCAACUAAAUUCAUCAAACUGAAGGUCUAAAAAGAGUGAAAAAGUUAGGUUUUUAUUUGUUGAAGUUGAAAAUUUGCAUCUCAAAAUGCAAUUCAAUCAAAAUAUAUGGACUUAUUGUAAUUUACCCUAUUUUGAGAGAAUCUAGUUUCUUUUGAGGGAAUUUAAGCGAUUUUAUGUCCAUUGACUUUUGAGGAGCUUCUGUGGAUGGAGAUAGAGCUGGAAAUGUAUUGCUAACUUUUAGCUCGAUUAGAGUAUCCUUUAGUUGUUAAUACUUGUCUUUCAAUCAUUGCAGGUGGAGUGCUUCUAGAUGGGGUAAGACUAACUAAUGUUCCAAAAAAUAAAUGAUGCAUCCAUGAUUAGCAAUACAUGCACAUGCUGUGUUGAGAUGGACGUGUGAAUUGUGUUAGAAAAAGUCCAACAACGUGGGANNNNNNNNNNNNNNNNNNNNNNNNNNNNNNNNNNNNNNNNNNNNNNNNNNNNNNNNNNNNNNNNNNNNNNNNNNNNNNNNNNNNNNNNNNNNNNNNNNNNUGGCCAACUAGAUAUGUUGAAAGUUUUGGACUUGGGCUCUCUCUUGGCUUCCACUACGCGCUCCCAAGCCAAAUUGGUGGCAACCUGUUGUUGCAAAAGAAUGCUUGGAUUAAGGGAGAAGUAUACAUAACAUUGAGCUUACAUGUAAGAGGGAGAUAAGAAUUGAUGUGGUAUGGAGUAAGAGGGAGAUAAAAAUUGAUGUGGUGUAGAGUACUUAUUAUCUCCUAGUUGACCCAUGAUUCAUUGACCGAAGCUUUUGAGUAUAUGUUAGGUCCAACUAUAUUUGUUGAUAGGGUCGAACUUGGGUUGUUCCUUGGCGAUCUCCCAUGUGAUGGCAUCGAAUUUCUGCUAGACACUACCAACAUGCCACGGUGGAUGUCGGAUGCUACUUUGGAUGGACUUAUUCUUCUCCCACGAUAUCAAAAUAGUUUCAGUAAGAGGGUUGUGGUGAGAAAACAAAAUGUUGCUCAGACUUCACAAGACGAGUGAAUUAUGAGGAUCAGGAGCAACAUAGACAAUGGGAUGGUGGAAAUCGGCUAGGAAAACAAAUCCAUUUUUCAUGCAAUCAGCAAGCCAAGUGAUCGACUCUGGAAAUGUCAUAAUCGAGCUCAAUUAGGAGAAUCAAAAUUUCACUGUCGGUUUGCAGCUUGUGAGAAAUUGUUUACCAAUGAGUGCGAGUGCAGGAGAGGCACUCCAAUGCAAUUGCAACGUUUAGUUGAAUGCAACGACAUGCCAUUUGAGAAGUAUUUGCCUGAUGGUUUGGUUGGAUUGUUGUUUUAGCAAGCUGAUACUUGUCACAAUGGAGAAAUAAGAAACCAUUCAAGGUGAAACGGAGCUAACGCAUGGUCUGUAGAGGUACAUCCCAUGUGUUCGAUGUUGUAGCAUUGGAAGCGGAUCGUAUUUGAAACCGAUGAUGGGCAUGAGAAGAGUGGGUUAUGGAGAUAUUGUUUGAUACAGCUUUUCGAUUGUAGCUGUGACACGUAAAACUGUAUGCUUCCGCUUUCGCAAGGUAACAUCUCAAAGCUAUCAUCUGGAACCAGAAAGCUGUCCCAUCUAGCUUUCAGCUUUGUCGCCGUUUGUUACCAAUUGAUCGCAACUAUGAUUGUACCACAUGGGCCUUGAGUGGAGCUUCAUAGCCUAUACAAGAUUAGGAGGGGCUGGAGGAUUGAUUGAGUGAUACUUCUCUCUUUGGUUGAGUGGUUCUUCUCUUCUUCAAAAGCACCUCUAAUUCUCCGGGACACACUUAAAGCAAAGAGCAGGAAUAACUCGUGCAUGCAAGCAUAUACCCGUUUCGUGCUAUCGGAGGGUGUAACAUAUAGUGAAUAAGUGAAAUUUAAGGUCAUGUACAAGUCUUAUUUAUCAUGUUCAAGUUUGAAAGUCAUCAUAUGUAAAUCAACAGUGGCUGUGUAUGUAUAUAUAAGGACGAGCAUUCUGAUUGGUAUGCAUAACAUAGUCGAGAAAGAUGAAUCAAAUAACCUUCAUUCCAGCUUCAAAAUCUGCAAAGACGUCAUUUCCCGAUAUUUUUCAAACUUUUUGAGCAUUGCCCUAGCCAUAGAACUAAUAGCCUCAUCCUCAGUAUCCCUUGCCUGUAUUAAACGAAGCUGAAUCUGCCAUACUCCAUAAAAAUAUAAAUUUGCCGUGGGAUAUCUAACUCCAGAGAACAGAGUAGAAAUAUCAUAAAAGGGUUUUAACAACAAAGCAAUUUUCUUUCCUCUAACCCAAUCUUCAGAAGAUGGACAUGUGACAAAGUUACAGUCAAUUAACUUCAAAUGCGAAAAUGCACAUUCAAAGAAAAGGGCACCCUCAAGCAUUAGGUAUGUAGAAUUACAUCUGGUGGCCACAUCUUGACGUACCUUUUUACUGGUCUUUAAGCACGACUGCAAUAUACAUUCGGCAAAUUUAACUCUCCUCCCUUGUGUAGCCCUCACAUACUUGACAGCUUCUCUAAUAUUAUGUAAGGAUCCAUCAAUAACCUUUAAACCUUCCUGUACAAUUAGACUUAAAACAUGUGCACCACAACGCACAUGAAAAAAUUGUCCAUCACAUAACAAAGAAGAUCUCACAGAAGGUGUAUUUCUCCAAAUAUCAAUCAUACUGUCAUUGUAUGAUGCAUUAUCUAAAGUGAUGCUGAAGAUCUUUCUCUCAAUGCCCCAUUCUCUCAACAAAGACAGCAAUUUUUCUAAAAGUAUGACACCACUAUAUGGAGGUGGCACAUAGGAGAAACACAAGACUUUUGAUUGCAAUUCCCAAUCAUCAUCAAUAUAAUGAGCAGUGACGGUCAUAUAAUGAUCCGUAGUAAUAGAAGUCCAUAGGUCAGAAGUCAAACAUAUUCGGCUCGAAAGAGACAAUAAUUUGGAUUUCAAAAUUCCCUUCUCUUUCUCAUAAACUUUUAGCACAUCACUUCUUGCUGUAUUCCUUGAUAUGUGCUUCACAUUAGGGUUGAGGUAACUAAACAAUUCUCUUGUUCCCUCAUGCUCUACAAAAGAGUAUGUAUAAUUGUGUUUGAUUAUCGCUCUUGCAAGCAUAUCUCUAAACACACCUCGGUCAAAUUGUACCACAGAACCAUCAACAUUAACCUCUCGGUUGGGACAAGUAUUUAAAUGACGCAACAAGUUUUUUGUCCCAUGGCUAGCCAUAUAAGUUACUUCACACCAUUUACAUUUAGCCUUACUCAUGCCAUCACCAUCUGUGAAUUUUUCGAAUUCAGACCAUACAACCGAAGUGUGUUUUCUUGAACGCUUAGAGGAAGUAGAGAUAUCUUCCUCAUCCUCAUGAACUAAGGAUGUAACUCUCUUGGAUCGGUCGGUAGUUGAAUAUUCUCCUUGAUCCUCGCUAUGUCUUGACAUGUCAACUAACAAAUCUUAAAUCAUAAGAUAAGCCCCACCUCAAUAUUUGGGCGAACAACACAAACAAGCUCCCCACAAACUCGUAAUGCUUCUGCUGUGACUUUGUAAUAUCUCUCACAAAUAGUAGAUAAAACAGGGGAGGAAAGCACCUAAAAUAUCAUAAUAAAAACAGAGAAAGUAAACACCCUGCAGCUGAUUUUGUAUAAACCCAACUCAGAAGCAGGUAGCAUAAACAGUUUAUAUACACAGCAAAGGUAGGAAUUAUACCGUCGAACAAAAGAUGACAGAAAACCGUCGAACAGUUACAAACUUUCCAAUAUAGAACCUAAUUCAGCAGCCCGAAACAGAAUGACCCAAUAAACAAAUCAAUCCGGAAGGCAAGAACAGAGAAACCAAACCGGAUCACCGAAAAGACCCUGCGCACCAGCUCAAGCAAUAGCAAACUGCAAAAUGCUGGAACAAAACAACAGCUAGUGCACGGAGCUCCCACUCUGCGCGGGAUGAUGGGACAGGUCCGACCACUUUGGUUAUAAUGUACACAGAUUUUUGCAAGAAAAUUAUUUCUGCGACUCGAACCAGAGGUCACACAGCAACAACUUUUACCUGAAAUGCUAGUCCUAAAUGUAACCAAAUGCGUCGCUGCAGUUUAAAAAGCAAUGCAGACACUUUCAUAACAAGACCAAGGAAUCAAGUAAUAAUUUUUCUAUUUCACGUAGGUCCUUUUGAAAAAAUACAUGCGCACAAUUUCAAGAACACUGUUCUUAUUGUAAAGAUCACAAGAACAAACAGACGAAACAACAUGAAUGAAUCACUUUGGCCCUAGCUACCAUCCGCUUAGCAACAGUCAUGAGUUCCAUGAUUCAAUUUCUUGGCUUUCAAAUGAAGAACACGUAUCUACGGAGCCCGUGAUUGAGGUUAAGCUGCAUUGUAUUGGUAAUGAAAGACCCGUCGUUUCACCCGAAGAAUAAGAACCUUUGGAGCCCCCAAUCAAGGUUAACCAAUCGAAAAACCAAUCGGAAUGACCCACAUUGCAACUCAAUCCAAUAGAAAAACCCAGCAAGCCCCACGCCCCGAUCAGCUUGCCACCAAAGAAGAGGCCAAACCCAGAAACGAGACAAGCGAGAAGGGCGUGCCCGCGACACGAUUACUUACCCGGCUGUUACGAAAACGGCUUAGGUUUGCGGCUGAACUGCGCCGGACGACGGCGACGGAGAUCUAAAAAAGACCGCAGAUUCGCCCAAUCAAAGCGCAAUCGCUUUCCGCGGACGGCGAAGACGGCGACGACGGCGGCGGCUGCGGCAACUGACGGCGGAAGGAGAAGGAGUGCUCGGAAAAAGACAGGAAUUCACCGGCGAGCUCUCGGCCUCUGAGUCCCGACUUGCAGUACGUCGUACGAUGGAGGGAAAGCGAGAAAACGAAGACGUCGAAGAGGGAGAGUAAAUGGGUUCGCUUUAGUGGGUUGAUAAGUGGGUCAUAAAUGGGUUGAGAGCAGACUCAGACCCAUUUAAAACCCAUUUAUUUCAGCUUUUUUACUUUUAAAACUCAUUAUGGGUGCAAGCUUGACCCAUUAACGACCCAUUUAGCUAUAAAUGGGUCUAUAAAUGGGUCAUUGACCCAUUUUUGACACCCAUAGCUAUGAUAAAGAGAGAUAUUUAUUUAAAUGUUUUCUGUUUGGAGACUUUAAUUUCUCGAUACCUUUUUAUUUUCGUAAAAAAUGACUUGCACUAUGGAAAUUAAUCGAGAUGUGUGAAAUAUGGGCUAAAUCUUGGAUUUCCGAAAUUGAAAUUGAAUGAAAAGAAAACGUGAGUGAUUUGAUGAAAGAGAAUAGCCAUUUGGAAAUUGAUGGUGAAAAUAUGUAGAACAGCUCUUGAUUGGAAAAUAGGGAUGGAAAUCAAAGUGGAUAUUGUAUUUGGCGAUUGCAAGCAUUGCAUCAUGAAAUACUAUUGGAAAAAUAUCACCACAAUUCAUUUAUUUCACAAAAAAAUGAAUGAUUUGAAAAAAUGGAACUUAAUAAAUGAUACCCGCCACGACUUAGAGCUAACUAUCGGCUCCCAAGGGGCAAACCUAGAAUACUGUGCGCAAAAUAUUUCAUAUCAAGGCUAAAAUUACAUUGUAUUAGCAUGAGACGUAACAAACUCGAAAUGCAUAACUAUCGGCUCCCAAGGGGAAAACCCUUCUUUCCCUUUCUAGCUUUCUCCGGGAAAAUUUUCCGAUCCGUUGCAAACCGUUCAUCAUCUUCCGUUCUGUAACAGAUCUCGACGACCUGCGAGGCUGCGAUGGAGAUUCGCAUCGGAAGAGGCUAAGCGUGGGCCAUCGCCGCCGGAUUCAUGGCCGCUCUCGCUGCCAUUUCCGCCAAGUUCUUCUCCUCUCAGGUGACUCGACCUCAUCCCUUCAUCUCCGAUUGCGCGCUUGUUCGUGCGAGCUAAUCUAUAGUUGUCCCCCGCCGUUCUGCUUCGGCACUCGAGGCUGUGCGAUUGUUCCAGCCAAUGCAAAUCGAAAUCUGGCGUGUGUGUUGGACCGUGUCCCUAAUGUAUCUCCGGCCGAAGCACUCGACGUCGCGUGGCGCGAUGUGAGCUGCGGCCGAUAGCCGGUGCGCGGCGAUACGUCCAAUUUUUGGUUGUUUGAGGAUUAGCGGGAGCUCUAAUUGAGGAAAGCUCCUGCUAAUUCUACUACUUCUGUGGAGAGUAGUUGAAUAGAUUACCGAGAGGGAAGCUUGGAAGCUAUCCGAGCGGCCUGUCGUGGCAAUCGGUCGACGCCUGCUCAGUAGCAGAGGAGAGUUUCGAAAGUUGAGGGGACAAGCUUAGGAAAUUCGUGCAAAAUCUCAGUUUAUGAGAUGGGGAUGCGGACAGAGAUUCUUGGUGAAAUUUAAAAGAAGAUAGCAUAGGAAAUAGGAAAUGUUCGCCUAGCAGGCAGGCCAGGCGGGGCGGGGUUGGGGCAUCUGGAGAACUCUGACUGGAUAUUUAGAAGGGAUUGCUAUUGUACAAUCAUCUUCUCGAAGGUGAGCUUCACAGACUGGGUUGUUAUCUGUCAGGUUUAUAUUUUCACUGGGAUGAAGAAGAAUAGCAAAGAGAGAGAAAACAGAGAACGAUUAUUUACUGUUGCUCUUCUUUUCCCCAGUGGGUAAGUGCAUCUGUUAUUCGUGGUGUCAUUAGCUGCGGAUGUCAGCAUUUCGUAGUCAACUCAGUCUGAGAUUGGUGCUUUUGCAGUGAACUAGUUAAGUCCUACCAUGAAUGGAGUUCGUUUGGUUGUAUCUACCUUAAACGUUAAAUCGUCAUUCCCUGGCACAAUUAUGUGAAAAGAAUUAGACGUUUGAUUCUCUUUGCGAGAAAAAUGUUUCAAUGUCUGAGUCCAGUUAAUUAGAUUCCUAGGAAUUGACGAUGAGUGGUCACUGCACUGCACUAAAGCCUGUUAUUUGACAGGAAUCUUUUCCUCAUGCUCCUCCUUUUCCUCCAUUUCUUUUGACUGUAGGGGCAGAUUGUUUAAAGAUAUCUUUCAUGUGUUUACUGAUUGUCUAAGAUGCACAGUUAAGCAUAUAUUCUGUCAUGAUACAUCAUUGAUGAAUUUUCCCAGUAACUGUUGCCAUUAGAUGGGUGUUGUUAAUAAAUUGUGCAGUUCAUGAACUCGGACAUAUUUUUCCUGGACUAACACCCAGACAUCUGAAUUUAUUAACAGGUCAUUAAGUAUGGUUUUGUCAUACUGUUCAAUGUUACAAUGUGGGGAUGUUAUGUCAACAGCCUAAAGAGUCUCUCGUCUCUUCAAGCCACAGUUACGAACUUUGCGACAAAUUUCCUCACUUCUGGAUUAGCUGGGUUCUUUUUGUUUGAUGAGUCAUUGAGAUACCAGGUACUUUGAUUAACUAUUUUCCUGCCCUGUUCUGCAAAGUUAUAUACUUCAAGGUUUGAUUUUUUACUGUGUCUAAAAUAAGAGGCAAGCUCUUAUUGUUACAGCCGGAGCUGUCAAAAGUAUUUUUCACUGAUACAAGUAAUAUCAUGACUGCAUUUAGUUCCCUCAAGAGAUAAAUUCUCCCUAUGGAAUCGGAACUGGUUAUCUUGAAAGUGGCAAGUAGGCUAAAAUUUAGGAGUCAAGUUAUGCAAUAGAUAACUUCCGAGUUUAUUAUCUCAUGAAUGCAUUGAGGGUGAGGAGGGUUUUAUAUUUCAGAUGAAAGCUUCUGAGAUCAAUGUGGUUGCCAAGGAAAAGAGUUAGCUCGCUUCAUGCAAACCUGUUGUUCAGGGAUUCUUGGCGUAGUCUCCACCUUGCGAUAAAAGGUGUCGAGUACUUCCUAGUUCCUGAUAAUGACUUGAGUUUUAGGUUUAAUCAUUGCUAUCUUGACUCACAUUAUGGUUGUGAUAUGGUUGUGAAAUUGUGAUUAAAAGGAUGCAGUGAUUGGAGAUUCUCACUCCACUUAGUCUAUGAAUGCAGAUUUCACAAAAUUCACAUGAAGUCCCGUUCUUAGUGGUUUGCAGGUGCACUUUUCAUAGUGAUUGGCGUGCUAAUUCUCAGCAAAUCAAGUAUUGAGAAGAAAAGUAGAGUUGAUUGAAAGUUCUCAGUUUAUGAGAGAUACCAUACGCCAUGCUUGAAGGUUGCCCCCUUUUGCUACUGGCAACAGUUGCUCUGCUGCUUUGGUUUAUGCUUUUCUUUCCCUUCUCCCUUUUAAGUGCCCGAACUGCCUGUUCUCAUUUAUCUUUUGUGGAUUUGCAGGUGACUUAGUAGAGAUCAGAAGUUCCAUUCUUGUGCCACUCUCAAGGAAAGGAGAAAAUGAAGUUGAGAAUUGAGGAUAUAAAGGGUGUUUCCUUCCUGGCCGGUGAUUCCGUGUGAACGAUCACUACUUUUCGUGACUGGCAGCACCGAGGAUGCUAUGUUGUUAAUGCCAGGAUUGCUAUGUUACUGUUAAUGGUGACUAUACAAUAUAGCUACAAGGCAAGCUGCAAAGAAGACAGAUUUGUGUUUAGAGAUGGGAUCCUAUCCUACCUUUUCACCAUGCCAAACGAGUAGGCUAAAACAUUGGUAAGUGAACCCUAAUUUAGGCGCUCUCGAAAGGCUGAAUGUGUCGUGCGCGCUUCGUGAGCGUGAAGCUAAAAGAUCAUCUUUACAUUGAUAUAAAUCAAGGCCUUGAUGUGAGCUUAUGCCUACAUGUGCUAUAAUUUUAUUUUAUUUUUUUUAAAUGCGGAGGAUUUAAUGGACAUCGGGCAUUACUGGGGCAAGGUCGUCCUCUAACUUACCCCGAACUGCUCUUUCUUUAACACCGUCCAUUCUUUUUGCUCUUUAUUAAUUUAUAAAAUAUGAAAAAAAAAUUGAUUUUAUUGUCUAAUUGAAAUUUUAUCGAGAAAAAGAUCCUUCUUUUUUUUUUUUUCAAUUUCUGCUUUGACAAAAGAGAAAUGCGCGAGUUGGAUCUUUCAAUUACUUUGCCGAAAAGGUAAUUACGUUAUAGCGUGUGGUACUCAUUGCAAUAAUUGGAUAACAAAAAUAUAUCCAUGGAUGUGGCUCUAUAGAUGAAAUCAUGCUGUUCUAUUGUUAUCGUGGUAAAGGAAAUAAUAGCUUUUCCUCAGAAAACUCGGUUAAAUGUGUGAUUUGAAACAUGACAAUGUGCGGCGAAAAUAAUAGCUUUUUUCAUCAUCAACCUAAACUUAAAAUUCAUAAAAUCAAUUUGGCGAAAAGAUCGGGAAAUUGUUAAACUGUACGACUUUUUGGGUCCAAUUGUUGCAAUACAUAAUUAUUCCGCUGUUUAGAUGACACCUAUAUGCCCUCUAAUAAACAUUGCAAAUACAAUAAUUUUGAUGUCGUAUUAGCGAAAGCAUGGUAUUCAACUUUCGUGCUAAAUGGAGCGAGAAAGCAUGAUAUUCAACUUUCGUGCUAGAUGGAGCGACGAUGAUCUAUUUGUUGUUAUGCUAUAAGAUAAGUGAAAUACUUAGAAAGAAAUAGUAGCCUAUAAUAAAGUGAUAAUCAAGAGGGUCUCGUGACUAAUCAAUGUCUAAAUAUUUUGAUGAGUCCUUUUAGUUAAAAAGAUCGAACCAAAAAAAUGAUCUCCACUCAAUCCAUUGAAAGUAGGUGAAUCACUCAGUUUAAUGGAAGAACUGGUACAUGAAUAAUGGUUAAGGGACUUUUUCUCGGGGAAUACACUCAAAUCCAUUAAAUUACCAAUUUUUAUCCAUGUGUUUUCCUAUUUGUUUUUUUUUUAGUAACCGAGGAGCCGUCGGAGACUCCCUUACGGGGUCACACCGCCCUUCGAUGCCCGGUGGCACCAUUGGACGUCGUCGCAAGUUACUAUUUAGACGUAAAAUCUCGGAAAGCUGGCCUAGUAAUCCACCCUAAGACCCCCAGUUAAGUCAUAGAAUGCAACGAGAGAGUUCAAACCCUCGACCUCGGCAAUGAGAAAGAGUAUGCACACCAUCUGCGCUGCCCAUGGGUGGGUGUGUUUUCCUAUUUGUUGAUCGUCAAUCAAUACAUUAUAUAUGUGCCUUACUAAUACUCACCAAUCUACUUCUUCACAAUACAUUUAUAACAUAUGACUUUAGCUAGCUACAUAUUGAGUCCUUGCUCAGGAGCACGAUGUAACUAAUAUUAAAUUUAUCCAUAAAUUUAUUAAAUAAUUAGGCAAAAGUAAAUUGCUUGCUUAGGAUCGAUUGUUUUGUGCUAUAGGCUUUUUGUUGGCUUGGCGGUCGUUGGGCCACCAAACUUAUGAUCGAGUUCAAUUCGAUUGAUCUGCUUGCCUCGUUUUGACAUGAAGAAAUAUUUUACAAGGUCAUCUUUCAUGAGAAUACACGAGCUCAAGAUUAUUAAAGGAGCGUGAAGUACUCUUAUAUGCUUGACUAGCUAUAUUUCCAUAAAUUUGCAAAUUGCAUUAACGGUUGUUUGAUUUGUGAAUAAUCUAUCUUUAAUAAAGAAUCAUUUGUUUUAGAAGUGCCAAAAUUAGAUCCGGCAAACUGGUAAGUCGAGGGUUGAGUUGAAAAUGAUCCGAAUCAAAAUCAACCAAUUUUAUGUGUAAUAUAAAUUUAGUGAUUGGUACGUGACUUAAGAUCAAUUCUAAAUUUAUUUUUUUUCAUUAGAUUAUUGAUUUUUGAGAAAACGAGCGGUUCAUAAAUCGACUCGUUGAAGAAGAAAAAAAAUUAAUUCUCGUUAAAAAUUUAAAAUUCUUUCUUGUUUUUGCUUCAAGUUCUCGUCCCGUGACCCACCGUCGGAACGAGGGCAUGAAAUUUGAUGAAAAGUCCAAGGAGAGAUAAAGGGCGAAGGAUUUAAACCUAACGUGCAGAUCGGACGGUCAGCAGGUUCUAAGCAAAUCGAAUCUAACGGAGGAGACAGCAGCGUCGGCUUAAAGCCAUGUUAGAUAGAAGAAAAAAAGAAAAAGGGAAAAUCAGCGUUGACCACUCCGCAUUUCUUCAAAAUUCUUCCAAAUUUGCAAAUUCCCUAUGGCGGGGGCGCUCGUCGGCGGGGCAUUUCUCUCGGCUUUCCUCCAGGUGCUCUUCGACCGGAUGGCCUCCCGCGAGGUCGUCGACUUCUUCCGGUCGCGCAAGCUCGGCAAGGGGAGGCUGCUGCAGAAGCUGAAGGCCGCGCUCCUGUCCGCGAACGCCGUGCUGGACGACGCGGAGGAGAAGCAGAUGACCAACGACCACGUCAGGAAGUGGCUCGACGAGCUCAAGGACGCCGUGUACGACGCCGACGACCUGUUCGACGAGAUCGCCACUGAAGAUCUGAAGCGCGAAGCCGGGGUCGAGCCUCGGGCUCUCGUUUGUAAGGUCUGGAGCUUUGCUGCAGACGCUCGUAGGAGUAAAUUGGGGGAUGAGUUAGAGAGGGUUCUGGAGAGAUUGGAGAGCGUAGUGAAGCAGAGAGAAGUGCUGGGCCUAGGGGAAGUUAUUCGCGAGAGGACGCCUAGAGUGACGACUUCGUUGGUCGACGAAUCGGGAGUUUUCGGGAGGGAAAAGGACAGGGAGGCGGUGAUCCAGUUGCUCUUGUCAGAUCGGGGCGAAAAGAACACCAGCGUGAUGGCCAUCGUUGGGAUGGGCGGUGUCGGUAAGACCACGCUAUCUCAACUCGUGUUCAACGAUGGUGCGGUGAAGGGGAGUUUCGAGUUGAGGGCGUGGGUUUGCGUGUCCGACCAAUUCGACAUCUGCAAGCUGACGGCGACGGCUCUCGAGGAGUUCUCCUCCUCAUCUAAGAAGGAGACUGAAAAUCUCGACCAGCUUCAGCUCCAACUGAAGAACUUCUUGACAGGGAAGAAAUUCCUAUUGGUGUUGGAUGAUGUUUGGAAUGAGGACUCAAAUCUUUGGGAUGCGUUCCUAGUUCCUUUUAUCUAUGGAGCAAGAGGCAGCAAAUCAUCGUGACGACACGAAAUAAGAGGGUCGCAUCGGUUGCUCGUGCCGUCUCGACAUACCCUUUACGGAAGUUGCAAGACGAGGAAUGUUGGGACUUGUUCACAAAACAUGCGUUUGAUGAGCAUAACUUCGAGGCACACACGAGACUUGAAGACAUCGGGCAAAGAAUUGUAAAGAGAUGUGAUGGAUUGCCUCUUGCGCUGAAGGCUAUAGGUAGCUUGUUACGCUGUGAGUCUGAUAUCAGGGAGUGGGAAAAAAUUGCAGAGAGUUAUAUUUGGAAUUUGGCACCUGCAAAGGAUGGAAUUCUCCCUGCGUUGUUGUUAAGUUAUCAUUACCUUCCUCCACAACUGAAACGAUGUUUUGCCUAUUGUUCAGUCUUCCCAAAGGAUUGUAUAUAUGAGAAGGACCAGCUGAUCUUACUUUGGAUGGCUGAGGGCUUGAUAGAACAGCCCAACGAAAGCGGGACAUUAGAGGAAAGUAGGUGAUCAGUGCUUCCGUGAUCUUGUGUCUAGAUCUUUACUUCAUAGGGUACGUGAUGUCGAAUCAAGCUUUUCAAUGCAUGACCUGGUCAAUGACUUAGCAAGAUAUGUAGCUGGUCGUUCUUUUUUUAGCUUGGAUGGAGGCAAUGCACACCGCGUGUCCUCAAGCACUCGCCAUUUGUCAUUUGUAAGAACUCACUAUGAUGUCGUUUCUAGAUUCAGAGUGUUAGCCGGGGCAAUGAAUUUGCGUACUUUCCUGCCGCUAAACGUGGCUCACGUGAGACUUUGCGAGUACAAUUUGUUGACUGAUGAGGUACUGCAUGUUCUGUUGCCGAGCCUGAGACGGUUAAGGGUGCUAUCUUUGUCUCAUUAUUGGAAAAUCUCAACGUUGCCCAGUUCAAUUGGAUGUUUGAAGCAUUUGCGCUAUUUGAAUCUCUCCUAUAAUGAAAGUCUAAUCAGAUUGCCUGAUUCAGUUACUGCUCUAUACAACUUACAAACCUUAAUUCUUGCUUACUGUCGCUCUCUCAUUGAGUUAUCGAGCAACAUGGGCAGCCUAACCUGUCUACGUCAUCUUGAUAUAAGGGAUACAUCCCUGAAUAGAAUGCCGUUGGGGAUGAACAGACUGAAGGAUUUGCGGACAUUAACUAAUUUCGUGGUGGCCGAAAACGGUGAGACCAGGGUUAGGGAGAUAGGGGAACUAGGGAAUCUUAUGGGUACACUCUCCGUACAGGGUUUGCAAAAUGUUGAUAGUUACCGAGAUGCCGAGAUAGUCAAUUUGCGAGAAAAGAGGUACUUGAAAAAGUUAGUACUGGAAUGGGGUUCUAAUAACAAUAUUACGCAGCAAAAUAACUUAAAUAUAUUGGACAAGCUGCAACCUCAUUGGAACUUGAGAGAGCUUACCAUUAUAUCCUAUAGUGGUAGGUCAUUUUCCGAUUGGCUGGGACACGGUUCAUUCUCUAAUAUGUCAGUUGUUCAUCUUGAAUCUUGCAAGCACUGUGUGUCGUUGCCUCCUUUAGGACAGCUACCAUCUCUGGAGAGGUUGAUGAUCGAAGGAUUUGAUGGAGUUACAAGUGUGGGUACUGAAUUUAAUGGUAGUAACUGUAUAUCUUUCCAGUCACUUAAGUACUUGGAAUUUACUGACAUAUGCAGCUGGAAAGAGUGGGCUUGUUUUGCAAUAGAGACAGGAGGUCUUGCCUUUGCACAUCUGCAGGAGCUUUGUAUUAGAAAUUGCCCGCAGUUGAGUGGAGGUUUACCCAGCCAUCUCCCUUCUCUAACAGCCUUGUCCAUUGGAAGGUGCCCACAGCUAAUGUCUUCUCUACCAUUUGCACCACUUCUCCGUGAGAUCAAAUUGGAUGAUUGUGGAAAGGUCUCUGGAGUUGAGCCCCUCCUAAAUGGCACUGAGUUACGAGAUAUGAAAAUCUGGAAUCUUUCAACCCUUCCCUUGAGGUUUCUUCCUCCUACCGUGAUAUAUAUAUAUAUGUGGGAGCUGCGAUUCACUUAUAUCCUUUCCUCUGGAAAUUUUCCCCUCACUUAAAGAUAUUAAGUUGUUGGGGAUUAAAAAUUUGGAACAUCUUGCAAAUUCAGACGGUUCAUCACUUCUUCUCCAUUCGAUGGCCACAACUCGAGUCAUUUCCCGAGCGGGGUCUACCCUCCAAGUUGGUCGAGCUUUCACUCUUUGAUUGUGACAAGCUCAUCACUGGCCGCAAGGAUUGGGGUCUUCAAUCGCUAUGCUCUCUUGGAACUUUUUCCAUUCGGGGAGAGAAAAAUAUAGUCAUUUCCUGAGAUAGGGCUUCUGCCAACCUCUCUUACCUCUCUGCAUAUCUCUUUCUUUGAGAAUCUGACUUCCCUGAACUCCAGAGCGCUUCAUAGCCUGAGCUCCCUUGAAAACCUCUCCAUUAUCGGAUGUCCUAAGCUCCAUUCCUUCCCAAAAGAGGGACAAAUUCUGCCCGCUUCUCUUACCUCUCUGUCGAUUUAUUUUACGGGUCUAAAAUCACUGGAUAACUUAGGGCUCCACCACCUCACUUGUCUCAAAGAAUUUCGCAUAGAUUUCUGCUUCAAUCUUCGAUCCAUGCCAGCGGAGGGCUUGUCAUCCUCCCUUUCCAAUCUAUUUAUCAAUAAGUGCCCUAUGCUGGCGAAAAGAUGCCAGCGGAAGAAAGGGAAAGAUUGGCCCCUAGUUUCGCACAUUCGCUGCAUCGUGAUUGAAGGUGUGCUCGUCACAUGAUCGAAUAUCUUGCUUUACAAUCCCUCCUUUUACCAAGAUCUCACUCAGGUAUCUCCCUUGGCCCUACACUAAGUAAGCCAUUUAUUUAUUCAGGACAUACUUCGGUCGCUCUGUGCUAUCCUUCCAGCUAAUGCAAAUCAAAAUCUGGCGUGUGUGUUGGACCGUUUCCCUAAUGUAUCUCCGGCUGAAGCACUCGACGUCACGUGGCGCAAUGUGAGCUGCAGCCGGUAGCCGGUGCGCGGCAAUACGUCCAAUUUUUGGUUGUUUGAGGAUUAGCGGGAGCUCUAAUUAAGGAAAGGUCCUGCCAAUUCUACUACUUCUGCGGAGAGUAGUUGAAUUACCGAGAGGGAAGCUUGGAAGCUAUCCGAGCGGCCUGUUGUGGCAAUCGGUUGACGCCUGCUCAGUAGCAGAGGAGAGUUUCGAAAGUGGAGGGGACAAGCAUAGGAAAUUCGUGCAAAAUCUUGGUUUAUGAGAUGGGGAUGCGGAGAGUGAUUUUUGGUGAAAUUUAAAAGAAGAUAGCAUAGGAAGUAGAAAAUGAGCCGAACACCUAGCAGGUGGGCCGCGUGGGUUUGGGGCAUCCGGAGAACACAGACCGGAUAUUUAGAAGGGAUAACUAUUGUACAAGCAUCUUCUCGAAUGUGAGCUUUGCAGACUGGAUUGGUAUCUGUCAGGUUUAUAUCUUCACCGGGAUGAAGAAGAAUUGCAGAGAGAGAGAUCAUAGAGAAGCAUCAUUUGAUUAUUUACUGUUGCUCUUCUUUUUCCCAGUGGGUACAUGCAUCUGUUGUUUGCAGUGUUAUUAGCCGGGGAUGUCAGCAUUUCCUAGUCAACUCAGUCUGAGAUCUGGUGCUUUAGCAGCAAACUAGUUAAGUUCUACCAUGAAUGGAGUUCAUUUGGUUGUAUCUACCUUAAAUGUUAAGUCGUCAUUCCCUGGCAGAAUUACGUGAAAAGAAGUAGAUGUUUGUUUCUCUUUGUGAGGAAGAAGUUUCAAUGUCUGAGUCCGGUUAAUUAGAUUCCUAGGACUUGACAAUAAUUGGUCACUGCACUGCACUGAAGCCUGUUAUUUGACAGGAAUCUCUUCCUCAUCCUCUUCUUCUUCCUCCAUUUCUUUGGACUGUUGGAGCAGAUUGUCUAGUGAUAUUUUUCAUGUGUUUACUGAUUAUCUAAGAUGCACAGUUAAGCAUUUAUUCUGUCAUGAUACAUCAUUGCGACGAAUUUUUCCAGUAACUGUUGCUGUUAGAUCGGUGUUGUUAAUAAAUUGUGCUGUUCAUGAACUCGGACAUAUUUUUCCUGGACUAACACUCAGAGAUCCGAAUUUGUUAGCAGGUCAUUAAGUAUGGUUUUGUCAUACUGUUCAAUGUUACGAUUUGGGGAUGUUAUGUCAACAGCCUAAAGAGUCUCUCGUCUCUUCAAGCCACAGUUACGAACUUCUCGACAAAUUUCCUCGCUUCUGGAUUAGCUGGGUUCUUUUUGUUUGAUGAGUCAUUGAGAUACCAGAUACUACGAUUAACUAUUUUCCUGCCCUGUUCUGCAAAGUUAUGUACUUCAAGGUUUGAUUUUUUAUUGUGUUUAAAACAAGAGGCGAGCUCUUAUUGUUAUACCUGGAACUAUCAAAAGUAUUUUUCACAUACACAAGUAAUAUCAUGACUGCAUUUAGUUCCCUCGAGAGAACAAUUCUCCCUAUGGAAUCGGAACUGGUAAUCUUGAAAGUGGCAAAUAGGCCAAAAGUUGGGAGUCAAAUUAUGCCAUAGAUAACUUCCGAGUUUAUUAUCUCAUGAAUGCAUUGAGGGUAAUUAUGCCAUCAUAAGUGGGGAGCAACAGCAUGGAGAAGGAUUUUAUAUUUCAGAUGAAAGCUUCUGAGAUCAAUGUGGUUGCUAAAGAACAGAGCUAGUUUGCUUCAUGCAAACCUGUUGUUCAGGGAUUCUUGGUGUAGUCUCCAGCCUGUGAUAAAAGGCAUUGAGUACUUCCUAGUUCCUGAUAAUGACUCAAGUUUAGGUUUAAUCAUUGCUAUCUUGACUCGCAUUAUGGUUGUGAUAUGGUUGUGAAAUUGUGAUUGAAAGGAGGCAAUGAUUUUUGAGAUUCUCACUCCACUUAGUCUAUGAAUGCAGAUUUCACGAAAUUCACAUAAGUCCCGUUCUUAGUGGUUUGCAGGUGCACUUCUUAUAGUGAUUGGUGUGCUAAUUCUUGCAAAUCAAGUUUUGAGAAGAAAAGUAGAGUUGAUUGAAAGUUCUCAGUUCAUGAGAGAUACCAUAUGCCAUGCUUGAAGGUUGCCCCCUUUUGCUACAGGCAACAGUUGCCCUGCUUCUCUGGUUUAUGUUUUUCUUUCCCUUCUCUCUUUUAAGUGCCCGAACUGCCUGUACUCAUUUAUCUUUUGUGGAUUUGCAGGUGACUUAUAAAUGAGAAGUUACAUUCUCGUGCCACUCUCAAGGAAGGAAAAAAAGGAAGUUGAGAAUUGAGGAUAGAAGAGUGUUUCCUUCCUGGCCGGUCAUUCCGCGUGAAUGAUCAUUACUUGCUGUGACUGGCAGCACAGCACCAAGGUUGCUAUGUUGUUAAUGCCAGGAUUGCUAUGUUACUGUUAAUGGUGACUGUAAGAUAUAGCCACAAAGCAAGCUGCAAAGAAGGCAGAUUUGUGUUUGGCGAUGGGAUCCUAUCCCACCUUUUCACCAUACCAAACGAGUAAGGCUGAACGUGUCGUGCGCGCUUUGAGAGCAUAAAGCUAAGACCCAACAAAGAUCAUCUUUACAUUAAUAUAAAUCAAGGUCUUAAUGUGAGCUUAUACCGACAUGUGCUAUAACGUAAUAGAAAACUUGCGGAGGAUUUAAUGGACAUCGUGCGUUACGGGGCCAAGGUUGUCUUCUAACUCACCUCGACCCGAACUGCUCUUGCUAUAAGACCCUCCAUUCCUUUUGCCCCUUAUUAAUUCAUAAAAUAUGAAAAAAAAUAAAAAUCGAUGGAUGAUUUUUUUCUUUUAAUAGACUUCAUGGAUUAUAUUUUCUUCACUUGAUGUUUUUGUCGGAUUGAAAUUUUAUGGAAAAAAAGAUUCUUAUUUUCAAUUUCUGCUUUGACAAAAGAGAAAUGCAUGAGUUAGAUCUUUCAAUUACUUUGUGGAAAAGUUAGUUAUGCCAUAGCGUGUAGUACUCAUUAAUUUGAUUGGAUAAUGAAAAUAUAUCAACUGGUGAGGUGCCAUAGAUGAAAUCAUGUCGUAGUACUAUUGCUAUUGUGGUAAAGGAAAUGGUACCUUUUCCUCGGAAAACUUUGUUACUUGAAUGAUCUAAAACAUGACAACGCGUGGCCAAAGUAAUAGUUUUUCUCAUUACCAACCUAAACUUAAAAUUUGUAAAAUCAAUUCGGUGAAAAGAUUGGUGCACCAAAUUUAUUGGCUAUCUUGAAAAAUUAGAUUUGUGAGGAAGGGGUGUCUGCCUCAAAGUGUGGAUUUUUUGCUGGCACAAUAAAAUAAUCAGGCCACCUAAGCAUUUUUUGGGGUUAAUUUAUUAUAUUCAUGUUAAUGAGUUUAUAAUGCAGCAUUGUAACAUGACGUGAGAAUACAGUAAUUUUAAGUGUGUUUAUUUCGCGAAAAUUGAAUGAUUUGAAAAAUGUUUUUUUAAAAAUAAUCGCUUAAAAUAAUUAAUGAAUGGAAAAUAUUUUUCAUUGUUCAUGAAAAUAUUUAGGAAUAAAAUUAUCAAUAAUAAAAAUAUUUUUAAUUGAUUAAUUAUUUUAAAUAAUAUAAACGCAAGCCUUCACGAGAAAACAUGGCUUACUUUUUCCAUUUUUCAUUUAACUGUCACCGUUCAGAUAAGACUUCCCCGACAAAUGGGCUCGAGGCGCGAAACUGAGGAUGAAUCAGGACCGUUACUCGAAGGCAACGGGCUCACCGACUAAAGUGCGUCCGCGCACACCGGAUGGCGGCUCACCGUCUCUCUCCUUCGCAUUUUCCCGCCAGAAACCCAUCCCCCUCGACCGCCAAAUCUCUCUCCCUCUCUUCCCCUUCCCUUACCUAAAUCCUCACUCGCGAGGCUCUCUCUCUCCCUGUGCCGCCCUCUCCCUGUCACUCCGGUGAAGCGAAGCCAUGAAGGACCUCGACUUCAAGGGCGACAAAGGUCAGUCCCUCUCUCUCUCUCUCUGUGGCGUUGUGUUUUCGUGGGUAUGCGUGGAAUUUAAUCCGGGAUCCAAUUUGAUGUUGUGAUGAUGCCGACAGCGAUCGCGAAGGAUUUCCUCUCGAACUUCGCCGACGCGAAUGGAGAAGCCAAGUACAUGAACGUCCUCGUAAGUUCCUCCUCUCUCGACUGUCCUUUUUAUACUCGGACAUCCCUUUAAGCGCUGUAGAAUUGAGGCGAAAUCAAUGUUAAAGGUGCGUGCUUGAUCGCACGUCGUGCCCAAUCCUUUUCUGUUGUCCAUGAACUGCGGCUGCGGAGUCUCUUCCGUGUGCAAUAAUGCUCCAGUACUUAUAAAAUGAUUAACCCUAGAUUUUACAUUUGAGUCGAGCGUAGUUCCCUUUUUAUUUGCAAUUUAAAUGGCUCGCAUGAGGGUCGCCAUUCCUGAUUUCAGCAAGAAGUUGCAAAUCGAAAAAUUCGUGAUAUCCGUUUUAUUAUUCCAUGAUAUCUUUCAUUCAUAAGCUAUAUGUUUAAAAUAGAUAGUAAUUAGCUAAAUAAUCGGUGACACCAAAUAUUAAAUAUUUACCUAACAUCAUCAUACUAUAAAGUUACUUUCGAUUCCGAGUAAUAAAAGCAGCACACAUCCUCUCUCUCUCUCUCACUCACUAACACAGUGGUCGAGGCGUCAGACGUGGUCGAGGCCCCCCUCAUUGUUGCAUGGCUGCUCCCGCUGGCCUGGCUCAUGAGCCGGAGGGGCCGGCAAGUGGAUGAUAGGUGCCGCAAGAUGAAGCAGCUGCUGCAAUUGGCUUCGGAAGAAGCCGUGCGAGUCAAGCUCAAGGCGUCGAUCGUGUCGUGGAUAGGCCUGAUUGAGGCCCUCAUCCUCUGCAUCAUAUGGCUGCUACCACUCGUGGCAUUUUUUCGUCCAGAGGAGUCGGUGAUGAUCGGUCGAGAGGAGCUCCAGGAUCGAGCGGCUUCGGGAGCUCGGAGGGCCAAGACCAGAGGCUCCAUCGGGUACACAACGUUGUCUCUUCCUUUACUACUAUCACUGUCCCGUUUGCUAUGGAUGCGAUACAUAUAGAUGCUCACACUGUCUGGUGAUGCGGUGCUAGUGAUUUCGAUAGUUUGAUAUCUAACUCCACUAUGUACAUGUUAGUUAUUUAGGAAUAAUCAAUCAGUCAUGGCGUUUGGUAUGGUCGAUGAACAAUCACUAGCGAAAAAAAUACUAAUGUCUAAUUUGAUUAUGUACAUACUAGUCAUUUAGGCAUAAUCAAUCAGUCAUGGCAUCUGGUGUAUGAUCAAUAAACAAUUACUAGAGAAAUUUCCGUUGUUUAUUACAACAUUUCUUAUAUACAUUUGUCUUACCGUCGUCACUCGCCCAUGGUUGCUCUCGGUCGCGACCAACUCUCGUUGCCAUGGAGGGAGAGAGAAGGGCCGUGGCGACUGAGGGGACUGUGGGGACUGUGGGGACCGCGCUCCUGAAUUCGAGCAAUUCUCGAGACGGAGUCUAAGCUCGAAUAUGUCCGCGAAGGACGCGAUUUUCUUCGCUGCUGCGGCUAACGAAGUGGAAUCCUUACGCGAAAUCGCGUCGGGAAGUCCCACCACCAAGUACGAACCUGUCUCUUCGCUGAUGGAUCCUCCCGAUCCGCGGAAGGAGUCGAAGUCGAAGUUCGCCGUCGUCCGUUGUUCGCGACCACCCCACUCUCAAGAUUCUCCAUUCAGCCACGGGUCCAAUUCUUCGCUGCCGGCGAUCGUAACUCGUUCCUACCAAAAUCUCAAGGGAGAUUUGACUACCAACGUCUCUCUCGUCUAGCGGUCUGUGUCUCUCCCUCUUCCCUCGAGCUUGCUCUAUGAUCAUGGGAUAGCGUGCGGGUCAAUGCUUCGCUUCGCUCCUCCGCUCGUAAGAAGGAAAGGAAAAAAAGAGCGAAAAAGAGAGGGAAAAUCACAAAAAAGAAAAGGAAAAAAAUAAAAGGGAAAAUAGGGAAGUUCCCAGGUGUGGUAGUUUGUUAGGGGCGUUGGCGGAUGAUGUGCCCACUUAACAUUUUGGAUCAUCAUCUCUACUGCGGUGAAUCAUUCAUCAUCGAAUGAGGAGAGACUUGUGUCUGUGGAGACAUACAUGCCAUUCAUGAUCUAAUCUACUUAAAAUAUGCUUGAUGAUUGUGCAUUUGUUCAAGCUUUAAUGUGAUGAUAACUACAAAGGACAUAUAUGUUUCGCCAGGGGAGCUUCAAAUAUGCAAAUGUCAAUGUUAAUUGCAAAAUCUUUCUGCUUGGAAAGCCUGCUAGCCCUCACUAGCCAAAAUGAAAAGAGGAAAAAAAAUUAAAAAAUUUCCACGUCAACGCGAGUCACGCCUUAUAAGAUAGCCAACUUUUAAAUCAAUGGAUUGGACUCAAUUUUCACAAAUAUAAAAAAAUCAAUGGUUAAAUUAAUCUAAUCUAAAGAUUUAAAAGUGAAUUGGUAUUAAUAUAAUAUGUUUAAAUUUUUUUUUAGUACUUUUCCCUUAAUUGUCAUUUCAAUCUUUUUGAUACAACACAAAAUUGUUCCAUGAAAUGUCACAUCACAAAAUUGAAGAACACUACAAAUAAGUAAAAAUCAUAAAAUUGAAAAAUAAACAUCAAAUAUGAAAAACAAAAAACAAAGAAAAGGAUGAAGUCUGCCAAGAGACGAGAGCUUGGGAAUGGAGAAAUAAUGGGGGUUUAUAUGCCGCCCCAAUAAGGGCUGGCGAUCCUCGUCGAGGUCCUAUCGAGGGCAGUGAGCCCUCACACGAUAGUUGUUGCAAUAACCAUCACCAUCAUUGGGCCCUGGCAAGGGUCUAUCCAACAAAUUUUGCCCCACUGCUGCGAGGGGCAUUACCUCCGUCCAUCUCUAGGCGAGUCGCCCUCACGGAUGCAAAGCCGCCCCCUCAUUGCCCCUAACAUUUUUUACUUUUCUAAAAUCAUUUCAAUCCUUUCUUUUUUUUAAUAUUUAUGCUAUUUCGAUCCUUUUUUUUUUUUUUUCCUUUUUAGCAUUUGUCUUUUUGACGCGGUGCCUAUUCGACACCAAGAGAAGAAGAGUGAACUCUCCAUUUUUGGGUCCACCAUUGGCUUUCUUUAUGAUUAUCUUAGGAUGGUUUGACAGUCCCAUUCUCAGGAGGAAUUGGGGUGGGGACGAUUUCGUGGGUUUCGACUCCCACGCCCUGUAAGGAGGUAAGGACAAAAGCCUGAGAGUGAGUGUUAGAAUAGGAUUAUAGUAGGACUGACAAAAAAAAAAAAAAAAACUUAAUUUGACCAAUUUUUUUGCCUCUCUUUCUUUUUCCACUUUUUCCAAGAAGCUUCACGAAAGCAUCUCGGGUCAUUAGUUUCGUCGAAUUUAAUGUCUGAAAAGGAAACUCCACGGCUUCUUGCAAUACCCGUCCUUGAUUUCCUUUGAAAUGAAGUUGCUCUCGAGGAAACCCUCCUCGAAGUAGUACUCAGGGCUGUCAAAUGAUUGGUUCGAAAAUGGUUAAGCCCUAAUUGAUCCAUGUAAUUUUGAUAAAAAAAUUACCUAUAUAACUUUUUUUUUUACUCAUUUAUAUGAAAUACAAAGUUAAUGUCCCAAUAUAGAGCCAUAAUUUUGACUGACGGAAGUGAAAUUUUCACUGUUAUGCAUCUUAAAUUUUUUUUUAAUAUUUGUUACUAAUAGGUAUUUCAAAUGAAGUCAACUCAAUAAAUUAGUAAAAAAAAUUACAGAAGACUGAAAGAAAAUUAACUCAACUAAAAUAGAAUAACUACUCAAAGAACAUUUUAAAAAAAAACAAAAGUAAGAGUACAAAAAUUGCCAAAACAUCAUUACAAAUGAUAAAUUGAAGAAUUAAAAAUGGCAAAAAUUGAUACACCCCUUCCGUACAAAGAGUGCUUAGGCCCUUUCAAUCUUUUCUUUUAAUUGGGGAGAGUGGGGAAGCAAUAACACUUAGACCGCCAACUUUUUUGAGAUUAGUGCAUUUAAAAUUUUAAACUCAUGGCAGAAGUGUAACUGAAUUUUAAAAUUUAAGAUAAUAUAAUCAAGUAUGAAAUUUUGCAAUCAAAAUUGAAGAUGCUUAAAAUAUUACUCUAGUAGAAAUCAUCAAUAUGUGUUGUGUUGAAUGUUAAACGCAAAACAAAACCUGAAAGUAUGAUACCACUCAUUUAGAGUCACUUAGGCAUUAUAAUUUUUUUUUUGGGUUGAAAUUUAGACAACAUUUCAAUAAGCAGAUUUGAUAAUUGUAAUGUCCCAACAAUCGUUUCAUCAAAUAUGUGAUGGAUGGAAAGUGUAGAAAAGAAGUAAAAAAAGAAUAAAUGCACACAACAAUUUUUUUCAUAGUGUGAUUGUUUAGAUAUAACUGAACUUGUUGACCGAAAGCAACAUAAGUGUCCAUCGGGUGUCUGGAUUGCAACGCUAAUGCUACUACAUGGCUACUAGAUGUUCUCUUUGAGAGAAAAUAUUGAAUAUACAAGUUGUGUUAGUGUAACAAAUUAAAAGCUCAUCCAUUGAGCGACAUGUGUUCUUAAAAAACGCACUUGAAGUGGGAACGCUCAUGUUUCAAUAUGGCAUGCAAGUCGCUCUCUCGAGGAAACCCUCUUCCUAAGUAGCACUUGGGCUACCGAAUGGUGGAUUGGUUCGAAAAUGAUUAGACUCUAAUUGACCCAUGUGAUUUUGAUUAAAAAUAAUCAAUAUAACCUGUUUUGACUCAUUUAUAUGAAAUACGAACUUAAUGUUCCAUAAUAGCGCCACAAUUUUGAGUGGUGGAAGUGAAAUUUUCACUAUUAUGCAUCUAAAUUUUUUAAUUAAUAUUUGUUACUAAUAGGUAUUCCAAAUAAAGUCAACUCAAUAAGUUUUCUAAUUUUUCAAUUAAUAUUUUUACAAUAGGUAUUUUAAAUAAAAUCAACUCAAUAAGGUUUCUUUUUUUUAAUUAAUAUUUGUUACAAAUAGGUAUUUCAAAUGAAGUCAACUCAAUAAAUUAGUAAAAAAAUUACAGAAAACCGAAAAAAUUAACUCAACCAAAUUAGAAUAAGUACUCAAACUACCUUUAUUUUAAAAUAUAAGUAAGAGUGCACAAAUUGCCAAAACAUCAUUACAAAUGAUAAAUGGAAGAAUUAAAAAUGAUAAAAAUUGAUGCACCCCUUCCAUACAAAGAGUGCUCAGACCGUCAACUUUUAUUUAGAGAUUAGUGCAUUUAAAAUUCUAAACUCAUGGCAAAAGUGUAACUGAAGUUUAAAAUUUUAGAUAAUAUAAUCAAAUCUGAAAAUUUACCAAAUUGAAGCAAUCAAAAUUUAAUAUGCUUAAAAUAUUACUCUAAUAUAAAUCAAUAAUAUGUGCUGUGUUGAAUGCUAAGCGCAAAACAAAUCCUUGAUAUGUGAUAUCACUCAUUGAUUGUGUAGAAUUUAGGCAACAUUUUUUUUUGGGUCGAAACUUAGGCAACAUUUCAAUAAGUGGAUUUGAUAAUUACAACGAUCCGCAUAAUUGUUUCAUCAAUAUGUGAUGGAUGGAAAGUGAAAAAAAUAAAAAUAAAAAAAGGAGUAAAAAGAGAAUAAAUAUGCAACAUUUUUUUUUUCAUAGUGUAAUUGUUUAGGUAUUAUUGAACUUGAUGUUGACCGAGAGCAACUAAAUUUCCACCAAUUGUCCGGAUUGCAGCAUUAAUGCUACUACAUGUUCUUUGGGAGAAAAUAUUGGUUGUGCAGGUUGUGCCAGCGCAACAAAUUGAAAGCUUAUCCAUUGAGGAACAUGUGCUCAUCUUCUUGCCCUUUCUCUAUUCUCCCAUUGCUUUCUUCGUUCUUUUUGCAAGCCACAGAUGGUCUCUCUCCUCCAUAAACCCCUUCUCCUCCUUCGGCCCUCCCCCUCACUUGCACGGGGCACGAUAAUGUCAUUCACCCGGCUCUCCUUCACUUGAGCUCGACCUUUGUGCCUCCCCCACUAACAACAGCUCCACCAUUGAAAUCGUCCGCUGCCCUGCGGCCCUCGGAUCCAAGAACAAGCCUAAGUCUCCCGUGCUCAUUGUCAUCACUCAUGACCCCGAGCCCCUGCAUCCUUGAGAUCUUAUGUGCUCCGAGUCAUCCCUCCCUCCAUAGCUUCCGGAUCUAACAAGGGCUCAGUCCUUGCCAGAUUCAGCGUGAGCGACCCUUACCCUAGCUGGGAGAGUCAACCCCCACCAAAUCCCCUCAUCAGAUUCGGCGAGAGCAACCCUAGCUUGUGGCCAGUCACCGGCCACAACCAAGUACUGGCCAUAGGUCAAAGGGAAAGAAAGUAAUUAAAAAAGAAGAAGAAGAAGAAGAAGGGAGAAAUGGCAAAGAAGAAGAAGAGAAAUGGAGGUGGGAGUCUGUGAGAGGAGAGAAACAAAGGAAGAGUAGCCUGAUAAGUAAGCUUUUUAUGGACACAUAUUGCUCAAUGGAUGGGCUUUCAAUUUGUUGCGUUGGCACAACUUGUGCGGUCAAUAUUUUCUCCAUGUCUUAGUAGGGUUUAAAAAUAAGUAAAUGCUCAGCCCACGAACGCAUACAUGUCCAUACACAUGUUUUCAGAAUUUUAUUAAUAUCAGCUAUACGAGAUUGUGCUAUAAUAUAAUAACACAAAGAGGCCUAGAAUCGGAAAAGCUCACCUAGAGAAACCCCGCAUUAUCUUCAAUCAAACCCCUGGAAUGGGAAUGGAAGCUUUCUUGGCAUCGUUUGGUUGAUUGGAGCGAGGUGGAAUGGAAAUAAAAAUGGGGAAUAAAAAUUGCUUCAUUACUGCAUAUUUCGUUAACACGCGGGAAAGUGGAAAUGAGCGAUAAGGCAUGGGAAUGAGUUGACAGUCAAGGGUAAAUUGACAUGUGCACUAAGCUUCGUAUUUGAUAACUGUUGUUUGGACAUAAUAUGGCAAACAUACUUACCUAAUUUACUAUUAUAUAGCAAUUUGAAAAGAUAAAAUUCCACCCAUUACUACAUACGUUCCAAUUCCGAUGUAUUAUCAAAUGCAGUGAUAUUCAAAUCAAUUGCUAUUCUGAUUCACUACAAGCAAUUCCAUUCCCCUCUAGUUAUCUCAUGCUUAUGUAACAAAUGGGUCAAAGAAACAAUUUAGAACUCGUAUGGACCACAUCCUCAUCUAAAAUUAAGAACAAAUCAAAGUGCAUGAACCGCAAAAAUUAGGACCAUGAGCGCACGCAUGUCUAGUCUAUCUAAUUCUUGUUAAAACUCAUAAAAACAACAAUCAAAACAGAAAAAUUUCUGUUUUUGAGAGAGAGAAAAGAUAUAAAAAAAAAAAAAACAGAGCACUUCAUACGUCUUGUGCUUAAAAAAAACUGUCGAGUACAACCACUAAAUACAAAACAAAAACUGUUCACAUACGUGCAACACAUAACUGCACACAAACGUGCUAUUAACUUCCUAGAAAAUAGCAAAAACACUAAAUACGUAACUAAAUGAACUUGGCUGUUUUUUAAUAAAAAAAACAGAGUAAAACAGAGUAAAAAGAAAACUGAAAACAGCAGAAAACAGAGACAUUAUAAUCCAACAAACUUCUCCUUGGAUCAGUUGCUGCUGCAUACUCCAAUUUUCUUUCUUAAUACUUCAAAUCUUCCUGCUUGAAGUGGUUUUGUGAACAUAUCUGCAAGCUGAUCUUCAGAUCUGCAAUAGACCAACUUAACUUCGCCACUUUGUUGCACCUCAUGCAAAAAGAAAAAUUUGACUUUGAAAUGCUUGGUUUUGCCAUGGAAAACUGGAUUCUGAGAUAUUGCUAACGCCGCCUGAUUAUCCACAUUAACUUCAAUGCAAUCACUAGAAUUCAACCACAGAUCCUUCAUUAUCUUUUUCAGCCACAAAGCUUGAUUUGCANNNNNNNNNNNNNNNNNNNNNNNNNNNNNNNNNNNNNNNNNNNNNNNNNNNNNNNNNNNNNNNNNNNNNNNNNNNNNNNNNNNNNNNNNNNNNNNNNNNNNNNNNNNNNNNNNNNNNNNNNNNNNNNNNNNNNNNNNNNNNNNNNNNNNNNNNNNNNNNNNNNNNNNNNNNNNNNNNNNNNNNNNNNNNNNNNNNNNNNNNNNNNNNNNNNNNNNNNNNNNNNNNNNNNNNNNNNNNNNNNNNNNNNNNNNNNNNNNNNNNNNNNNNNNNNNNNNNNNNNNNNNNNNNNNNNNNNNNNNNNNNNNNNNNNNNNNNNNNNNNNNNNNNNNNNNNNNNNNNNNNNNNNNNNNNNNNNNNNNNNNNNNNNNNNNNNNNNNNNNNNNNNNNNNNNNNNNNNNNNNNNNNNNNNNNNNNNNNNNNNNNNNNNNNNNNNNNNNNNNNNNNNNNNNNNNNNNNNNNNNNNNNNNNNNNNNNNNNNNNNNNNNNNNNNNNNNNNNNNNNNNNNNNNNNNNNNNNNNNNNNNNNNNNNNNNNNNNNNNNNNNNNNNNNNNNNNNNNNNNNNNNNNNNNNNNNNNNNNNNNNNNNNNNNNNNNNNNNNNNNNNNNNNNNNNNNNNNNNNNNNNNNNNNNNNNNNNNNNNNNNNNNNNNNNNNNNNNNNNNNNNNNNNNNNNNNNNNNNNNNNNNNNNNNNNNNNNNNNNNNNNNNNNNNNNNNNNNNNNNNNNNNNNNNNNNNNNNNNNNNNNNNNNNNNNNNNNNNNNNNNNNNNNNNNNNNNNNNNNNNNNNNNNNNNNNNNNNNNNNNNNNNNNNNNNNNNNNNNNNNNNNNNNNNNNNNNNNNNNNNNNNNNNNNNNNNNNNNNNNNNNNNNNNNNNNNNNNNNNNNNNNNNNNNNNNNNNNNNNNNNNNNNNNNNNNNNNNNNNNNNNNNNNNNNNNNNNNNNNNNNNNNNNNNNNNNNNNNNNNNNNNNNNNNNNNNNNNNNNNNNNNNNNNNNNNNNNNNNNNNNNNNNNNNNNNNNNNNNNNNNNNNNNNNNNNNNNNNNNNNNNNNNNNNNNNNNNNNNNNNNNNNNNNNNNNNNNNNNNNNNNNNNNNNNNNNNNNNNNNNNNNNNNNNNNNNNNNNNNNNNNNNNNNNNNNNNNNNNNNNNNNNNNNNNNNNNNNNNNNNNNNNNNNNNNNNNNNNNNNNNNNNNNNNNNNNNNNNNNNNNNNNNNNNNNNNNNNNNNNNNNNNNNNNNNNNNNNNNNNNNNNNNNNNNNNNNNNNNNNNNNNNNNNNNNNNNNNNNNNNNNNNNNNNNNNNNNNNNNNNNNNNNNNNNNNNNNNNNNNNNNNNNNNNNNNNNNNNNNNNNNUGUAGGUUGUUUUUCGAACUGUGCUGUUCUGCACUCUUUCCUUCCAUCCAAAUCACUCAUCUCCUCUAGAAAAACAACAUAUCUGCUUACAGUCACUUUCUCUGUCAUAGGGUGAAAAAUUCUGUAAGCCUUUGAUUGGAGACUGUACCCAAUGAAGAUUCCAAGCUCUGCUUUCUUAUCCCAACAUGUCCCUCUUGACCUCAGGAACAUGAGUGUAACACAAAUACCCAAAAACCUUCAAAUUUUUCACAGAAGGUUUAACACCAUACCAGACUUCAAAAGGUGUUGACCUCUCUAAGGCCUUUGUGGGCAAUCUGUUCAACAGGAACACUACAGUAUUAGCUGCUUCAGCCCAGAACUUCUUAGGCAACAUCUUCUCAUGCAUCAUACAUCUGGCCAUCUCCAUAAUACUUCUGUUUUUCCUCUCACUGACCUCAUUCUGUUGAGGUGAAUAGGGAGCAGUGAACUGCUGCACAAUUCCUGCUUGCUCACAAUUCAACUUAAACUUGUGAGCAGUAUACUCAGAACCAUUAUCAGACCUGAGCAUUUUAAUUUUCUUCCCACUCUGAUUCUCAACUAAGGCUUUAAACUUCACAAACACAUCAGCAACUUCAGACUUGGCUCGCAGAAAAUAAAUCCAACUCAUCCUAGUCAUAUCAUCAGUGAAGGUAAUGAAAUACCUGCUACCAUUGAGAGAAGACUCAGACAUAGGUCCACAUAGAUCUGUGUGGACUAAUUGCAGCUUCUCACAUGCUCUCCAGCCUCCUCCUUUGAAAGGAAAUAUGACUUGCUUGCCAAGAAGACAAGUUCUGCACUGUGGAAAUUCCUCCUCCAAACUUGGCAAGUCAUCUGCCAAGCUAUUUCUCUGCAUAAACGACAUGCUCUUCCUGUGAACAUGCCCAAGUCUUUUAUGCCAUAUCUCUGCAUUUUCUUCUUUGCACUUUAAAGCCAUUUGUUGCAUCUCUUGUGGCUUGAACAUGAAACUCUUGUCCUUCAUUGGGAUUCUUAGCACUUCUUUGCUAUCUGCAUUAUUAAUAAGACAUUCCUUCCCUUCGAACUUCACUUUAUAGCCCUUCUCAACUAAUUGACCAACACUUAACAAAUUAUGGUCAAUAUUUGGCACAAAAAGAACAUCACUGAUCAGCUUCACCUCCUGAUUUCCUUCAAUAGCCACUGUACCCUUCCCUUGCACUUCGAUAUACUGUCCGUUGCCAAUUCUGACUCUGGACCUGACUGACCUGUCUAGAAUCCUAAACAGCUUCGAAUUGCCAGUCAUAUGAUUGGUACAGCCACUAUCCACCAACCAUGCAUCAUUCCCAAUAGAAGAUUCAGAAAAAAGAAGCUACAAACAAGUGCUCUUCCUUAGUUUCAUUCACUGCUACCUGGGCUUUUCCUGCUUGCUGGUAAUUUUUUUUCUUUGCAGAUGGCUUCCAUGUGACCCAACUUGUGACAUGUUCUGCAUCUAGCAUCAGGCUUUCUCCAACAUCUAAAAAACUGAUGAUUAGUUCCACCACAGUAUUGACAAGGCUUUUUGUUCAUCUUCCAUUUGCUAGACCCACCAAAAUUUCCUUCUUUUGCUACAAACUUGGAGUCACCAGGAUUUUCUCUAGACUGAAUCCAUUUCUUCCCUUUGCCUCCAUCAUUUGACUUCACUUUAGCUUGCAGCGCACCCUCUACAAACUCUUCUUUUCUCAUCAAUCUUCUGUGCUCCUGUGCCUGCAGAGCAUUUAACAAUUCUGCAAGCUUUAUAUCAGCUAAGUCUCUUGUAUUUUCCAGAGAUGCUAUGGUGGCUUCGAACUUCUCUGGAAGAGACACCAGGAUCUUCUGAACAAGCCUUUCAUCCUUCAAGGCAGUCCCUAAAACUCUGAUUUUUUCAGCUAUCCCAACCAACCUAUCAAAGUACUCCUUCACUGACUCUGAAUCCUUCAUCUGCUGUCUCUCAAACUCCCUCAAGAGAUUCAGCACCUUCAUGCCUCUUAUCUUCUCAUCUCCCUCGUAUUCAUCCUUCAAGAAAUCCCAUAUUGCCUUUGCAGAAUCACAUCUCAUGAUCCUUGUGAAGAUAGUGGGUGAAACAGCAGCGUACAGGCAUGACUUUGCCUUGGCCUUCCUUGUGAUUCUCUAUUUAUGGUACUUUAUCUGAUUCAAGGUCGGAUUGUCUGGAAGUGGAGCAACCUCAUAAUCAUCUACCACAGCCUCCCAUAAAUCAUGACCCUCCAAGAAUGCCGUCAUCUUGACAGCCCAAGCCUGAUAAUUUUCCCCAGAAAAGACUGGAGUUGCCAUUGCAGAGAAUCCACUCGAUCCUGCCUCCAUCAGCUUUUUCUUUGCAAAUCGGAAGCAAUCUUCACUCAAUUACCCUCACUUCACAGUCCCUUAAGAUCCCACAAACGCUCUGAUACCAAUGUUAAAACUCAUAAAAACAACAAUCAAAACAGAAAAAUUUCUGUUUUUGAGAGAGAGAAAAGAUAUAAAAAAAAAAAAAAACAGAGCACUUCAUACGUCUUGUGCUUAAAAAAAACUGUCGAGUACAACCACUAAAUACAAAACAAAAACUGCUCACGUACGUGCAACACAUAACUGCACACAAACGUGCUAUUAACUUCCUAGAAAAUAGCAAAAACACUAAAUACGUAACUAAAUGAACUUGGCUGUUUUUUAAUAAAAAAACAGAGUAAAACAGAGUAAAAAGAAAACUGAAAACAGCAGAAAACAGAGACAUUAUAAUCCAACAAUUCUACAUGUAUAUAGUGGUAGAUAUAUCCAAUAUGACCUCACUACAUACAUCCAAUUUCCACUCUGGAAAACGUAAUUAAUUGUUUAGGCUUGUUCUUCACUACUUAUUUUUCCUCCAAUUGCCUUCACGUUACCUCUUUUGGAAGCAUUCAGUUGAUCUACAUGCAUUGUUUGGACAUGAAGAAAUGUUUUAAUAGUUCAGUUUUCAUAAAAAUAGACCAGCUCGAGAUUAUCAAUGGUGUGUGUAUAUGUAAUCUUGUGUACUCAAACUAGCUAAACUCGAAUGAUAUUCCAAUUUCGAUCUAAAAUACCAUUGCCGGAUAAUUUUAAUGGAAUGCCAUCAAAUUGUUUUCCCCUAAUGCUGCGUUAAAGUACGUAUUGCAUAACUUAGAUACAUUUACCCAAAAUCAUUCCGAAAAAAAUAUAUCAGGACAAAUUCAGAAGCUUUAUAGGCGUUAAUCGUGGAUUAAUAUAGUUUCGUUUCAUUCUUAUUAGAACUAUAUAAGGAAUUUAUUUCUUCACGUGGGAAGCAAACUCUGCCUUUUUUAGUCAAUUGUUGACUUCGCUUUUGAUUAAUUAGACAUAACUAAAUUUAUUUUUGCUCAAGGUUUGCUGUUUGACAUAUAAUAUCAAAAAUAUAUUUCAAAACUUCACCACUACAUAUUUACAAUACCCCGCAACAUUGCACGAGAAGUAGCAACCAUGUGCGGUUCACAUUCCCGUCUGAGCACCUGGGAAAGCCUACUCUCAUCUAAUACUGUACAAUUAAAUUAGGUCAGUAUAUCCAACUUCCAUGAUUUUAGGUAUGUGAAUGUGAAUACACCAGUUGCCAAAUGAAGGACACGAAAGAAAAAGGAAAUAAGUUAACCACACGGGCAGGAUUGAGAGAUGUGUAUUUUUGCAAGCUACGUAAUGUCUCCGAACAUAUAGUCAUGAGAUACGGUCCGCAAACAAAUGUAAGACCAUACAGUAUCCAUUUUCCCAUUUGGGACACAAGAUCAACUAGGUAUAUUGCUACAUUACUCAAUUGCAUUCAUUUAACUAUAUGGUAAUUUAUUGUGGGAUGGCAUACACAUUGCAUCGUAUAAUGUACAUGGAAAUAUCAAUAUUGUUAUCAGUACCCACAUGAUCUCAUGAGAUAAUAUUUUGAACAAUCUUCUAAAUCUUCUUGAUAUAUAUGCCAUGCACUUGGUACCAAACUAAAAAGCAUUCCGCAACUCUCCCGCUAUAUAAACAUAGUGGACUCGCUAUAUUACCAUAUUUACGAGCUUUUGGAGAAUCAAAGUCGAAUGUCAUUCAACAACAGGGGAUCGAGAAGCAAGAAAAACAUAUUUAGCAAAGAAUGGAACGUGCUCAAGGGGAAAUGGGGAUCUCGAGAAGCCUCGUUGAGCAGGACCUAUCGGGACGCCGCCACGUCACCGGUGAGCUCACUAGCAGAGCCCCAACGGAACUAUCGGUGGAGUCUCAGCGGAGAUCCUCGAGCGUCAGCCAAAGCGACGACCAUUAUCACAAUUCUGGUGAAGACGAUCCAUGGCGAGCAAGCUACAAGCAUGGCGCUCUCGCCUAUUCUGGUGAUUACGAUCAAGGGUGAGUGAGAUCAUACCCGUGACCACCCCAGCAGGAAUAUGAUUAUUCUUAUCACACUAGCAAGGGCAGUAUUAUUCUCAGGGUCUUGACAAUGUCAAUAGUUACGUCCGCGACGACGCGUCUGUUCCAUCAUACCUGCCCCGCAUACCUCUUAUGGUUAUCACCAUCCAUCCGAGUCUCCCCCGAAUAAUUGCUUGGUGAUGUGAGAUGCCUAAUAUAGUGUGGCUAUAGUUGCUAUUUACUAAUAUCUGGUGAAGUACGUGAUGAGCUAGGGGCAUGGUUGAGCCAUUGGUUUGUUAGCUUUCGCUUGUGACUCUCAGUGAAGUUUCUUGUUUUAGUCAAUGGUUUCGAACGUGAUGGAGUUUGAUUGAAAUCGCUUUGAAAUCACGAGCGAGGAACGGCCUCACCUGGGCGAGGCCACCCUUGCCCUGGGGGAGGCAGCCCUUUGCGGCCAUUUGCAAGGGCUCAAUGACUUCGUCGGCCACAGGCAAAGGUGGCCUAACAGGCCCUUGUUGGCCAUUACUAGCGGCCGGCAAGAUCAUUGAACCCUUGCAAAGAAAAAAGAAAAGAAAAUUUGGAUGAAAACUUUUUGACCAGUUGAAAAAUUUAGCCGGCCGACGACCGCCGAAGUUAGACUCUUAUUUGAAAUAACAAUGGGUACAUCAGGCCUUUAUUUAAAAAAAAAAUGAAUGCCACUUCAAGUCCUUAUUUGGAACAAGAUCUAUUUGGAGUCUUUAUUUGAGAAAAUGGCACACUUCAAGCCCUUCUUUAAAAUUUUCCCUUUAUUUUAUUUUAGGUUGCAAUUCUUGCCCGUGGAAUGAACUAAAAUAUACUCUUUUUCUCUCUCUCUUUUUCCCACUUAAAAAAGCCGCUUGAUGAAAUAUUAUUUAUCUUGAGCAAAUGCACCUUGAAUCAAAAGGGGGAAAUGACUUCGCAUUUCUUCAGAAGUCUUCCAAACGCAGGUGCUCAUGUCAACAUUUGCAUCAAGAUUUCUAACGUUUCGUUUCGAAAAAUUAUAGUUACUGCGAUUUUUCUUUUCGUAUUUUAUAAAAAAAAAAAAGUCAAAACGGCGCAUCACGUUGACCCAUCAUCAGUCCAUGCAUGCCGAUCAGCAGGCGCUGUCCCUGUCCCGACCUCAUCGUCACAAGGGAAGAAUGUGAACCAAGCGAUCAACCAUCGAUCUUCGAAGGAGAAGACUUCACACAUCGGCGCUUCUUCCGUCGGGCGAUCGUCCUCACUUCCUCUCCAAUCUCUUCCCAGCUUCCUCCUGCAUCCUGAAAAUCCCUAUGGCGGGGGCGCUCGUCGGCGGAGCAUUUCUCUCGGCUUUCCUCCAGGUGCUCUUUGACCGGAUGGCCUCCCGCGAAGUCGUCGACUUCUUCCGGUCACGCAAGCUCGACAAGGGGAGGCUGCUGCAGAAGCUGAAGGCCGCGCUCCUGUCCGCGAACGCCGUGCUGGACGACGCGGAGGAGAAGCAGAUGACCAACGACCACGUCAGGGAGUGGCUCGACGACCUCAAGGACACCGUGUACGACGCCGACGACCUGUUCGACGAGAUCGCCACUGAAGAUCUGAAGCGUGAAGCCGGGGUCGAGCCUCGGGCUCUCGUUUGUAAGGUCUGGAGCUUCGCUGCAGACUCUCGUAGGAGGAAAUUGGGGGAUGAUUUAGAGAGGGUUCUGGAGAGAUUGGAGAGCGUAGUGAAGCAGAGAGAAGUGCUGGGCCUAAGGGAAGGUAUUCGCGAGAGGACGGCUAGAGCUUUGCCGACCACUUCGUUGGUCGAGGAAUCGGGAGUUUUCGGGAGGGAGAAGGACAGGGAGGCGGUGAUCGAGUUGCUCUUGUCAGAUCGGGGCGAAAAGAACACCAGCGUGAUGGCCAUCGUUGGGAUGGGCGGUGUCGGUAAGACCACGCUAUCUCAGCUUGUGUACAACGAUGGUGUGGUGAAAGGGAGUUACGAGUUGAGGGCGUGGGUUUCCGUGUCCGACCAAUUCGACAUCUGCAAGCUGACGGCCACGGCUCUCGAGGAGUUCUCCUCCUCGUCUAAGAAGGAGACCGAAAAUCUCAACCAGCUUCAGCUCCAGCUGAAGAACUUCUUGACAGGGAAGAAAUUCCUAUUGGUGUUGGAUGAUGUUUGGAAUGAGGACUUCAAUAUUUGGGAUGCGUUCCUAGUUCCUUUUACCUAUGGAGCAAGAGGCAGCAAAAUCGUCGUGACGACACGAAAUGAGAGCGUCGCAUUGGUUGCUCGUGCCGUCUCGACAUACCCUUUACAGAAGUUGCAAGACGAGGAAUCUUGGGACUUGUUCGCAAAAAAUGCGUUUGACCAGCAUAACUUCGAGGCACGCACGGGACUUGAAGAUAUCGGGCAAAGAAUUGUAAAGAGAUGUGAUGGAUUGCCUCUUGCGCUGAAGACUAUAGGUAGCUUGUUACGCUGUGUGUCUGAUAUCAGGAAGUGGGAAAUAAUUGCAGAGAGUGACAUUUGGGAUUUGGCACCUGGAAAGUAUAAAAUUCUCCCUGCGUUGUUGUUAAGUUAUCAUUACCUUCCUCCACAACUGAAACGAUGUUUUGCUUAUUGUUCAAUCUUCCCAAAGGAUUGUAGAUAUGAGAAGGACCAGCUGAUCUUACUUUGGAUUGCUGAGGGCUUGAUAAAACAACCUAACGACAGCAGGACAUUGGAGGAAGUAGGUGAUCAGUGCUUCUGUGACCUUGUGUCUAGAUCUUUGCUUCAUAGAGUAAGUGAUAUCGAAUUGAGCUUCUCGAUGCAUGACCUGAUCAAUGACUUAACGAGAUAUGUAGCUGGUCGAUCUUUUUUUAGCUUGGACGGAGGCAAUGCACACCAGGUGUCCUUGAGCACUCGCCAUUUGUCAUUUGUAAGAACUCAAUAUGAUGUCGCUUCUAGAUUCAGAGUGUUAGCCAAGGCAAUGAAUUUGCAUACUUUCCUACCGCUAAAUGUGGGUCAUGUGAGAUUAGGCGAGUGCUCUUGGUUGACUGAUGAGGUAUUGCAUGUUCUGUUGCCGACCCUGAGACGGUUAAGGGUGCUAUCUUUGUCUCAUUAUCAUAAAAUCUCUACGUUGCCCAGUUCAAUUGGACGUUUGAAGCAUUUGCGCUAUUUGAAUAUCUCCUAUAAUACAAGUCUACACAGAUUGCCUGAUUCAGUUACUGCUCUAUACAACCUGCAAACCUUAAUUCUUGCUCACUGUUGUUCUCUCAUUGAGUUACCGAGCAACAUGGGCAGCCUGACCUGUCUGCGUCAUCUUGAUAUGAGGGGGACAUCCCUGAAGAGAAUGCCAUUGGGGAUGAACAGACUGAAGAAUUUGCAGACAUUAACUAAUUUCGUGGUGGCGGAAAACGGUGGGACCAGGGUUAGGGAGUUAGGGGAGCUUGGGAAUCUUAUGGGUACACUCUCCAUAGAGGGUUUGCAGAAUGUUGAUAGUUACCGAGAUGCCGAAAUAGUCAAUUUGCAGGGAAAAAGGUACUUGAAAAAGUUAGUACUGCAAUGGGGUUCCGAUAACAAUAUCACGCAGCAAAAUUGCUUAAAUGUACUGGACAAGCUGCAACCUCAUUGGAACUUGAGAGAGCUUAUCAUUAUAUCCUAUAGUGGUAGGUCAUUUUCCAAUUGGGUGGGACAUGGUUCAUUCUCUAAUAUGUCAGUCGUGCGUCUUGAAUCUUGCAAGCACUGUGUGUCAUUGCCUCCUUUAGGACAGAGACCAUCUCUAGAGAAGUUGAUAAUCGAAGGAUUUGAUGGAGUUACAAGUGUGGGUACUGAAUUCAAUGGUAGUAACUGUAUACCUUUCCAGUCACUUAAGUACUUGGAAUUUGCUGACAUGUGCAGCUGGAAAGAGUGGGCUUGUUUUGCAAUAGAGACAGGAGGUCUUGCCUUUGCACAUCUGCAGGAGCUUCGUAUUAGAAAUUGCCCGCAGUUGAGUGGAGGUUUACCCAGCCAUCUCCCUUCUCUAACAGCCUUGUCCAUUGGAAGGUGCCCACAGCUAACGUCUUCUCUACCAUUUGCACCACUUCUCCGUGAGAUCAAUUUGGAUGAUUGUGGAAAGGUCUCUGGAGUUGAGCCCCUCCUAAAUGGCACUGAGUUACGAGAUAUGAAAAUCUGGAAUCUUUCAACCCUUCCCUUGAGGUUUCUUCCUCCUACCGUGACAAGACUCAGUCUUGAAGACAGUCCUGAAAUAGAGUUGCCAAUGCACAGAUGCCAUGAAUCUCUCCAAUAUCUAAACUUGAUGUGGAGCUGCAAUUCACUUAUAUCCUUUCCUCUGGAAAUUUUCCCCUUGCUUAAGAAUAUUCAGUUGGUGGGGAUUGAAAAAUUGGAACAUCUUUCAAAUUCAGACGGUUCACCACUUCUUCUCCAUUCGAUUGACAUUAGAUAUUGCCCUGAAUUUACAUCUUUCCCUGCGGGAGGAUUGGCUGCCCCAUGCCUCACUUCAUUAGAGUUGAAUGACUGCCGUCAUCUAAAGUAUCUGCCAGAAAACAUGCAGGCUCUCCUUCCUUCACUUCGGUCAUUGACAAUAUCCUCAUGUCCACAAAUCGAGUCAUUUCCUGAGUGGGUUUUACCCUCCAAGUUGGUCACGCUUUCACUCUCUAAUUGUGACAAGCUCAUCACUGGCCACAAGGAUUGGGGUCUUCAAUCACUAUGCUCUCUUAAAACUUUUGUCAUUAGGCGAGGGAAAAAUAUAGAGUCAUUUCCUGAGAUAGGGCUUCUGCCAACGUCUCUUACCUCUUUGGAUAUCUUUGGCUUUGAGAAUCUGACGUCCCUGAACUCCAAAGGGCUUCAUAGCCUGAGCUCCCUUGAAAACCUGUCCAUUGGCGAAUGUCCUAAGCUCCAUUCCUUCCCAAAAGAGGGACAAAUUCUGCCUGCUUCUCUUACUACUCUGUGGAUUUAUGAUGUGGGUCUAAAAUCACUGGAUAACUUAGGACUCCACCACUUCACUUGUCUCAAAGAAUUUCGCAUAGAUGACUGCCGAAGUCUUCGAUCCAUGCCAGCGGAGGGCUUGUCAUCCUCCCUUUCCAAUCUAUUUAUCCAUGGGUGCCCUUUGCUGGCGAAAAGAUGCCAGCGGAAGAAAGGGAAAGAUUGGCCCCUGGUUUCGCACAUUUGCUGCAUCGUGAUUGAUUUUGUGCUCAUCACAUGAUCGAAUAUCUUGCUUCACAAGCCCUCCUUUUACCAAUAUCUCACUCAGGUAUCUCCCUUGACCCAACACUAAGUAAGCCAUUUAUUUAUUCACAACAUACUUCAGUCGCUCUAUGGUCAAGCACUAACAUCUGGCUGUAUUUGCCACAUGCUACUCUAAUAACGCUCCCCAGUGGAGAAUAUUUGUAGUUUCACGGGCAUUCCAUUGUUGUUCCUACUAUUGGGCUGCAUAAUUUGUUUAUCGGUUGCCGAGUUAUUUAGCUGAAGCAUCUGCUUUUCCCUACUCCAUUCUCUCUAUAUAAAUCACACUUCCCUUCCUAUACUUCAGGUGAGCUUCUGUCAUGGUCUUUAUAGUUUCGCCCGGGAAAUGAUUAUUCAUUGCUACUUUUGUCGUCGUCAGACUAUUUCGGCUUUAAGAUCUCACUCAUAUCAUGAUUGUCAACACCUACAAAUGCCAACUUAUGGAACUGUUUGUGCAUGAGCUAACAAUAGUAAAUAGAGCAAAGAGAUUCAUGGCCAUCUAGAGAAGGCCUAGCCUUGAUUAGGCUAUCCAAAUGAAAUUAUUUUUUUCACGAACUCUAGCAUGUCCUCAAGUUAAAAAGAGAGUAAAUUUGCUCUUAUUAACAAAUGCUUUCUGUCGUGUUAAGCUGUAUAAUAUUGUGAGGGAGAUGUAAAUUCUUAAACCAGGCAUGACUCAUGACUGACCUGUAUUACGCUUGCCAGAAUAGUGUGGUAUCAUGGGUGGAGUGUAUUUCGUUUGCUUUGUACUUUAUUUGUCAAUUUCUACAUAACAUCACUCUAAAGUCGUACAGUUUAACAAUUUCCCUGCCUACAUGUAGAAUUCUUAUCCAUGGAAUGUGAAAAUGGAACAGUUUAAGAGAUGCGAGUGACCCGGCAUUUGGUAGUGGCAUAUCCACUUUUGUCACUAAUUAUAUCGUGACAUCAACUAAAUCCAUCAAACUGAAGGACUAAAAAAAGUAUGUAAAAGUUAGGUUUUUAUUUGUUGAAGUCAAAAGUUUGCAUCUCAAAAUGCAAUUCCAUCAAAAUAUAUGGACCUAUUGUAAUUUACCCUAUUUUGAGAGAAUAUUUUUUUCUUUUGAGGGAACUCAAGCGGUGUUAUGUGCACUAAUAAUUGAGGAGCUUCGGAGGAUGGAGAUAGAGCUGGAAAUGUAUUGCUAGCUUUUAGCUUGAUUAGAGUAUCCUUUAGUUGUUAAUACUUGUCUUUCAGUCAUUGCAAGUGGAGUGCUUCUAGAUGGGGCUAGACUAACUAAUGUUCCAAAAAUACACGAUGCAUCCACGAUUGGUAAUACAAGCACAUGCUGUGUUGAGAUGCACGUAUGAGUUAUGUUAGAAAAAGUCCAACGACGUGGGAUUAGUAUGGUGUGGAAUAGUUAAUAUAUCUUAGUCGGGCAUUGCUUUAAGCUUUUGAGUAAAAGUGGCCUAAUUGGAUGUGUUGAAAGGUUUGGACUUGGGCUCUCUCUUGGCUUCUGCUAUUCGCUCCCAAGCCAAUCGUUGAUUGAUGGCAACCUGUUGGUGCAAAAGAAUGCUUGGAUUAAGGGGGACAUAUAUUGAACAUUGAGCUUACACGUAAGAGGGAGAUAAAAAUUGAUGUGGUGUAGAGUACUUAAUAUAUCUUAAUUGGCUCAUGAUUUAUUGGCUUAAGCUUUUGAGUAUAUGUUAUCUUCAACUAUAUCUAUUGAUGGGGUCAAUCUUGGGUUCUUUCUUGGCGAUCUCUCAUGUAAUGGUAUCAGGUUUCUACUAAGCUUUACCGGCAUGCUGUAGUGAAUGUCGGAUGCAGCUUUGGAUGGACCUAUUCUUCUCCCGCGAUAUCAAUAUAGUUUCAGUAACAAGGUUGUGGUGAAAAAAAGAAGGGUGCUUAGUCUUCACAAGACAAGCGGAUUAUGAGGAUCAAGAGCAGCAUAGGCAAUGAGAUGGUGGAAAUUGGCAAGGAAAACAAAUCCAAUUUUCACGCAGUCAGCAAACCAAGUGAUCGACUCCUAGAAAUGAAAGAAUCGAGGUCAAUAUAGAAGUUCCAAAAUUUCAUUGUUGGUUUGCAGCUUGCGAGAAAUUGUUUACCAAUGAGUGCAAGUGUAGAAGAGGCACACCAGUGUGAUUGCAACGUUUAGUUUGAUGCAGCGACAUGUCAUGUAAGAAGUACUUGCCUAAUGGUUUGGUUUGAUUGUUGUUUUUACAAGCUGAUACUUGUCGCAAUGGAGAAACAAGAAACCAUUCGAGGCGAAACGAGCCAACACGUGAUCUGGAAUUGUACAUCCCAGGUCUUUGAUGUUGUAGCAUGGGAAUUAAGGAUCAUAUCUGAAACUGAUGAUGGGCAUGAGAUGAGUGGGUUAUGGAGAGAUUGUUUGAUACAGCUUUUGGAUGGUAGCUAUGACCGUAAAACUGGAUGCUUCCGCUUUCGCAAGGUAACAUCUCAAAGCUAUCAUCUGGAAAUAGAAAGCCAUCCCAUCUAGCUUUUAGCUGCUACUGUGUGUUACCAAAUGGGAUGGUGGAAAUCGGCAAGAAAAACAAAUGCAUUUUUCAUGCAGUCAGCAAGCCAAGUGAUCGGCGCUUGGAAAUGUCAGAAUCGAGGUCAAUUAGGAGUAUCGAAAUUUCAUUGUCGAUUUGCAGCUUGUGAGAAAUUGUUAACAACAAGAGCAAAUGUAGGAGGGGCACUCAAAUGCGAUUGUAACGUUUAUUGUAACACAGCGACAGUGUAACACAACGACAUGCCGUGUGAGAAGUACUUGCCUAAUGGUUUGGUUGGAUUGUUGCUUUUUUCAAGCUGAUACUUGUCAAAGUGGAGAAACAAGAAAGAAUUCAAGGUGAAACGGAGCCAACGCAUGAUCUGUAGUUGUACAUCCCAGGUAUUCAAUGCUGUAGCAUUGGAAGCAAGGAUCGUAACCGAAACUGAUGAUGGGCAUGAAAUGGGUGGAUUAUGGGGAGAUUGUUUGAUACAGCUUUUCGAUGGUAGUUGUGUUAGUACAACUGGAUGCUUCCGCUUUCACAAGGUAACAUCUCAUAACUAUCAUUUGGAAUCAGAAAGCUGUCCCGUCUGGCUUUCAGCUGUUGCUGUGUGUUUACAAAUGAUCGCACUAUGAUUAUACCACACGGGCCCUGAGUGGAGCUUCAUAGCCUAUAUAGGAUCAGGAGGGGUUGGAGAAUUGAUUGGGUGAUACGUCUCUCUUUGGUUGAGUGGUUCUUCUCUUCUUCAAAAGCACCUCUAGUUCUCUGGGACAGACUUAAGCAAAGAGAGAAUAACUCGUGCAUGCAAGCAUGACCCAUUUCGUGCUAUAGGAGGAUGUGACAUAUAAUGAGUAAGUGAAUUUCGGGGUCAUGUACGAGUCCGACUUAUUUAUCAUGUUUGAGUUUGAAGUCGUCGAAUGUACAUCAAAAGUAGCCGCGUAUGUACAUAUAAGGACGAGCAUUCUGAUUUGUAUGUAUCACAUAGUUGAGAAAGAUGAAUAAAAUAACCUUCAUUUCCAAUUUCAAAAUUUCUAAAGACGUCAUUACUCGACAUGGAGAACCAGCACAAAAACCUUGUGCCUACGGAAGAUAGACAAAUAUUUUGAAAUGAUGUAGUGUAUUAUACUAAUCAACACCGACACAACUAGCAGUGGAUGCUGAUCCUCAUUUAACCCACAAAUUCACGAGUGAGAAGGGGAGUUGAAGCAUCUAAGACAGAAAAACUAACUGGCUUGCUAAAUGAUUUGGAUAUAUAGACAAACAAGAAUUGUGAUCUUCAUAUCACUAGCGUUCAUCCAACCAAAAUAACAACAGCAACUUGGACGCGGAUCAAGAAAAAAGACCUACUGCGAGACAAGGUACAGGACAGACGGGAGAGAGAGAGAGAGAGAGAGAGAAGGGGGACGUAAACUUAGCUGGCGGCAGCGGCAGUGGGACGCGCGAACCAGAGAGAGGUCAAAGAAGAUACCCAAGAAGGGGGGGAUUAUAUAUAGGAGGCUCGCGGGCUUCGAUUGGUCCGCCGGGAAAACGAAUAUUCCCAUAAUCUUUUUUUGGGGGUGUAAUUUGGGGGUUUAAUUAACUAGGAUGGAUUUUGCUUAGGCGUGUUCCGAUCUAUAAAACACUGACACUCUUUUAAAGUUUUUGUGUUGUGUCGGAUAUUUCGACACGUGUAAAAUACUCUCAGACACUUUCCGACACUCGGUCAACACGUGUCGGAAAAUUCGACACCUAGUCAACUUUCUUGACACUCUCCGAUACUCGAGUCGAAAUUUUGACAUACGAGUUUUCGACACGUGAUUUCGAUAUCAAGGUCAAUUUUAAAAUUUCAAUAAAUGAAAUGUCAAAAUAUAUAUGUGAAAAAACACAAUAAUAAAAAUAAUAAAUGGAAAAAGAAGAAAGACCUAGUAUUAUCUUCUCUUUUCACUCUCAUUUUCCGUGAUACACAAUUCACUACUUAAGUUUUUUUCUUCUCUUUCAACAUAUCUAACAUGUGAGUCCAAAAUAUGGAUCGCUUGUUUUUUCUCCAAAUUUUAUGAAUUAUUGAAAUAGAGUUAAAUAUAUCAAAUUGAAACAAUAAGUGAUACUAAUAAAUGGCGGAUUCAUGUUUUUAGCGUAUAUUCAUUCUAGGCUUUUCUAAAAAAUCAAAUUAAUUUGAUUGAAAUAACCAUAAAAAUGAUAAUUUAUUAUGUAUAUAUAAAAAUAUAUAUUUAAUAUACAACGUGUCCCAACGUAUCGAAAUUUUCUUUUUUUUUUAUAAACGACGUGCUGGCAUGUCGUGUCGUGUCUCGUGUCGCAUGUCAGUGUCGGUACUACUUAGGUACCGAUUACCCAAUCACAUUCGAAAGUGUAAGAUUAUAUUUCUUUCUAAAAAGAAAAAAAAAACUGAAAAAUUACCUUUUUAACGAAUCGAUAAAAGAAGAAAAUACAUGAAAUUCUUGAGGAAUGAACGAAUUUGGAAAUCUAUAUCGGAGAUGUGGAGGAAUCGAGAGAUCCUCUUCUGAUUUUAUUUUGUCGGUGGUUUUUUCUAUCUUUUUAUUUACCGAUGGACAACUAAUAUCCGACUUAAUCUAUUUAUAAAAUCUCUCUACUUUUUGCUUUUUAGUACUUGUGUUACCCUCUUUCUUUACGCGACCGUGUAACCAUAAUACAGGGGGGAACAGAUGUUCUUAAAUUUAAAUUGUUUUUGGUGGGGGAGGGGAAGAAUGACGUCAUGGCGCACGUCUGAUGUGGCGUGGGAUUGGUCGGAUCUCAUCGUCGUCGCGGUAGUUGGUGGUGCUGCCCAUGAAAAUGUAAUGCGCACGUUGUUUGGGACAUUAGCCUCAGCGGUCAUGUGGUCUGAUACUUGAAUCAAAGGCAAGAGCUACUAAGCGAGUUCCCGUUUCUUAUAUUCUCCACGGAUAGAUCUGAUAGAUCGCAGCUACCUAAGGCGCUUUGAAAGAAGUGGCCCCUUAGGCCGAGAAAGGAUUGACACCUCCUUCUCUAGCUUACAGCCUGCUUAUAGCUGCCCAUCAUCGUUCCGCCUGCUGGCCUAUUGGGAUUCACGGCUUGCUGAACCACGAAACGAAAAAGAGCUCCGGAUCAAGGAAAAGCCACAGGCCAAUGCCAAUCUCUUAGGGCAAGUUCUCUUUAAUCCGUCUUUGUAACAUCUGCUGAUGUACCUCAUAACUGGGCUGUACAUACAGGGAGCUCUCUACAGUAUCUAUGCUACCUGCUAGUUCCUGUGGCCCAUAGCAUCACACUUUACAGAGCAAGCAAAAACCGUGGGUUUGACCGGGUCAAACAUCGGACGUUGGAUCUUCUUGGGAUACAUCCCCCCUAGAAUAAUGCACGCGAGCGCCAAGUUGUGAUAUGGAGAGUUAUUUAUUUUAAUGUUUUCUGUUUUGAGACAUUAAUUUCCUGAUACCUUUUAAUUUUCGUAAAAAAGGACUUGUGCAAUGGAAAUUAGUCGGGAUGUGUGAAAUACGGGCUAAAUCUUGGAUUUCUGAAAUUGAAAUUGGAUGAAAAGAAAAUGCAAGUGAUUUGAUGAAAUGGAUAGACAUUUGGAAAUUGACGGUGAAAAUAUGUAGGUGGGCUCUUGGUGAGAAAAUAGGGAUAGAAAUCAAAGUGGAUAGUGGAUUUGGGGAUUGCAAACAUUGCAUCAUGAAAUAGUACUAGAAAAAUGAUUAUUGCAAUCCGUUUAUUCCACAAUUUUGAUGUCAAUUUAGCAAAUUAGUCCAUUAAUAUUGUGGCACGUGUCAUGCAUGAGCCCACCUAUCAGUCACCAUCUUCCCACUCUCUCCCUCCUUCACCAUCUCUCUCUCUCUCUCUCCUCCCCCCCCCCCCCCUCUUUUUGACCCUUUUUCCCUUCUCCAACCUCGAGCCCAAGCCACCGCCAUUGUCGGCCAUAGUGAAGAGCACGCUCGGAGUCUCUGGCGACAAGCUUGCCGCCGAUGGAUGCCUAUCCCUUUGCGCACCUCGCGGUGGGAAACCUUGAGCCAAAGAUCCCUAUCGCUGCCAAGCUCACCCACUUUGCCAUCUGCCCAUUGUCCUCUCCCCGCUUCUAUAAUAGUUUCGUUAAAUGGAUGCUUCUGUAAUAGUUUCGUUAAAUGGAUGGGAGAUGGCAAGAAAUUUUGCAAAGCGAGAAAAGCUCGAGACUUUUUGUUUUUGGAAUGAUUAUUUUUUAAGUGUGAAUGUAUGACGUGCCUAUGACACACCCGCAUUGAGAAAAUAUCAAGUGAGAGCAAGAUUUGAUGAGAAAUACUUCAUUAAACCUCUUAAGUUGCAUCCCAAAGAUACUAAAGCCCAAAAUAUGGGGGCAAAAACAAGAGGAAAUAGAAAGAAGCAGGAGAAAGAAGUCAAAUUUGUUCUUAUUUUUUAAAACCCAUACCCGUAUGAAGCCCAUUGAUCCUCAUCUUGGGCCGGGAGAGACCCGCCGUUCACCCGACCCGACUUGAUUUUCUUCCUCUCAUGUUUUCCCGGGAAAACCUUCUUCCCCUCUCUAGCUUUCUCCGGGAAAAUUUUCCGAUCCGUUGCAAACCGUUCAUCGUCUUCCGUUCUGUAACAGAUCUCGACGACCUGCGAGGCUUCGAUGGAGAUUCGCAUCGGAAGAGGCUACGCGUGGGCCAUCGCCGCCGGAUUCAUGGCCGCUCUCGCCGCCAUCUCCGCCAAGUUCUUCUCCUCUCAGGUAACCCAACCUCAUCCGCGCGCUUGUCCGU